CAGUCUACAAGUAUAAGUCACCACCACCUCCUUCCCCAAUUUACAAGUCACCAUCACCACCUUCUCCAGUAUACAAAUUACCUCCACCACCUCCUCCAGUUUACAAAUCUCCACCACCAUCAAUUUAUAAAUACAAGUCUCCUCCACUACCUCCUCCAGUGUACAAGUCAUCACCACCACCUGCUUACAAGUCUCCACCUCUUCCAGUUUACAGUUCCCCACCACCACCAAUCUACAAGUCUCCACCUCCACCCUACCAUUACUACUACAAUUCUCCUCCUCCUCCUCCUCGUCACUACUAAGCAAUUGUAUGCAAGUUUUUGAGGUAAUAACGCUUAACCAAUAAACUAACUUUCGCAUGAUAAAACUUAUCUCUAUCAAGACAAACUGCCAUGUGUAUCAUGCCAAAUACGUACACCUAGAUCCAUGAAAAUGAAUGGUAGAAAAUUUUCUUAAGAACUAAGGAACAGCAUUAGUAUUCCCUCUGCUUCCAAAAACUUGUGUAUUAAAUAGAUUAAUGAAUUGUUUAACAUGCUCAUUUACUUGAAAAUACACAAUACCCAUAACCUACUGAAUUUUUUGCAGGAAAAGGGAAAGACAAUCUGUGUUUGAGAGCUUCAUGAAGAUGUUGAAGAAUAAGAAUAAAAGCCCAAUGCGAGGAUGUUUCAAGUUUUUCUAUGUUUCCACUUUAAUUUGUAAAUUGAAUUUUGUGACUCAAUUAAUUCCCUGUUUGUGGGGUACGUGUUGUUUUACGUACCAUGCCGUACAGGUUUGUAAGGAUUUCUAUCCUAUUGGCAAAAGUCGGUUCCAUACAAUUAAUCAAUUCAUUUCACUUCUAUUGGCUCUACUAUUUAUGCAUGUUACGACAUUUUUUCUCUCUUUCCCUUAUAUUUUGCCUUUAAUAUUAUUGAAUCAAUAUUAAUAAUGGGCCUUUUUCUUAAAAUUAUACUAUUAUACAUAGGUUGUUUGGUCUAACGCUAAAUUCAUGUUUGUCUUUCUUUUAUUCCCUUUACAUCUCAAAGUAUACUAUAGUUUGUAAUCAUUGUGGUGAUGAUAUUGCCAGCUGGUACUUAUAGUUUAAGGCAGAGACAUGAUAUUAACAACUAUCUCAUUGAAACAUAAAGAAAAAUCAUGACAAGUGUGAGUCUUGGUUAAUGCACAAUUUGUUAGUGGAAUUUAUAUUUAUAAAACUCAAAAAAAAAUUUUGACAAUGCUAUUACUAAUUAAUUAAGGACUUUAUUGCUAUAAUUUAUCGCUUACUAGUUUAAACUAUAAAUGAUCUCAAUACUUUUCUCCAUGAUGUCGAUUUCUUUAGAUUACGAAAGGGAAAAAUUAGUGACAUAUCCCUUACUGAUUACAACAUCAGCAAAAAUUAGUUAUAAAUUUUUCCGGUGGUUUUAAAUCCCUCGGGCACUAAGAUUUUUUGCACAUCGAGUGAAUUGAGGAACAUAGGCAAUUCGUUCUGCAUACCAAGUCCUUGUUUAAGAUGCAAGUACUAAAAUGCAUCCACUUCAUUAAUUUGGGAAAUUGCCAUAGUUUUUUUUAAGCAUUUUGAUUUUUUACAUGAUUCAAAAUUUUCUUAUUGGAUACAAUCACUUUGUAUCAAGAACAUUUUCAAUCAUCCUUUUUAUCUUCUCAAUAAGAAAAUAAAAAUUUAUUCAUGCUUUUCUAACAUAUCCAAUCAUUGAUCUGAAAAAUAAAGAAUUUAAAAAAAAAGACAUUUUCAAUCAUUGCUUACAGGGCAACUUCCCCAUGUGAACCUCUUCAAACAAAGCCAAUAAUAUGAAGGAACAUCUAAAUACACUUUUGCCCUAAAGGCUGGUUGCCUUGGGGUCAAAAUUUAACCUUCGGGAGUAUAAUUACCCUGCCAAAUUUAUUAUUUUUUAUGGGUAUAUAGUUCCAAUUUUUCCUCCUGUUAAGCUUAUAAAUAUAUUAUCACCCAGAAAAUAAAGGAAUCUUGAAUACUAACAUGUCCAUUUACUUGAGUUGUCAUCAAUUUGGCUACUUCGAUUCCAUGAGGGCAAUCCAAUUCACACUUGCUAGAGAAAAUGGUGAUAAAGGCACAAAGAAAAUUAUAUGUAAUAUUGAUUGGUAGUAACCACCUUGUAUUGAUCCCACUAUUGUGGAUACUCGUGCUCUUAUGAAAAAAAAUUAUAAAAAAUUAGCAAAAUUUAAAAGAACAAAGUAAAUUUAUUCGUACAAAUCAGUCAAAGAAGUAGCAUUUUAAAGACCAUGAUGAAAUUAAUACUUUCAAGGUCUCUAUUAGGAAGACUUCCUUUGUUGGUGAAACUACACUAGGUACGGUUACAUGCAGAUGUUUACUGUUUUGGUACCUAAUUUCCUUGCCUUGAGUUGGGUGCAGAUGUUUAUAUUACAAAUAGAUGGUAUCAUAAAUUUGUUGUAUUAACGUCUGUUCUUUUUUUUCUUCCUUAAGUUUUUUUCUUUAUUCUCGUGACUUCAAAAAUACGAACUCAAGAAAUUAACUGCUUCGACAUUAAGGUAUAACUUCACAACUAGAGCCAAUAGAAAUCGUCAAAUGAUUUUUUGACAUCCAAAUUAAGCAAUAAAUUUUGUUUUCAUUUCACGGGAGAUUUUAUAGUUUCUUUUGGGUAUCAUACCUACAAGUGAUAAUUGUCAUUGGAUAGUGAAAGAAGUGUUAAUGAUUGUAAGAUUAAAUAUUGAAAAUUUAAACUAUUUAUCUUUAUUGAGAGAUACAACUUAAAGAAUCGUAUCCAAAAGAGACUAUAGAAUUUUCUCUGUUUUUCAUCAUCUGUAGACAUAAACUUUCUACGGUUGAUGUACUAUAAGGAAAUUUUGCCUAUACAAUGUGAUACCAUUUUUUCAAAAAGACAAGAUGGCAAAUUGCCCCCUUGAACGGAAAAAAUCAUGAUCUUUCCUCAAACUAGUCUACUUGUCAAUUCUUUGAAAAAGAAUACACUGCCCCGCAGAAUUCUAGAAAGUUAGGCAAAACUAGACAAGUUGACAGCUAUAAUCAUACCCAAGAUCAGGAACAAGCAGUUACACAUUUCAAAAUUCGCUGCUGCAACAACUAAUUUGAUGACUUACAACACUAAAUGGUCAAACUUUGAAUGGCAAUGAAUCUUUUGUUGUACAUCAUGAUGUAAUUUUCAUGUUACAUAAUAGAUUGAUAUCUAUGUUCUUUAAAUUAUCAUAAUAAUUAAAUUUAACUGAUAAAAAGAACACAUAUCAAUACACAAAAGUGUGUAACGUGAAUGUUAUAUUAGUGUAUUGCAGAAGACCUAUAGUCUCUUCACAUCUCUUCCUGCAUCUUUUAUGUUUUAUUACCUCCAAAAGCCUUUACAGGGUCUUUACCCUAAAAAUCAAUUCACCGACUCGCAUUUGAUGUCAGAAAUUCUUAAGACGAAUUCUACUUUACUCAAAGAUUGACUGUUAAUAAUGAGACAACGACCAUUUUGUAUUAUUACACCGUCCUUCUUGAUAGGCAAAAGAAAUAGAGAGGAAAGCGGGUCCGUAUAUGGUCUUUUAUUCAUAGAUAAUACAACAUUACGCCAUCGAGCAUUCACACAAUAUUUCAAAGUCAUUGCAUGCCUAAAGCCCCGCUUGAUAAUCCAAUUUCAUACUUAAAUUUAAUGGAUUCAAAUUUUAACACAUUCAAAUUGUUUGAUAACAAAAAAUUGAACGUCUAAAUUAAUUAAGUAACACUAAAUUUUUUAGACAAAACUUGCUCCCAAAAUUAAGUGAUAAGCUAUAUCACUUAUCACUGAAUGUGAUAUGCAUUCAAAUGUAUUAUAUUUAAUACUUAAUAAUUUAAUAAUUUAAUGGAUUCAAAAUUCAGAUUUUAGAUUUCAGUUUUAUCAAACAUACCCUAAGUUGCAAAAUAAUACCAAAACUUGUUAUUAUAUAGCUUGAGAUUCAAAAAUUUAGAGCAUAAUUCUCAACCUAACACAAUUGAAUAAUGAAUAUUCACGAUUGUCAAAUCUAUCAAAGUACAAUUUGAGGACAACCCAUUCCAACGCGUACACAAUUUCUCACUUUUCUAAAGUUGUUGAGAGCUGUUAAAAGAGAUUUACCAUGUUUACAUCUUCCAAGUCUUGGGAGUAAAAAAUGAAGCCACCGAGUGCUAUAAAAAGGGGGCUAGAGGCUGCCUAGAAGCAUAUCAGCCUAAAACAAGAAUUUGUAGUAACAAUGGGGAGCAAAGCAAAAGCAACGGGGUCUAGGCUGACUCCUCUUCUUACCACUGUUUUAGUGGUAUUUGUCGCCCUUGGCUUGCCCUUGGAAACUGCAGCUGAUUAUUACAAGUAUUCAUCUCCUCCUCCUCCUCCUUACCACUAUUCUUCACCACCACCUCCAGUGUAUUCACCUCCACCAACCCCUGCUUAUAAGUUACCCCCACCAUCUCCUCCAGUUUACAAGUCCUCACCACCACCUUACCACUACUCACCACCUCCGGUGUAUUUACCUCCACCAUCUCCAGUUUACAAGUCACCACCACUACCCCCUCCGGUAUACAACUCCCCGCCUCCACCAGUGUACAAAUACAAGUCCCCACCACCACCUCCUCCAGUUUACAAAUCUCCACCGCCACCAGUUUACAAAUACAAGUCACUCCCACCACCUCCUCCGGUAUACAAGUCUCCUCCGCCACCUGUUUACGAGUACAAGUCUCCUCCACCACCUCCUCCAGUGUACAAGUCCCCACCACCUCCAGUUUACAAGUACAACUCACCUCCACCUCCUCCCCCAGUUUACCUGUCUCCACCUCCACCCUAUCAUCACUACUACGGUUCUCCUUCUCCUCACCACUACUAAGCAAGUGCAUAAGUUUUGAGGUAAUAAUACCUAUCCAAAACUUUAUCAACACAAACUGCCAUGUAUAUCAUGCUAAGGACGUACACUUGAUCCAUGAAAAUGACUAGUAGAAGAUUUUUUUUAAGAACCAAAGAAAUACAUUAUUUUUUCGGUCUGUUUUCAAGAAUUUGAGCAGUAUACAGAUUAAAGAGUGUUUUUUUUUUUGUAAACUUGCUUGUCAACUUAAAAAUGCACAUAGCUGAAAGCCAACUGAAUAUUUGCAGGCAAAGGAGAAGGCAAUCGGUGUUUGAGACCUUCAAGAAGAUGUAGAAGAAUAAGAAUAAAAGCCCAAUGCGAGGAUGAUUCCAAGUUUCUACGUUACCAUUUCUACAUCUAAAUUGACUUUAGCUCCUGAGUUCCAUGUUUAUGGGGUUUGUACCGUUUUACGUACCAUGCAGUACAUGCUUGCAAGGUUUUCUGUCCUGUUGGCAAACUGCAGGUCCAUAUAAUAAAUGAAUACUAUUUACAUUACGACACUUUUCUCUUUUUCUCUUAUAUUUUGUCUUUAAUAUUGUUGAUCAUUUUUUUUUUAUCAAAAGCAUCAAAUGCUUAGGUAAUUUGGUCUAAUGCUAAUUGUUUUACUUUUAUUUUUCACCUACACCCCUUUUCAACUCAAAGGAUGCUAUAGUUUGUGAUAAUUGUUUAAGACCGAAGCAUGAUACUAAUAAAUAUCUCAUUGAAAGUCAAGGAAACUAACAUUAGGAAAAGUUUAAAUCUUGAUUUGAUGAAACUAUUUAUUCGUGGAAUUUAGAGAUACAAAACUCAAAUUGUGACGGUGUUGUUGCUAAAUUAUUAAGGACAUUAUCACCAUUAUUUUUCCCUGAUCACUAGUUUCAACUGCAAUGAUCUCAAUCUUUUUGUGACUAAUUCUUUCCUUAAUAAUUUAUAAAGACAAAACUCACAAAGAAUAUGUGACUAAUUCUUUCCUUUCGUCUUCUAAAGAAAAUGCCAACUGUUAGUUUAUCAAGGGGAAAAAGGAUCGACAUCAGUUAUUAUUGAAACUAGUAAGGAAUAAAUAAUGGUGAUAAUGUCCUUAAUAAUUUAACAACAGCACCAUCAGAAUUUGACUUUGAGCUUCGGUCUUAAACAAUGAUCACAAACUACAGCAUCCUUUGAGUUGAAAAAGGAAGUAGGUGAAAAGAAAAGUAAAAAAUACAAUUAGCAUUCCCUCAAAUUGUAGAAAGUUAGGUAGCAUUAUAGACAAGUUGAUAGCGGCAAUUUUACAUUUCAAACUUCACCUAUUCAAUAACUAAUUCGAUGGCUUGCUACAUGGUCAAUCUUUGGACCCCUUCCUGCCUCCAGAUAUCCCUUUCCUCAAUCAGGGGCUUCUACAAUUACCAGUUUCAAUUGUAUGGUAUAGUGUAAAUAUCAACAAAUUAGAUGUAGAUGCUAACAUAAUAAAUGUGAAUGCUAAGACAGCAACAUACAAUCGAACCUGCAAUUGUAUGAACCCCAAUCUCGCUUCCUAGUCCACCAUCUUUCUCUAGGUAAUAAUCUCCCUUCUAAUUUAUUCACAAAAUGCACCUUUCAUCACCUCCAAUAGCGUCGACAUGAUCUUUACCCUAGAAGACUAUUCACCGACUCUCAAUUGACGUCAGAAAAUCUAAGAGUAAUUCUACUUUACCCUAAGAUUGAUAUCAACAAGACAAGGACAAUUUAGAAUUAUUACACGCCUCUUCUUAAUAGGAAAAAGAAAUAGAGAAGAAAGUCAGGCCAGGUCUAAUUUCUUUUCAAAGGCAAUACAACAUUACGAAAUCAAGCAUUCAUUCAUACAAAUAUUUCAUAGUCACCGGUUUGCUGAGUAGAAAAAUUUAGACAAAAACUUAAUAUUAUAUUGUUUAAGAGUUAACAAUUUAGAGCUUAAUCUCCUUGUACUUUGGAGUUAACAAUUUAGAGCUUAAUCUCCUUGUACUUUGGACUAAACUUGAACGUGAAAGGAAAUCCCAAAACCAUAUUGGGCAUGAAUUCACACUUAAUAUACCCAAUAAAAGAUGGCGACUGGUGAAAGGCAGUGGAGACUGGUGGAGAGAUUUGAGGAAUAGAAGCAGACGGAAAAGCAACAAAUUUUUGCCGAAAAACGGUCACUUUCAUGGUUAAUUUUGCUACUCUCCAAUUGUACUUGACCAAUUACAACAAUUUCAUGGAGUUUGAUACGUGAAAAGAAUUUUUUAUAAAUUUUAUUUUGAUCCAUAAUGUUAUCUUUACAUAUAUAAAACAUUUUACAAUUUUGAUUUUGGCGCAGCUAACUUUUGGUUAACAAAAAUGCUCAUGUUUAAAAAACCAGAAAUAAAACAAAACAAGAAACAAAAGAAAUAAGAGGGUAGCAUAGACAUUUUGGAUUUUUCCGUUAAUUUGGAUGAUUUCCACCCACGUUCUAAUUUAAUCCAAAACACAAAGGAAUUACGUAGAGGUUUUAAAUAAUCAGGGAGCUUCAUGAUCGAACCCCAAACCACGUGAUAGCAUACAAGAGUUCUAUUUCACUAUCGGUAGACAAAGACUUUCUAUGGUUGAUGUACCGUAGGAAAAAAUCUGCCUAUACAACGUGAUAGCAUUUUUUCAAAAACACAAGAUGGAAAAUUGCCCCCUUAAACGUGGAAAUUCAUGAUCUUUCCUCGAACAAAGAAUACUCACGCCUAUUCAAGAUGGAAAAUUGCCCCCUUAAACGUCUAUUUGUCAAUUCUUGAAAAAAGAAUACUCACGCCUAAAACACGGCCUCUUCAUCUGCAGAAUUCUAAAAAGUUACGUAAACUCUAUAAACAAGUUGAUAGGUACAAUCGUACCCAAGAUCAAGUACAGAUAGUUGUACAUUCACUGCUGCAAUAACUAAUCUGAUGACUUACAAACAUAUCAUGGUCAAUCGUUGAAUGGUAAUGAGUCUUUUGUUAUGCAUUAGUAUUAGUGUGUACACUCUAAUAGAUUGAUACUUAUACUCUUUAAAUUAUCAUAAUAAUACCCUUAAUUAACUUUAACUCUUAAAAAGAAUACGUGUUAAUACACGAGAGUGUGUAACCUGAAUUGUUACUUAUACAUUAGUGUGUAAUAGAUAGGGAUGGCAGUGAGGGCGAGUGCCCGCGGGGGGCUCUCGGGGCGGGGGCGGGGGAGAAUUUUUUCCCCCCGUUUAGAAACGGGGCAGGGGACGGGGGAGUAUACCCCCGCCCCAUCCCCCGCCCCGCCACCCGCAAAAAAAAUUAUAUAUAUAUAAUUAUAUAUAAUAUGUAAUUUAAUUAGUUAUAAACUUAUGAUAAUGAUAUUAUUAGUUAGAUGUAUUAUAUAAUGUAUAUUAGUGUAUGUAAUAUAAUUAAUAUUAUCAAUUAUACGAAUAAUUAGACAUGUCCACUAAUAGAGUUUAUUAAUUAGUUAUACUAAAUUUACUAAUACAUUUGUACUAAAUUUCUAAUUACACUUAAUAGAAUAACACUUUUUUCUAAAAAAAAAAGCACAAACACAAUAAUGAAUUAGUGAUUGUAUUUGUACCAAAAGUGAAAACUUAACUAUUUUAGUUGUAUUUAUUUCAUCAUGUUGGAUUGUAUUCAAAUAAUUUUUGUUUGAUUGUUUUUAUGAGUUUCAAUUGUAAAAUUAAAAUGAAUAAUAACUUGAUGAUGUGUUGAUAUUUUAGUACUUGAUUAUUUAUUGAUUUAACUAUAAUAAAAUUUUAUUUUAUUAAAAUUUAACUAUAAUAAAAUUUUAUUAACCAAACGAGUUAUUAAUCCCGCGGGGGCACCCACGGGGGAAGCGGGGCGGGGCGGGGGAGUGGGAGGCGGGGGACGGGGCGGGGGUGGGGGGAGUUGUAGGUAGCGGGGCGGGGGAUGGGGGAGGGGUCCCCCGCCCCAACCCCGCCAUCCCCCGCCCCGUUGCCAUCCCUAGUAAUAGACUGGCAAGCAUUGUGGUGGUCAUUGAGAACUUACUGGAGAAAUAGUCCUAUAAGCUGUUCAAUGAGCAAUCACAACUUGCUAAUUGGAUGACUAAUAUAGCUCUAGCUGUAAUGUUUUAAUUAAAUUACAUCACUAACGUUGGGAUGACUUUUUAACCAAAAAAAAAUGCCUUAGUUCAAGCUUUUCCCUUUAUUGUGCAUUUUUUAAAGCAUUUGAUAGGCACUGCAAAUCUGUCAUUUUGGACAUUUUAUUAUUGACUAACAAUGAAAGCCGUGACGUCUACCCAUAACCAACACAAGAUUAAAUUAAUAUUAGAAAAAAUAAUUGAGUAAUUGGAAAAAAAAAAAGAGACUCAUUUUCAUUGAAACCCACCGACAAACUAAACGUGUCCAUGGCUUUUGAAUAGUGCAUUCAACGUUUAAUUGUAUAGUCCAGUUCAUUGCAGAUUACAUGGAGUAAAGAUUGUGCUCUUUCCUUUUUCACCCCUUUUGGAAUCGAUACUGUGGAGAAUUGGGUUUUUCCCUUCUUUUUUUCUUUUCUUUCCUUCUGUGCUUUGCAAAACAUAGGUAAAAAUAUGAAAUCCGAAGCAUUCUUUAAUUGGGAUUAAGUAUUGUUGUUGAAAUUAAAAAGAAAAAAGAAAGAACAACAAAAUUCCCAAUCUGGGUUGAUUGUUGAGCUCUAGAUUGGUUGCAUCGUGCUUCCAUAGAAGCUCUCUUAGUGUGAUACACUGCUUUCAAUCAGUUUAACACGGGAAAAAAAAAAAAAGAGAUGAAAAGCAAAUUUGGUGGGGAUAAUUUCAGAAACCUCCCCUGAAGAUUUUGACUAUUCUACUGGUCUCCCUUCAGAUUUUAAAAAUUACACUAAUCUUCCUUGAAGUUAAUUAUCUUGUAACAUUUAAAUUCAAUCAAUAAUUUAAAAAAUGAUAUUAUGAGAGAGAAAAUAAUGAUUUUAUCAUUGCCCCCCAUCUUACUACAUUAUUUAAUUAAUUUAAUAGCAACCCACACAUUAAAGAAAAAUAUUAAAAUUUGUUGUUUAUCAUUAAAGAUCAAAUCGCUUAUAACAUCAAAUAAUAGUAUAUUAUUUAUAUUUUUCACUCAAUAUAAUAUCCAAAUUACUCUUUUCAAUUACAUACCCAUUGUUAGACAAUCAACAACAAAUAACCAAAAAAUUUGCAACCAAAAUAUUACAAAAAAAUAAACUUUAACAUAUAAAUAUUCUUAUCAACAUAUUAAAGUUAGUUACUGAAAUUUUUAUGCUGUUAAACUUCACUCUUUUUGGUUACAGAUUUUUUUGAUUAUUUGUUAUUAAUUAUGUUUGAUGAUGGAUUUAUAAUUGAAAAGAACAAUUUGAAACUUACAUUAAGUAAAAUAUAUAGAGUGAUAUACUAUUUUUUAUAACAUAUGUGAUUCAAUCCUUCUUGAUAGGAUUGGUAAUAGAGGUAGAGGGGGGAGCCGGCUGCAUCCGGUCUACUUUUCAUAGAUAGUACAAUAUUGCGAAAUCGAUCGCAUUCACGCAAUAUUAUUUCCAAGUCAUUGCAUGGCUAAGCUGCAAAAAAAGUACGAACACAUGUUAUUAUAUAGCUUACGAUUCAAAACUUUAGAGCAUAACCCUCCACCUAACACAAUUGAAUAAUGAACAUUCACGUUUGUCAAAUCUGUCAAAGCACAGUUUGAGGACAACCCAUUCCAACCUGCAAAAGAUUUUUUACUUUUCUAAAGUUGUUGAGAGCUGUAAAAAGACUUACCAUGCUUGCAUCCUCCGAGCCUUGGGAGUUAAAAAUGAAGGCACUGAGUGCUAUAAAAAGGGGAAUAGAGGCUGCCUAGAAGCAUAUCAGCCUAAAACAAGAAUUUGUAGUUAAGAUGGGAAGCAAAGCAAAAGCAAUGGGGUCUGGGCUGACUCCUCUUCUUGCCACUGUUUUAGUGGUGUUUGUUGCUCUUGGCUUGCCCUCACAAACUGCAGCUGAUGAUCACUACAAGUAUUCAUCUCCUCCUCCUCCUUACCACUAUCCCUCACCACCACCACCAGUGCAUAUACCUCCACCUCAUCCUGUUUACAAGUACAAAUCUCCACCACACCCCCAGUACAAGUAUAAGUCACCACCACCACCUCCUCAUCCGGUAUACAGUCUCCUCCGCCACCACACACCCAGUUUACAAGUACAAGUCACCACCACCACCUCCUCAUCCGGUACCACACCCAGUUUACAAGUAUAAGUCUCCUCCGCCACCAGUUUACAAAUACAAGUCUCCUCCACCACCACCUCCAGUGUACAAAUACAAGUCUCCACCACCACCAGUUUACCACUACAAGUCUCCACCACAGUUUACAAAUACAAGUCUCCACCACCACCCCCAGUUUACAAAUACAAGUCUCCACCACCACCAGUUUACCACUACAAGUCACCACCACCUCCUCCCCCAGUUUACAAAUACAAGUCUCCACCACCUCCUCACCACUACUAAGCAAUUGCUUCUGAGGUAAUAACACUUGUUCAAUAUACCCACUUCUGCAUGAUAAAGCAUAUCUCUAUCAACACAAACUGUCAUGUCUAUCAUGCUAAGUGCCUUCACUUCAUCCACCAAAAUGACUGCUAGAAAAUUUUUUUUAUGUUACCAAAGAAAGGCAUCAUUUUUUCCCUCUGUUAUCAAGAACUUGUACAGUAUAUAGAUUAAAGAGUAUUUUUUUAACUAGCUUAUCAACUGAGAAAUGCAUAUAGCUGAUAGCCAGCUGAAUAUUUGCAGGCAAAGGAGAAGGAAACCAGUGUUUGAGACCUUCUUGAAGAUGUAGAAGCAUAAGAAUUAAAGCCCAAUGUGAAGAUGAUGAUUUCAAGUUUUUCUACGUUACCAUUUCUUUAUCUAAAUUGGUUGUAGCGCCUUAGUUCCUUUGUUUAUGGGAUUUGUAUCGUUUUACGUACCAUGCAGUACAUGUCAUGUUUGUAAGGUUUUCUAUCCUGCCGGCAAACCGCAGGUUCCAUGUAAUAAAUCAAUACUAUUUAUAUUACGACACUUUUCUCUGUUUCUCUUAUAUUUUGUCGUCUUUAAUAUUCUUAAUCAUAUUUUUAACAAAAAUAUUCAAACACUUAGGCAAUCUGGUCUAAUGCUAAUUGUAUGUUUUACUUUUCUUUUUCACCUGCUCCCCUUUUCAACUCAAAAGGAUGCAAUAGUUUGUGAUCACUGUUUAAGACGGAAGCAUGAUACUAAUGAAUAUCUCAUUGAAACUCAAGGAAACUAACAUUGCGAAAAGUGUAAAUCUUGAUUUGAUGCAACUAUUUAUUCGUGGAAUCUAUAGUUACAAAACUCAAAUUCUGACUGCGCCAUUGAUAAAUUAUUAAUGACGCUAUCAUCAUUAUUUAUCCCUAACUAGUUUCGACUACAACUGAACCCAAUAUUUUCCCCAUGAUAAAAGUUUUUGACUAUUUUACUGGCCUCUCUUCAAAUUUUAAAAAUUACACUAAUCUUCAUUGAGAUUAAUUAUCUUGUAACAUUUAAGUCCAAUUAAUAAUUAAAAAAUGAUAUUAUGAGAGAGAAAAUAAUAUAAUUUUAUCAUUGCCCCCCAUCUUGCUAUAUUAUUUAAUUAAUUUAAUAGCAACCCACACAUUAAAGAAAAAUACUAAAAUUUGCUGCUUUUCAUUAAAGAUCAAAUUGCAUAUGCCAUAAAACAUAGUAUAUCAUUCUAUAUGUUUCACUUAAUGUAAGAUCCCAAUUGUUCUUUUCAAUUACAAACCCAUUGUCAAUAACAAAUAACCAAAAAAUUUGCAACCAAAAUAUUACAAAAAAAAACUUCAACAUCAUAAAUAUUCUUACCACCUCUAGUGCAUUCACCCUCAUAAAAUAAUUCAAGACCCUACUGUCAUAAAAUGACUGAUCAACUCCCGUAAACCUAAUUUGACAACAUUUAAAUGGAGAACUUUAGCUAAAAGAAUUAUGGUCAAGCUAAAGAAAAAACCAGUUAUUUUCCAACAUAUGCAAUCAUUGAUCAGGGAAAAAAAAAAGAGCAAAAAGACAUCUUCAAUCAUUUAAUAGCUUACAGGGCAAAUUAACCCCUAAGCGAAAACUGGUUGCUCUAGAAUCAAAAUUUUACUUUAGUUACCCAGGCAACUUUUUUGUUGCUUUUUUUUUUUUUUUCCUUUAGUUUUGCCCCCUCUGUCAAGCUUAUAAAAUUAUUAAGAUAAUAAAAGUGCCUUGAAUAGUAUUAAUAUAUCCAUUGACUUGAGCUGUCGUCAGUUUGCGAUUCCAUGAGGCCUUUUCAAAGUACUCAGAAAAUGGGGAGUCAUGAAAUCCAUUUGUUCUAUUCAUUGCUAAGAUGCUUUUCUCUAUAAAGAGACUUCCUAACGAAAAUACUUUGUAGAUUUCUUUACUCCAAGUGGUGCAUGGAAAAUUAAUAUUUUCAAUUAUCAAAUAAAAUUCCCUUUUUUCGGCGUAGAUUUCAUCCAUCCAGCUGUUAACACAUUCUAUAAAUCCGAAUUGACUAAUCUUUUCGUUUCCAUUUUCCAACUUGCGAAUACGGCAUAUAGUGUCUGCUAAACACUAUAUAUUCUCUGCCAAAUAUGAAUACAUAUCACUUUUCUGAGCAAGUGCAGAGUCAUUAUCAUUUUUAUUCCCACCUAACAAAUUAGGGAUAAAAAAGUUAAUAAUCUUUACAUGCUAUCAGGUCACAAGUUAAUAAUCUUUUAAAGAACAUGUUAAAUUAAUUUAUUGGUAUGAAUAGUAGUCAAAGAAGUAUGUUAAAGUUAGUAAUCUUUAAAAUAAUAUGUUAAAAUCAUUCGUACAAAUUAGUCAGAGAAGUAGCAUAAACACCGCGAUGCAAUUAAUACUUUCAAUCUCAAGGUCUCUAUUAUGGAAAUUUGCAUCGGUCAAUAUACACUUGGCAUAAUAUAAUCUCCCAACUCAUUUCUUUACAAAUGCACCUUUAAUCACCACCAAAAGGUGUGGACAUGAUCUUUACCCUAGAAAACUAUUCACCGACAGGCAAAUUGACGUCAGAAAUACUGAGGAAUUCUAGUUUCCUUCGGGUUCAUGCCAUGUUGUAUCCUUCAACUGUAACUCGAUUUCUAAGCUGUAAUUUGUGACAUAAUAGUCCUUAAACUAUGAAACCCUUCUUACUUAAUUACAAUGGUUAAUACAAUGCCCGUGACUAGACAAGUAUGAAGCAACCAUAACAGAAAAAAAAUCCAAAAUUAGAGAAAAGAAAGAAGUUUCGCGACCACCACCAGUUUACAAGUCACCUCCACCACCUCCUCCAGUUUACAAGUCACCUCCACCACCUUACCAUUAUUCCUCACCACCACCUCCAGUGCAUUCACCCCCACCACCACCAGUUUACAAGUCUCCGCCACCACCUUACCAUUAUUCCUCACCACCACCUCCUGUGCAUGCACCUCCACCACCAAUUUACAAGUCACCUCCUCCAGUUUACAAGUCUCCACCACCACCUUACGAUUAUUCCUCACCACCACCUCCAGUGCAUUCACCCCCACCACCACCAAUUUAUAAGUCUCCCCCACCGCCUCCCCCAGUAUAUAAGUCACCACCACCACCUCCUCCAGUAUACAAAUCACCUCCACCACCUCCUCCAGUUGACAAAUCUCCACCACCACCAAUUUAUAAAUACAAGUCUCCUCCACUACCUCCUCCAGUGUACAAGUCAUCACCACCACCUGCUUACAAGUCUCCACCUCCUCCAGUUUACAGUUCCCCACCACCACCAAUCUACAAGUCUCCACCUCCACCCUACCAUUACUACUACAAUUCUCCUCCUCCUCCUCGUCACUACUAAGCAAUUGUAUCCAAGUUUUUGAGGUAAUAACGCUUAACCAAUAAAUUAACUUUCGCAUGAUAAACCUUAUCUCUAUCAAGACAAACUGCCAUGUGUAUCAUGCCAAAUACGUACACCUAGAUCCAUGAAAAUGAAUGGUGAGGAGGGCCAUUUAGGCUCGGAGCGCCCUAGGCCUAGUUCCCCACCAUUUCCUGAAGUGCCGCCUCGGGUAUUAUCCUGGAAGGCGAUCGCGGCCCAUUUACCACCUCGGCUACAAUGUCAGGUCGUAACACCGAGGUGGACAUUGAAUGACAACUACGAAAAGGGGAGAUGUGAUCUCUGACACCUGAGCAAAGGCUGCUCUGACCCGCCGCCUGAAUCUGACAGAAUGUCCCAUCACGUCUCUUCAUGGAGACCGGUCAAGUCCACCUGAUCCACUGACUAUCUCAGAUCUUUUGGGACCCGUGCAAACAUCUCCUCUCUCCUAUCAGUCCCCUAUAAAUACACGAUACUUCUACUGAAAAAGGAGAUGACCAAUUUCUGGUAAAACACACUCCACUCAUUAUUUACUUCUCUAUAUCCGAACUGACUUAAGCUUCGGAGUUAUACCGGGGGAUCCAGCCCCUUUCUUAUCCAAGCAGGUGACUUCGUCCAAGAGAGUUGCCCAAGGUAAAGAUAUUCUUCCAAUUGAGGUGACUCACUCCUGCGGGUCGAAAAUCACCUCUUCAAUUGGCGCCGUCUGUGGGAACCGCAAAGAUAUUAGAAGAUGAAGCCUGCGCGUUCUAGAAGCAGAAAAGCUCUCACUAUCGAGGCUGGGCAAAGCAAUGCAGCUCAACAAGAAAAUAUUUCUGAAGGGCAGGAGUCCCCAAGGACUCAGCCCGCAAACGAAAAAGCCAUAACCCGUAUGGCCGAGUUUGUGACCGAGAACCCCAACAUCUUUGAAGAGUUGGGAAGAUACCUGAAGAGGCAAGGCAAACAAAAGGCCGAGUCCUCUAAAAGGAUGUCAGAUGGGUCUCUUGAGGACUCAUCUGAGGAGGAGUCGGAUGGAAGGCACUUAAGCCGAAGUGCCUCAAAGCGAGCAUUUUCUAAGGCCACUUCUAAGGUAGCCUCCCUGACCAAGGCGUUUUCCCGAGGGCUCUUGGGCCGACGACCCGAGGAAGAACCUCGGCCCUUGGGAAUACCCGGGGUGGACUGCAUGAGGGCUCCACCGUUCACGGAUGAUAUAAACGAGGAAAGGCUUCCUCCCAAUUUUAAGCUCCCCGCAGUACAAUCUUACGAUGGCCGAGGUGAUCCCGAGAAUCACAUCCAUACCUUCAUCUCGGCCUUCCAAAUAUACUGCAUCCCAGACCCUGUCAUAUGUCGGGCCUUUCCAGUAUUCCUCAGAGGAACUGCUCGAAAAUGGUUCUGAGCUCUAGAACCUAGGAGCAUUUCGACCCUGGGUGAAUUAGUGGAGAAGUUUCUCCACCGAUUUGUCUCCUCCCGACCUACGACUAGGACCUCGGCUUACCUGCUCACCGUGCAGCAGAACCCGGGAGAGUCACUCCGGUCGUACGUCCGGAGGUUCCAUGAGGAAAGCGUUCAGAUACCUGACCCCAAUGAGCAGGUAACCCUCGCUGCCUUUACCCAUGGACUCGUUGCCGGGGAGUUCAAUACGGGGAUCCAUAAAAAAUACCCCCGCACACUGCAUGAAUUGUGGUUGAAGGUUGAAAAGGGCAUACAGGCCGAAGACCUCCAUCGCAUGAAGAAAGAGGUCCAAGCCACCCGUCCAAGGGCUGAGCCCAGAAAGGGAAAAGACGCUGGCCGAACUGAAGUAGGGUCGGGAAGUGGCUUCCGAAGUCCUGGCCGAGACCGCCGCAGCGUGUUCGACAGGAUAUCCAAGGGGAAGUCACCUAUUCCCGAGUCCGAGUUGACUCCUUUAAAUACUACCCGAUCUCACGUGUUGUCCGUGAUGGAACAAAACAACCUCGGCAAGGGCCCGCCGAGGAUGUUUGGAAGCAGAGACAAGAGGAACUCGAACCUCUACUGCUUGUAUCAUCGUGACAUUGGUCACGAAACUGAGGAUUGCAACGAUCUCAAGAAGGAGAUCGAGAACCUCAUUAGACGGGGACACUUGAAACAGUUCAUCCGCAGAGGUGGAGGUCACCAACGUGACGAAAACCGGCAUGACAAAUGAGGUGACCAACGCCGAGAUGAGCGGCGGAGCUCCAGAAGCAGUUGCCGACCUCCUGAGGAUCCCAGGGAGACGAAAAGGCCUCCCCCAGACGGAUCUUCGGGACAUGGGCCAACCAUUGCCCGGGUCAUUAACACCAUUGCCGGAGGUCCGACGGGAGGGGACAGUCAGAACUCCCGGAAGAGAACCUAUAAGCAGGCUAACCCGGAUCAGGCCGAGUCGAGUUCUCGCCUGUCCGAGGUGAUCACCUACGGGCUCAGUGAUCCCAUCCCAGCUGCAUCCAGCAGUCAUGAAACCUUGGUGAUUGAAGUCCUCACCAAUAACUACAUUGUGAAAAGGUCUACAUAGACCCGGGAAGUUCAGUUGACGUCAUGUACCUCCGUACCUUUGAGAGCCUUAAAAUGGCUAAGGGGUGCAUGACCCCGCUGAGAACCCCUCUUGUAGGGUUCGGGGGACACGUGGUGCACCCCGAAGGGAUGGUGACUCUGACAGUGACCAUAGGGCAUCACUCUCGCUGUAGAACCGUCCCUGUCAAUUUUGUGGUGGUUAAGGCUGACUCCCCAUACAACCUACUUUUAGGUCGGCCUACGCUCAAUGCCUUGCGGGCGGUCUACUCCACCUACCACCUGAGCUUCAAGUUUCCUACCCCAGCAGGGGUGGCCGAGGUCAGCAGCGACGUCUGUGCUGUCCGGGAGUGCUACCUCGCCACCCUACAAGCAGCCUCCCCGUCUACCUCCGGUGCGAGGUCCGAGAAGAGGUCAAAUAUCCUCUCAAUAGAUAGCAUCGAUCCUCAGUGAGCUGAGAAGGUCCCGAGGCUGGAGACUGGGGAUGAGGUGGAAGAGAUUCCCCUGGACCCCACGAAACCUGAUCAGACAGUUCGCGUUGGUACCCGAUUGCCCGGUCCUAUCCGAAGAGGUAUGAUGGACCUCCUCAGGGAAUACCGGGACGUCUUUGCUUGGGCCGCCGAAGAGGUCCAAGGAGUCCCGCACCAUCUCAUGAUGCAUGACUGAACGUCGACCCCCAAGUCCGUCCGGUCAAACAGAAGAGAAGGCACAUCGGCCCUGAGCGCAGCCAAGCUGUUGGUGAGGAAGUGGACAAGCUUUUACCCGCUAAAAUAAUCCGAAAAGUCCAAUACCCGAUCUGGUUGUCUAACUCGGUCAUGGUCAAGAAGGAUACGGGGGCUUGGAGAAUGUGCGUCGAUUUUACCGACCUCAACAAAGCCUGCUCCAAGGAUUGCUACCCCUUGCCCAAAGUCGAUACUUUGGUAGACUCAGCAAUGGGCUACGAGAUCCUCUGUUUCUGGGAUGCAUUCAAAGGCUAUCACCAAAUUGGGAUGAGUCAAGAAAACCAGGAGAAAACGGCCUUCUACACCGACCGCGGCACGUACUGUUAUACUACCAUGCCAUUCGGGUUGAAGAAUGCCGGAGCCACUUAUCAACGCUUGGUCAACCAAGCAUUCAAGUCUCAAAUCGGCCGGAAUGUUGAGGCCUAUGUAGAUGACAUCCUCCUCAAAAGCCAGACGAACUCCACCUUCCUGGCCGACUUGAAGGAGGUCCUUGACAUCCUGCGGAAGGUGAAAAUGAUGCUGAACCCCAAGAAAUGUGUUUUUGGGGUCACCUCGGGGAAAUUUCUAGGUUACCUCGUCUCAAGGCGAGGUAUCGAAGCAAAUCCGGAUAAGGUGCGAGCCAUCCAGGAGAUGUCUCCACCCCGGUGCGUCCGCGAUGUCCAAAGGCUGACAGGGCGAUUAGCCGCCCUGAAUCGGUUCUUAUCGCAGUCGGCAGCUAAAGCACUGCCCUUUUUCAAAGUGUUGAAGAAAGCUGACCAUUUCUCCUGGACGGAAGAGUGUCAACAGGCGUUUGAGCAGUUGAAGGAUUACCUUCACUACCUUCCAACGCUCACCUCACCUCGUCCGGGGGACAAAUUAAUCUUAUACCUUUCUGCUGCGGCCGAAGCGGUGAGUGCCGUGCUGAUAAGGAAGGAAGGGGUCCAAAUGCCCGUCUACUACGUUAGCCGAGUCCUCCGAGGUCCAGAGACCAGGUACACACAAGCAGAGAAACUUGUGCUAGCCCUGAUCCACGCCGCCCGCAGACUCAAGCCCUACUUCCUAGCUCACCACGUCUGCUUGAGGACUGAUCAACCACUUCGGCAGAUUUUGACACGACCAGAGGUUUCGGGACGUCUUACCAAAUGGGCCAUUGAGCUGGGGGAGUACGACCUAACUUAUGAGCCUCGCACAGCGAUCAAGGCCCAGGCUCUCGCAGACUUCGUAGCCGAGCUCACCUUUGACGAGGUGCAAGGAUCCGUCCCGGCUGCCACAUCGGCCACAGUUGAUGUGGCCACCACUGGGCUCCAGCGGUGGAUCCUACACGUGGACGGUUCGUCAACAGUGAGGGUAGUGGAGCAGGCUUGCUCCUCGAAGACCCCCAAGGAGAAAUAUGCUAAUAUGCCUUAAGAUUUGACUUCGCUGCUUCAAACAAUGAAGCUGAAUACGAAGCCGUCAUUGCUGGACUGCAGCUAGCUCGCAAGCUCGGGGCCGCACACAUCUUGGUUUAUAGUGAUUCCCAACUCGUCGUGUGCCAGAUAUUAGGUGAGUACGAAGCCAGGGACGAGGUGAUGCAUCGUUACCUCUCCAAGGUCCUCCAGUUGGCGACUCACUUCGAGUCUUUUGAAAUUCAAAGAAUACCGCUAUCGAAAAACAGAAGGGCUGACGCCCUCUCCCGGCUUGCCUCAACCUCUUUCUCUGACCUGAACAAGACGGUUCUCGUUGAAGUUCUAGCCGAACCAGGAUAUGUAGCCGAGGUAGUAUACCCCGUCUACCCUGGGGACACCUGGAUGGGUCCCCUGACUCGAUUUUUCAGCCAGGGUGAGCUCCCCGAAGACCGAGCUGAGUCACGGAAGCUCCAACGAAAAGCAGCACGGUACAUUCUCCGACAAGGCCUUUUAUACAAAAGGUCUUACCUCGGCCCUUAGUUGCGAUGUAUCACGCCCGAGGAAGGCCAGAGAAUCCUCCAAGACAUACAUGAGGGGCUCUGUGGUGCUCACGUCGGCUACAGAAUGCUGGUAAAAAAGGCUUUGUUACUUGGGUAUUUUUGGCCCACUAUGAGGAUAGAUGCCCAGGUCAUGGUCCUUUGCUGCCCCUCCUGCCAGCAUCACGCUCCUGAGCACCACCAGCCGACCAAUUUAAUGAUCCCUAUCACCUCGUCAUGGCCAUUUGAGCAAUGGGGAACGGACAUAAUUGGCCCCUUUCCCAGAGCUCCAGGCAAUUAUACCUACGUGGUGGUAGCAGUGGACUACUUCACCAAAUGGGUCGAAGCUGAACCCCUAAAAAAUAUCACUGGUGCGGCAGUCCAGAAAUUCUUCUGGAAGAAUGUGGUUUGCCGCUUCGGCCUACCCCGGGUGAUCAUCUCGGAUAAUGGCCGACAGUUCGCCGAUAAUCCUUUCAAGGCCUGGUGUGAGAACCUCGGGGUCAAACAGCAUUUCACUUCGGUGGGACACCCCCAAGCCAACGGACAAGCCGAAAACUUCAAUCGCACGCUCCUCCAUGGCCUCAAGACCAGGCUCCACCAGGCUGGAUCGUUUUGGAUGGAAGAGCUCCCCAGUGUGCUGUGGUCCUACCGAACUACGCCGAGAUCAGCAACCCAGGAAACCCCGUUUUCCUUAACCUACGGGUCAGAAGCUGUUGUUCCAGCCGAAUUCAUCACCCCGAGUCCACGAAUGGCCGCAUAUGCUGCCGAAGUCAAUGAAGAAGAACGGCGAGUUGACCUCGACCUCGUCGAAGAGAAGCGUGAUAUGGCCGCGGCCAAAGUUGCUGUUUACAAAAAUAUCGUAGCUGGCUACUACAACGCUCGGGUUAAACAUUUGCGGUUCAGUCCGGGAGACCUGGUGCUCAGGAAGAACUCAGUCAGCCGGGCUGAACCUCAGGGUAAACUAACCCCCAAGUGGGAGGGACCAUACCGUGUUGUUGAGUCCAGCCAAAAUGGAUAUUGUAAAUUGGCAUACCGAGAUGGGUCUCUGAGUGCCCCGAACUUGGCAUGCUGAAAAUCUUAAGUUGUACUACCCUUGAGGGUAUGUGCUUUUAAUCUUGAGUUAUUUCACACUUAUUUUCAUUUCAUUAUAAGUGAAAAAUAAGGGGACAAAGUAGCAGUAAAGAGGAAAACCGAAUUUAAUUAAAAAGAAAGCAAGAAUAUGAACUCAAUUCCAUUGAAUUACAUAAAAGUAGAAAGCCGAGGUCACCUUUAAUUAGGAAGAAAGCAAGAAUAUAAACUCAAUUCCAUUGAAUUACAUAAAAGUAGAAAGCCGAGGUCACCUUUGACCUCGGCCUACAAUGACAAAAAAAAAAACAAGUGCCUCUAGGCACUCCCUACCCUGACAUCCUGGCCCCCCGUGGUCGCGCCACCCGUUUCGGCACCCUGUCCACCCUCAGCUCCUCCACCGGCCUGGUCGUCUUCAGUACCAUCUAGUUCAAACUCCUGGAGCCAUUUGUUGAAUUCGGCUCGGACUUCGGUUAGGUCUUUCUCAGUCCGGAUGCCCUCAGCCAUGCUGUCGCAUAGCUCCUUGGCAUCCUCGUUAUAGUGCGAAGUGCUCUGAAGGGACUCCAGUUGUUCAGAGGGAAGAAAGGAUGCCGCGUCAUUAAUAGCCGACGUGUACCCGAACAUGAAGCUUGGCCGGGUGAGCUCGCCGAGGUCACGGAUGAAGGACUCUGACGUCCGGAAGGCUUCCACAGCAGUGACCCCGGCCUUGUCCAUGGCCUCCCUGUUUGACUGUUCUUCUUGGGCCCUCCUUUUUUUCUCCUCAUCAAGAGCAGUCACCAGGGAAUUGUUCGCGACCUCGGCCCUUUUGUUAGCCGCCUUGGCCUUGUCACGCUCCAACUCGGUUGCCUUCAGUUUUUCUUCCAACUCGGCAAUUCUCUUCUGGAGCUCGGCAGGAGGCUCAUAGUUUUCCAUGAACUUUCCAUACCGUUGAAUCAUCUCGACAAAAAAAGCCGUGGUAGAGGCCCAUGACACCGAGGCGCUCUGCAUCAACUCCCCUGCGGAGAGCUUCCUAGCAUAAGUGCUAUCUCGUGGCAGCACUGAAUGCACCAAGAGCUCCUGAGCGACCAAAGGGUUCUUGCAGCGAUCGUUGAAAUUAAUCUCCCACUCUGGACACCAGUGUGAUCCGGGGUGUCUCUUGUCCUCCUCAGCUGCCUUGAAAGGCACAUGAUGGAGUUUGAACAAAGAUGACCCCGUGACGGGGUUCUCCGGAAAUAUGGUCACACCCUGACCCCGGGGGGGAGUGGCAAUCGUGACCCAGCGAGAAGGGAUUCCCACCGGAAUUGCCGAGGCUCGGGAACCUCCCGGAGUGGCCGAGGUGUGCGAGCCCUCGCCCACGAUCACCACGGCAGGCUCGCGGUCGCCCGACGCCGCGGUGGUUUUCUUAGCCGGCCUGGAAGAGGACCCUGCAGUGUCCUUGCGCUUUUUGGGAGCUCUUUUGACCACCUCGACAUCUCCCGAGGUUAUCAGGUCGAAAAUCUUCGUCACUGCAAAGUAGGAGACGAAGUCAGUUAGAAUUCAAGAGGGAUAAACUAAAAGGGAAGAAAUGGAAAAAUACAAAGUCUGUGAAGCCUAGUCGAGAGUAAGACAGGCUGGUCAGAGCUCGUCAAGGCUCAACUGAUCCCGCCUUCCACGAGCACCACUUCGGGAAAAUCCCAGCAGUUUAUCCUGAGGCCCGACCCCGUUAACUUCUGGAAGUUACGCUCUUCUAACUUCCCUGGAGAUAUCUCCUUGAUCGAGGUGGGAGGCCUCCACCAGAAUCCGCGAGGGAAGUCAUCGGCCGAGACGAAGAAGAAGUUUUGCUUCCACUCCUUUAUUGAGUUCGGAGCAUCAACCACCAACUUCGGAACUUUGUUUCCGAAGUAGAACCAUCCUUUUUCACUUCUGCUGUUCUUGAGUGAGUAACAGCGGCGAAAGAGGUUGACCUAAGGUUGUAUCUCCUGAUGUCGGCAAAGUAGCUGGAAGCCAACGAGAAUGCGAAUAGCGUUAGGGGUGAGUUGAGUGAUUCUCACCCCCCAGUACCUCAGGCAGUCCCGAAGAAACCUCGUCGUGGGCACUCUGAGUCCGGCCUCCAGCUGUUCCUGAUAGAUAGUCACCUUGCCCUUUGGUGGCAGUGCGGCUGACUGAUGCGGUUGGGGUAUGUAAAUACUAUAAUCCCUUCUCCAGGGAUACCUGCGGACCACCUCGGCUAUUGAGGCUUGUCCCAUACCACUACUGAAGAACGGCAUCUGGCCGUAGUCGAGAGUUGCCACGUUUGGAGGAGUGGAAGGUUCUUGUACUCCCUCGUCUCUAGGGAUCUCAAUCCCGAGGUCAUCGUUGUAUAGGACCUCGGGCUGGACCUCGAUCUCCUCGGGCUGCACCUCAACCGCCUCAGCUCGGCGUGAUGCCUCGGCACCUCCACCCUCAGCUUGGUGAGAUGCCUCAGCACCUCCGCCCUCGGACGCGGUCCUUUCCUGGGAGGGGUCAGGCCUCUCUGCCUCAGUGAGGUCAGGUCUCACUGUCUCUUUGUGCGUACGAGCUGUUCUAGCCAUUGUAUCAGAAGGGGAAGAAGUGAACUUACUUAGAAUCUGCGACUGGAAGAAGAUGCCGAAGUAGACGUGGUUUAGAAAGGUUGCCGAAGUGAAAAGAGAAAGAAACAGAGUUCUGGGGUGAUUCUUGAUUUUUGGUGAAGAGUAAAACGGUGAAAAAAGACCACUAUUUAUAGGCCACCAGGGUGAAACCCAAGAGACGGCACCCUCUCUCUUCAUUAAUGGGAGGACUGUUCGUCUGCCAACACAGCUGACAGCCGUCCCUUCAGUUAUCACUCAGUCCCAUCUAUGCGGUCAUGACGUGUCCGUGUUCCGUGUUUUAUACGCUUCUCAGCUUCGGGAAGUAACGACCACGGCGGAUGCCCAUCUCGCCCUUCUCAAAGCUUGGGGGGCUUAGUGAGGAGGGCCAUUUAGGCUCGGAGCGCCCGAGGCCUAGUUCCCCAUCAUUUCCUGAAGUGCCGCCUCGGGUAUUAUCCUGGAAGGCGAUCGCGGCCCAUUUACCACCUCGGCUACAAUGUCAAGUCGUAACACCGAGGUGGACAUUGAAUGACAACUACGAAAAGGGGAGAUGUGAUCUCUGACACCUGAGCAAAGGCUGCUCUGACCCGCCGCCUGAAUCUGACAGAAUGUCCCAUCACGUCUCUUCAUGGAGACCGGUCAAGUCCACCUGAUCCACUGACUAUCUCAGAUCUUUUGGGACCCGUGCAAACAUCUCCUCUCUCCUAUCGGUCCCCUAUAAAUACACAAUAUUUCUACUGAAAAAGGGGAUGACCAAUUUCUGGUAAAACACACUCCACUCAUUACUUACUUCUCUAUAUCCGAACUGACUUAAGUUUCGGAGUUAUACCGGGGGAUCCAGCCCCUUUUCUUAUUCAAGCAGGUGACUUCGUCCAAGAGAGUUGCCCAAGGUAAAGAUAUUCUUCGAAUUGAGGUGACUCACUCCUGCGGGUCGAAAAUCACCUCUUCAAAUGGUAGAAAGUUUUCUUAAGAACCAAGAACAGCAUUAGUAUUCCCUCUGCUUCCAAAAACUUGUGUAUUAAAUAGAUUAAUGAAUUGUUUAACAUGCUCAUCUACUUGAAAAUGCACAAUACCCAUAACCCACUGAAAUUUUUGCAGGAAAAGGGAAAGAGAAUCUGUGUUUGAGAGCUUCAUGAAGAUGUUGAAGAAUAAGAAUAAAAGCCCAAUGCGAGGAUGUUUUCAAGUUUUUCUAUGUCCACUUUAAUUUGUAAAUUGAAUUUUACAACUCAAUUAAUUCCUUGUUUGUGAGGUACGUAUUGUUUUACGUACCAUGCCGUACAUGUUUGUAAGGAUUUCUAUCCUAUUGGCAAAAGUCGGUUCCAUACAAUUAAUCAAUUCAUUUCACUUCUAUUGGCUCUACUAUUUAUGCAUGUUACGACACUCUUUCCCUUAUAUUUUGCCUUUAAUAUUAUGAGUCAAUAGUAAUAAUGGGCCUUUUUCUUAAAAUUAUACUAUUAUACAUAGGUAGUUUGGUCUAACGCUAAAUUCAUGUUUGUCUUUCUUUUAUUCCCUUUACAUCUCAAAGUAUACUAUAGUUUGUAAUCAUUGUGGUGAUGAUAUUACCAGCUGGUACUUAUAGUUUAAGGCAGAGACAUGAUAUUAACAACUAUCUCAUUGAAACAUAAGUCAAAAUCAUGACAAGUGUGAGUCUUGGUUAAUGCACAAUUUGUUAGUGGAAUUUAUAUUUAUAAAACUCAAAAAAAAUUUUUGACAAUGCUAUUACUAAUUAAUUAAGGACUUCAUUGCUAUAAUUUAUCGCUUACUAGUUUAAACUAUAAAUGAUCUCAAUACUUUUCUCCAUGAUGUCGAUUUCUUUAGACUACGAAAGGGAAAAAUUAGUGACAUAUCCCUUACUGAUUACAACAUCAGCAAAAAUUAGUUAUAAACUUUUCCGGUGGUUUUAAAUCCCUCGGGCACUAAGGUUUUUUGCACAUCGAGUGAAUUAAGGAACAUAGGCAAUUCGUUCUGCAUACCAAGUCCUUGUUUAAGAUGCACGUACUAAAAUGCAUCCACUUCAUUAAUUUGGAAAAUUGCCAUAGUUUUUUUUAAGCAUUUUGAUUUUUUACAUGAUUCAAAAUUUUCUUAUUGGAUACAAUCACUUUGUGUCAAGAACACAUUUUCAAUCAUCUUUUUUAUCUUCUCAAUAAGAAAAUAAAAAUUUAUUCAUGCUUUUCUAACAUAUCCAAUCAUUGAUCUGAAAAAUAAAGAAUUAAAAAAAAAAGACAUUUUCAAUCAUUGCUUACAGGGCAACUUCCCCAUGUGAACCUCUUCAAACAAAGCCAAUAAUAUGAAGGAACAUCUAAAUACACUUUUGCCCUAAAGGCUGGUUGCCUUGGGGUCAAAAUUUAACCUUCGGGAGUAUAAUUACCCGCCAAAUUUAUUAUUUUUUAUGGGUAUAUAGUUCCAAUUUUGCCUCCUGUUAAGCUUAUAAAUAUAUUACGACCCAGAAAAUAAAGGAAUCUUGAAUAGUAACAUGUCCAUUGACUUGAGUUGUCAUCAAUUUGGCUACUUCGAUUCCAUGAGGCCAAUCCAAUUCACACUAGCUAGAGAAAAUGGUGAUAAAGGCACUUAGAAAUUUAUAUGUAAUAUUGAUUGGUAGUAACUGAUAAGUAUAUAUUUUACGUGUUUUAAAUAUGUUUUAUUAGUUAGUUUUGGUGUGUUUUAACUACUUUUAUAACUAAUUAACUAGGAAUCUAGUGAAAAUAUGCAUUUUGUGGUUUGAAGUGUGAAAAUUGUAUUUCUAUGGAUUUUAAUGGUGAAAACUUCAUGUUUUUGUAGGUUUAAUGAUUCAAUCAUCAAAUGACAUGAUUUGAGAAGAUAAUUAGAUGAUUGAUGAUGUUUUGAAGUGAUAAAAAGAGAAUACAAAGUGCAAGAGAGGAAAUGCAAUCAAGAAUAAAAGAAGAAAAUUUUUGUAGCUUUGACAUAUUGUGGUAUUUUGGCAAUAUAUUGAGCUACAAUGAUUGGAUUAAGGUGAUUCUUAAACCAUUUGAAGCUAAGAUAUAGAUCUACAUUUGGUAUGAAGGCAUCGAAACCCAUGUCAGUCAUUUUCCUUGUCAAAAUGUUGAAAUACAGAAGUGCAACUCUGUUCUCGAAAGCUAAAACAGAGCUCUGGCUAGUCGAGGGUAUUUUCAUCAUUUCUUAGUCCACAGAGCUCCAAAUGAGAUGAUUCUUAAGGCAUUAGAACCCUAACUCAAAGAGCUACAACUUUCAUAUUUUGUACAAGAGUUAGUUCGGCCUCCAUCAUUCAGAAAAUAGUAGUUGAAGUGGUGCCAAAUGCAUAGAAGUGAAAACGCGAGCUAUCAAUACUCGACCUGAAGUCGCGUAUUCCUGAGGUCAUGCAUUCUCUUCUAUUUUCUGCAACUUGCCCUGCUUUCACAUAAUUUUUUCAUCUCAAUUCCAACUAUCAAUUUCGGCUAUAUCUGAUCAAGAAAAGUGUGGAAAGUUUGAAAGACAACUCAUAGGAGUUUCAAGAGUCAAAAAUUACAAUUAGAAACAACUCAUUUGGCUCUUGAAUCCUCUAUAAAUAGAGGCCUUUGAAGAACAUUUUCACAACUUUGGAAGGUUAGAGAAACUCCACAAAAACAUAGUCUUCACUAGAAUUUCCUUAGUUCAUUAGUUAGGGUAGUAUAGUAUAGUUAGUGUAGCUUUUCCUUCUUGUAUUUAUAGUUAGGUUUGAAUGAAGAUUCAGGAGCAAAGAUAGAGAGGUUGAUCUCAUGUGACAAGGGUGAUAUCUCUUCUACUACUUUCUCUUUUGUAUUUGAUUUCAUAUUUAACUAUACUACAAAUUUGGCUUUGUUUUUUUUUUUUAUCAUGUUUAGUUAAAGUUUAUGCCUAGAGUAUGGAUGACCUUUCUAUAUCUUGUUUGUGAUAUUUAACUGGUUAUUUGAUGAUGUUAUUUUUGAGCAAGUUAUUUAUCACUUUUGCUUUUCUAAUCGUGAUUAACUGGCCAUUAGUUGUGAUUAUCUAAAAGUGUUAAGUUUGUAAUGAGAAUUGGAGUUUAACACUAGUUCAAGGAAGUGAUAAAUUUAGGGAGUUCACUCAUGAGAGUAGAGGAACACCUUUGUGACCUAAGUGACUUGUUUCAUAUAAUUUCAUAGAAAAAAUGAACUUGUAAUUAAUUUCAUAACCACGAGAGUAAGUAUGGUUUAGCUAUAUGUAUAGUUGAUUCACUACGAGAGUAGGUUUCACAUACAUUAGAAAAUUACAUCAUAACUAGUCAAGAUAAUAUCAUUCAUUUAAUCAGUAAUCUCAUUUGCAUGAGUAGUAAGGCAUUCCAUAUCUCUAGGAGGUUUUUAGUAUUAUUUUCAUUACUUUUAUGUUUAUGGUAGUCUAGAUAAUAAUGGAGUUCAAAAACUACUAGUAAUUGAAAAUUUUCCCUGUGGGAUCGACCUUUAAUACCCUAUACUCGCUCUCGACUCGUAUACUUGCGAAAAAUCACGUGUGCGGUAUUUAGAAUUUAUAAAUGUAAAACUUGACUGUAGAUGAACUAAUUGAUAUAUGUAUACCCCGCACUCGUCAGUAACCAGCUUGUAUUGAUCCCAUUAUUGUGGAUAAUUGUGCUCUUAUGAAAAAAAAUUAUAAAAAAAUUAGCAAAAUUUAUGAUAACAAAUUAAAUUUAUUCAUACAAAUCAGUGAAAGAAGUAGAAUUUUAAAGACCAUGAUGAAAUUAAUACUUUCAAGGGCUCUAUUAGGAAGACUUCACUUGUUGGUGAAACUACACUAGCACAGUUAUAUGCACAUUUACUGUUUUGGUAUCUAAUUUCCUUGCCUUAAGUUGGGUGCAGAUGUUUAUAUUACAAAUAGAUGGUAUCAUAAAAUUGUUGUAUUCACGUUUGUUCUUUUUUUUUCUUCCUUAAGUUUUUUUCUUUAUUCUCGUGACUUCAAAAAUACGAACUCAAGAAAUUGGCUGCUUAAUCAAUAUGUCAUACAGGCUUCGCUAGUGAGGUAUAACUUCACAACUAGAGUCAAUAGAAAUUAUCAAAUGAUUUUUUAACAUCCAAAUUAAGCAAUAAAUUUUGUUUUCAUUUUAUGACAUAUAAUAGUACUACUUCAUGAGAGAUUUUAUAGUUUCUUUUAGGUAUCAUACCUACAAGUGAUAUUUGUCAUUGGAUAGUGACAGAAGUGUUAAUGAUUGUAAGAUUAAAUAUUGUUAAAUAUUGAAAUUUAAACUAUUUAUCUUUAUUGAAAGAUACAAGUUAAAGAAUCGUUCAAGGGGGCAAUUUUCCAUCUUGUCUUUUUGAAAAAACGCUAUCACAUUGUAUAGGCAUGAUAGGUUCAAAUUUGUCAUUAAAUUUAUGAUUGAUUUCCCUUUUAUUCAAGCCAAAUAUUGUUUUAAUUAUCAAAUUCUACUUAUAUUUGGUUAAUUGUACUAAUUGUAGGGCGGUAGAGCAAAAGUUGCUAAAAAUAGGUGAUUUUCUGCAAAUUGGUUGUCAAGGCUGAAGGAUUUGGGAUUCGCAUGUUCAAGGCCUGUUUCCAAGUUUGAUUCAAACUCUGGACAGUUUUAGAGGAAGAUUUGGAAGAUUUGAAAUUUCAUUAUUAGUUUUAUGGUUGAAUUAGGAAUCUUGGAAUAAUUUCUUUUGUGAUUUAUUUUUCUAUUUAGGAGACUAGUUGUUAUUUAGUAGUAGACUUCAAUUAGAAAACAAAGAGAAAAAGAAGGCCGGAAUCCCGCUUGAUUAAUACCUUGGCCAGGGAACAAUCUCGGUGGGGAGGACGGCCACUUAGCCUCUCAAUUCAUCUUGCUUUUCGUUAGUUUGAGAGGAAAACCAAUUGCAACUAGAUUCAAUGGAGUCUGGCAGAAUUUCUUCUAGGAUGCGUAGCUAAAUCCUCAAUUUUUAGUCGAAGGUCAAUUUGAAAAUUCGGUUCCAAAUAUCUGUGAAAUCGAAUUAUUUUACUUAUUUCUUUUAUUUAUUGGUAUUCGCACGUUUUCUGAUUUAACUUUUUAUGAUUGUUUUGUUAUUUGAAUGUCAAGGGUCCGAUAUUCGAAUUAACUUAAUAAUCUACUGCCAAAUUAACCGGUUAAAUCCGUAAUUGUUUGAUUGAUUAAUAUCAGUGGCGACUAGCGUGAUUGGUCCCAUGUUAGGAAAACGUCUGAUCUAAUUUAAACAAACCGUCGUAGCGUGUUUGUUGAUUAGGGUUGGACUUUUCUAAUUCUUAAUUCAAUUGAGAAAUUAAAUCUCCCGGUCGUACCUAAGAUUAUUUUUUUGUUAGCGAAAUAGUUAAUGGUCGUACCUUGACUAUCGAAAAAGUAAGGAAGAGUUGAUUGUUUAUCGCGUGUACGACAACUAUAAUCAAUCUAUUAAUGAGUAAUUGAAUUAUCUUUGCAUCAGUAAUCAGUUGAAUGGACCGUGUCUGAAAAGUUGUACCUUUGGCUAGAGUCUUAUCUGUUGUUGAUUCAUUCAUAUCUAUCUUCAUGCGUUGUUUUAAUUUAGUUAAUUAGUUAUUUUUAUAAAAACCCCUCAUCUCUGGACUCUAAAAGAAAUAAAUUAUUUCUAGUUCCUGUGGAUUCGAUCCUACUCACCGCUAUAUACAAAAUUUGUAUUUUUUUGAAUAAAUAAUUAUUAUUACACAGGCUUGACACCUGUCAAGGCAAAAUUUCCUUAACUUCAUCAUCUGUAGACGUAAACUUUCUACGGGUGAUAUAAUAUAAGGAAAUUUUGCCUAUACGAUGUGAUAGCAUUUUUUCAAAAAAGACAAGAUGGAAAAUUGCUCCCUUGAACGGAAAAAAUCAUGAUCUUUCCUCAAACUAGUCUACUAGUCAAUUCUUUACAAAAGAAUACUCGCUCCUAAACAUAGCCUGUUCAUCUACACUGUCCCGCAGAAUUCUAGAAAGUUAGGCAAAACUAGACAAGUUGACAGGUAUAAUCAUACCCAAGAUCAGGAACAAGCAGUUGCACAUUUCAAAAUUCGCUGCUGCAACAGCUAAUUUGAUGACUUACAACACUACACGGUCAAACUUUGAAUGGCAAUGGAUCUUUUGUUGUACGUCAUGAUGUAAUUUUCAUGUUACAUACAUUAAUAGGUUGAUAUCUAUAUUCUUUAAAUUAUCAUGAUAAUACCCUUAAUUAGAUUUAACUGAUAAAAAGAACACGUGUUAAUAUACAAAAGUGUGUAACGUGAAUGUUACAUUACUGUAUUGCAGAAGACCUAUAGUCUCUUCAUAUCUCUUCCUGCACGUAUCAAUUCGUUUCCUCUAGAUAAUAAUCUCCCAACUCGUUUCUUUACAAAUGCACCUUUUAUGUUUUAUUACCUCCAAAAGCCUUUACAGGGUCUUUACCCUAAAAAUCAAUUCACCGACUCGCAUUUGAUGUCAGAAAUUCUUAAGACGAAUUCUACUUUACUCAAAGAUUGACUGUUAAUAAUGAGACAGCGACCAUUUUGUAUUAUUAGACCGUCCUUCUUGAUAGGUAAAAGAAAUAGAGAGGAAAGUGGGUCCGUAUAUGGUCUUUUAUUCAUAGAUAAUACAACAUUACGCCAUCGAGCAUUCACACAAUAUUUCAAAGUCAUAGCAUGCCUAAGGCCCUGUUUGAUAGCUCAAUUUCGUAAUUAAAUUUAAUAGAUUCAAAUUUUAACACAUUUAAAUCAUUUGAUAACAAAAAAUUGAAUAUUUAAAUUAAUUAAGUAACACUGAACUUUCUAAACAAAACUUGCUUUCAAAAUUAAGUGAUAAGUUAUUCACUUAUCUUUGAAUGUGAUAUGCACUCAAAUAUAUUAAAUUUAAUAAUUUAAUGGAUUCAGAUUUCAGAUUUCAGUUUUAUUACACACCCUAAGUUGCAAAAUAAUACCAAAACUUGUUAUUAUAUAGCUUGAGAUUCAAAAAUUUAGAGCAUAAUUCUCAACCUAACACAAUCGAAUAAUGAAUAUUCACGAUUGUUUCAAAGUACAAUUUGAGGACAACCCAUUCCAACGCGUACACGAUUUUUAACUUUUCUAAAGUUGUUGAGAGCUGUUAAAAGAGAUUUACCAUGUUUACAUCUUCCAAGUCUUGGAAGUGAAAAAUGAAGCCACUGAGUGCUAUAAAAAGGGGGCUAGAGGCUGCCUAGAAGCAUAUCAGCCUAAAACAAGAAUUUGUAGUAACAAUGGGGAGCAAAGCAAAAGCAACGGGGUCUAGGCUGACUCCUCUUCUUACCACUGUUUUAGUGGUAUUUGUCGCCCUUGGCUUGCCCUUGGAAACUGCAGCUGAUUAUUACAAGUAUUCAUCUCCUCCUCCUCCUCCUUACCACUAUUCUUCACCACCACCUCCAGUGUAUUCACCUCCACCAACCCCUGCUUAUAAGUUACCCCCACCAUCUCCUCCAGUUUACAAGUCCUCACCACCACCUUACCACUACUCACCACCUCCGGUGUAUUUACCUCCACCAUCUCCAGUUUACAAGUCACCACCACUACCCCCUCCGGUAUACAACUCCCCGCCUCCACCAGUGUACAAAUACAAGUCCCCACCACCACCUCCUCCAGUUUACAAAUCUCCAUCGCCACCAGUUUACAAAUACAAGUCACUCCCACCACCUCCUCCGGUAUACAAGUCUCCUCCGCCACCUGUUUACGAGUACAAGUCUCCUCCACCACCUCCUCCAGUGUACAAGUCCCCACCACCUCCAGUUUACAAGUACAACUCACCUCCACCUCCUCCCCCAGUUUACCUGUCUCCACCUCCACCCUAUCAUCACUACUACGGUUCUCCUUCUCCUCACCACUACUAAGCAAGUGCAUAAGUUUUGAGGUAAUAAUACCUAUCCAAAACUUUAUCAACACAAACUGCCAUGUAUAUUAUCAUGCUAAGGACGUACACUUGAUCCAUGAAAAUGACUAGUAGAAGAUUUUUUUUAAGAACCAAAGAAAUACAUUAUUUUUUCGGUCUGUUUUCAAGAAUUUGAGCAGUAUACAGAUUAAAGAGUGUUUUUUUUUUUGUAAACUUGCUUGUCAACUUAAAAAUGCACAUAGCUGAAAGCCAACUGAAUAUUUGCAGGCAAAGGAGAAGGCAAUCGGUGUUUGAGACCUUCAAGAAGAUGUAGAAGAAUAAGAAUAAAAGCCCAAUGCGAGGAUGAUUCCAAGUUUCUACGUUACCAUUUCUACAUCUAAAUUGACUUUAGCUCCUGAGUUCCAUGUUUAUGGGGUUUGUACCGUUUUACGUACCAUGCAGUACAUGCUUGCAAGGUUUUCUGUCCUGUUGGCAAACUGCAGGUCCAUAUAAUAAAUGAAUACUAUUUACAUUACGACACUUUUCUCUUUUUCUCUUAUAUUUUGUCUUUAAUAUUGUUGAUCAUUUUUUUUUUAUCAAAAGCAUCAAAUGCUUAGGUAAUUUGGUCUAAUGCUAAUUGUUUUACUUUUAUUUUUCACCUACACCCCUUUUCAACUCAAAGGAUGCUAUAGUUUGUGAUAAUUGUUUAAGACCGAAGCAUGAUACUAAUAAAUAUCUCAUUGAAAGUCAAGGAAACUAACAUUAGGAAAAGUUUAAAUCUUGAUUUGAUGAAACUAUUUAUUCGUGGAAUUUAGAGAUACAAAACUCAAAUUGUGACGGUGUUGUUGCUAAAUUAUUAAGGACAUUAUCACCAUUAUUUUUCCCUGAUCACUAGUUUCAACUGCAAUGAUCUCAAUCUUUUUGUGACUAAUUCUUUCCUUAAUAAUUUAUAAAGACAAAACUCACAAAGAAUAUGUGACUAAUUCUUUCCUUUCGUCUUCUAAAGAAAAUGCCAACUGUUAGUUUAUCAAGGGGAAAAAGGAUCGACAUCAGUUAUUAUUGAAACUAGUAAGGAAUAAAUAAUGGUGAUAAUGUCCUUAAUAAUUUAACAACAGCACCAUCAGAAUUUGACUUUGAGCUUCGGUCUUAAACAAUGAUCACAAACUACAGCAUCCUUUGAGUUGAAAAAGGAAGUAGGUGAAAAGAAAAGUAAAAAAUACAAUUAGCAUUCCCUCAAAUUGUAGAAAGUUAGGUAGCAUUAUAGACAAGUUGAUAGCGGCAAUUUUACAUUUCAAACUUCACCUAUUCAAUAACUAAUUCGAUGGCUUGCUACAUGGUCAAUCUUUGGACCCCUUCCUGCCUCCAGAUAUCCCUUUCCUCAAUCAGGGGCUUCUACAAUUACCAGUUUCAAUUGUAUGGUAUAGUGUAAAUAUCAACAAAUUAGAUGUAGAUGCUAACAUAAUAAAUGUGAAUGCUAAGACAGCAACAUACAAUCGAACCUGCAAUUGUAUGAACCCCAAUCUCGCUUCCUAGUCCACCAUCUUUCUCUAGGUAAUAAUCUCCCUUCUAAUUUAUUCACAAAAUGCACCUUUCAUCACCUCCAAUAGCGUCGACAUGAUCUUUACCCUAGAAGACUAUUCACCGACUCUCAAUUGACGUCAGAAAAUCUAAGAGUAAUUCUACUUUACCCUAAGAUUGAUAUCAACAAGACAAGGACAAUUUAGAAUUAUUACACGCCUCUUCUUAAUAGGAAAAAGAAAUAGAGAAGAAAGUCAGGCCAGGUCUAAUUUCUUUUCAAAGGCAAUACAACAUUACGAAAUCAAGCAUUCAUUCAUACAAAUAUUUCAUAGUCACCGGUUUGCUGAGUAGAAAAAUUUAGACAAAAACUUAAUAUUAUAUUGUUUAAGAGUUAACAAUUUAGAGCUUAAUCUCCUUGUACUUUGGAGUUAACAAUUUAGAGCUUAAUCUCCUUGUACUUUGGACUAAACUUGAACGUGAAAGGAAAUCCCAAAACCAUAUUGGGCAUGAAUUCACACUUAAUAUACCCAAUAAAAGAUGGCGACUGGUGAAAGGCAGUGGAGACUGGUGGAGAGAUUUGAGGAAUAGAAGCAGACGGAAAAGCAACAAAUUUUUGCCGAAAAACGGUCACUUUCAUGGUUAAUUUUGCUACUCUCCAAUUGUACUUGACCAAUUACAACAAUUUCAUGGAGUUUGAUACGUGAAAAGAAUUUUUUAUAAAUUUUAUUUUGAUCCAUAAUGUUAUCUUUACAUAUAUAAAACAUUUUACAAUUUUGAUUUUGGCGCAGCUAACUUUUGGUUAACAAAAAUGCUCAUGUUUAAAAAACCAGAAAUAAAACAAAACAAGAAACAAAAGAAAUAAGAGGGUAGCAUAGACAUUUUGGAUUUUUCCGUUAAUUUGGAUGAUUUCCACCCACGUUCUAAUUUAAUCCAAAACACAAAGGAAUUACGUAGAGGUUUUAAAUAAUGAGGGAGCUUCAUGAUCGAACCCCAAACCACAAGGCGAUUUACUAUAUUUUACUCUUAAAUUUUGGUUUCAUCUCAUAGCAUACAAGAGUUCUAUUUCACUAUCUGUAGACAAAGACUUUCUAUGGUUGAUGUACCAUAGGAAAAAAUCUGCCUAUACAACGUGAUAGCAUUUUUUCAAAAACACAAGAUGGAAAAUUGCCCCUUAAACGGGGAAAUUCAUGAUCUUUCGUCGAACAAAGAAUACUCACGCCUAUUCAAGAUGGAAAAUUGCCCCCUUAAACGUCUAUUUGUCAAUUCUUGAAAAAAGAAUACUCACGCCUAAAACACGGCCUCUUCAUCUGCAGAAUUCUAAAAAGUUAGGUAAACUCUAUAAACAAGUUGAUAGGUACAAUCGUACCCAAGAUCAAGUACAGAUAGUUGUACAUUAACUGCUGCAAUAACUAAUCUGAUGACUUAUAAACAUAUCAUGGUCAAUCGUUGAAUGGUAAUGAGUCUUUUGUUAUGCAUUAGUAUUAGUGUGUACACUCUAAUAGAUUGAUACUUAUACUCUUUAAAUUAUCAUAAUAAUACCCUUAAUUAACUUUAACUCUUAAAAAGAAUACAUGUUAAUACACGAGUGUGUGUAACCUGAAUUGUUACUUAUAAAUUAGUGUGUAAUAGAUAGGGAUGGCAAUGGGGGCGGGUGCCCGCGGGGGGCUCUCGGGGCGGGGGUUGGGGCGGGGGGGAAUUUUUUCCCCCCGUUUAGAAAUGGGGCAGGGGACGGGGGAGUAUACCCCCGCCCCAUCCCCCGCAAAAAAAAAAUUAUAUAUAAUAUGUAAUUUAAUUAGUUAUAAACUUAUGAUAAUGAUAUUAUUAGUUAGAUGUAUUAUAUAAUGUAUAUUAGUGUAUGUAAUAUAAUUAAUAUUAUCAAUUAUAUGAAUAAUUAGACAUGUCUACUAAUAGAAUUUAUGAAUUAGUUAUACUAAAUUUACUAAUACAUUUAUACUAAAUUUCUAAUUACACUUAAUAGAAUAACACUUUUUUCUAAAACAAAAAAGCACAAACACAAUAAUGAAUUAGUGAUUGUAUGAUAGGGUGUAAUUUUACUAUUUAUUUUAUUAUUAAUUUCCCCUAUCACCUGACCUGAUGUGGAUUAAUUGCUGGAUUCUGCUCACUUUUAGUACUUUGUAUUUAUUUCAGGGAGUAGAACGGAAAUUUGAUAACAGGUGCUAAUUUGGCAGAAAAAGAGUCCAGAUGAUAGAGCUUGCCCCAAGGGCAUUUUUGGAAAGGAGAACUUGUGCCCAUCUUGGUAAUUUGGGAGAAAAGGGAAACAGACAAAAUGGGUCUAACAUGGAUUGGAAGCGGCCGCACAGUAGCAGGGAAGAGGGCAGACGUAAAAGCAAUUGCAGGGGGGAAAAGGAGUUUUUUUAGUUUUUAGCUUAGCAUCUGAUUUUCCCUGGGAGACUUUUGUUAAAGAUUUCCUUUUGGCUGAUAUUACGCAUGGCAGAUGGCUUUUAACUUAUUCCUCCAUCUUUGACUUUUCUUCUUUAGCUUGUGGCAGUGGAUUGCUACUUACGAAUGUCAGCACUUAGCCAUUCGUGGCUUUUGAUCUUUUCUUCCUUAGAAAUUCUGAGUAACCUCUUUUCCUUUGUGCGCCAGACGAAGUGAAAACUAUAAACUUUUGUAGUUUUUCUAUUCAUUCAAUAUAUUGAGACGAGUUGGAUUCUACCAAAUUUCAACGGACAUGGCCGCUGGUUUCUCUUCAAUUUUAUAUGGGCUUUGUUCAUCCAACAUGAACUAAUUUCACCACUCUAGUCAAGGAGCAACGAAGGCUCUGAUUUGCCUAAAAAUUGUGAGAUCGUUUUAAUUUAAUCUUUUCCUUUUAUUUAUUGGUAUCCGCACAUUUCUUGAUUGCUAUGCUUAUGGUUAUUUAAUUAAUUGAUUGUCUUGGAUCCAGAUAAUUAAUUGAUCUGAUAGCCUAUUGUCAAUUAGGGCAUUUAAAUCCGUAAUUGUUUAAUUGUCCUGAAAUAGUGACAACUGGCACGAUUAGAUUCGUGCCAGGGGGGAUAUGCGGGCUAAUCUAAAAUAACCCUGGUAGUGUGUUAUUUGGUUAGAAUAGGGCUCCUCUAAUACUAAGGCAAUUGGGGAAUUAAAUUCUACGGGCGUACCUAGGAUUAUUUCUUAAUUAGAGCAGUGAUUAACGGGCGUACCUUGAUCACCGACACAGUAAGGAGGGGUUGACCGUCAUCGCUUGUUUGGCAGUUAUAACCUAUUUAUCAGUAAAUAAUUGGGAUUGCCUUGCAUCAAUGAUCAAUUAGGUGAACCAUUGUUGAAGUUACUUCUUGGUUAGAUCUUUAGUUAAUAUUACCUUGAUUUUGGUGAAUUGCCAUUUGAUUUUUAGUUGCCUACUUUAUUUUAUUUUUAAUUGUUUCCUUGCUUUAAUUGAGUUAGGCCUUUAAUUAUUGUUAUUCUAAGUUUAGUGAAUUGUGGUUUAAUUCCUAAUUAGUUAUUUAUUUUUACUUUCUUAUUUGAAUUUAUUUGCUUGUUAUCAUUCCUACGAAAUCACCCCCCUGUGUUACUUUGGAUUUCUUAAGAAACAAAUAUACCCAAUCCCUGUGGAUACGACCCUACUUGCUCUGUUCACGAAUUCAUAAUUAUUUGUGAAAAGAAAUAACCAUUCCACUCGGGUAUAUCGGAUCAAGCAAAUUCUUCGGGAACAGGGUGAAUCAAGUAACCCAAUGCACACCUAGAGUCCCUGCUCCAGUACUUGGAAUUGGGUUUUGGUCAUUUUAACUGGCAAUUAGGUUUAAUUUUAUUAUUGCACAGGCUGACGACCCUGUCAAUUUUUGGCGCCGUUGCCGGGGACUGGCGUUAUUAUUUGUUUCUUUUUAAAUUCAUUCUUUGUCCUAAUUUUCUGGUUUUCUUCUAGUGUAUGCCUCGAUCUUCUCGUACAGGUAAUUUGAUUUUUGACCCUGAGGUAGAGAAGACCGCAUGUAGAACGAGAAAGGAAACCAGACAGCUCAGAGAAGAGCACUCCAGUGCUACAUCUCAGAGACCCGAGUCAGAAGUUGAACUAACAGAUUCGUUUGGUAACACUUCGAGUGACUCUGACCAGGAGGAAGACACCAUGGCUAAUGCACGAACAUUAAGGGAGUUGGCUGCUCCUGAUUUAACUCAGCAGCCUUUAUGCAUUACUUUCCCCACUUUAAAUGAUAACAUUCCAUUUGAACUAAAAUCUGGUCUGAUUCAGCUUUUACCCUCUUUUCAUGGUUUACCAGGUGAAGAGCCGUAUAAGCAUCUGCAGGAGUUUGAUGUCGUGUGUAAUAGUAUGAAACCCUCGGGAAUCACAGAAGAGCAGAUAAAAAUGAGGGCAUUCCUCUUCUCCUUGAAAGAUUCUGCGAAGGACUGGCUGUACUACCUGUCACCAGGUAGCAUCACCACGUGGGACCAAUUGAAGAAAAAAUUUUUGGAUAAAUAUUUUCCUGCGUCCAGGGCUGCAAGUCUAAGGAAAGAAAUUUGUGGGAUCAAGCAGCAUCCAGGGAAGUCACUUUAUGAGUAUUGGGAACGGUAUAAGAACUUGUUGCGCAGGUGCCCCCAACACCAAAUAAGUGAGCAAUUGAUCAUACAGUAUUUUUAUGAGGGGCUCCUUUUUAGAGACAGGAGCAUCAUUGAUGCCAGGGGGGAGGGUUGGGAUGGGUGGUACGGGGGGAGGGAGUGUAAGCAAGAGGUCUCGGGUUCGAGUCCUCCCGCUUACACACAAAAAAAAAGAUGCUGCAAGUGGAGGGGCACUGGUAAACAAAACCCCUCAGGAAGCACGGGAGUUAAUAGAGGGGAUGGCAGAGAAUUCACAACAAUUCAGUACAAGAGAGGAUGUCCCAAUACGUAAGGUGAAUGAGGUAGAGACACCCUCUAUGCAGCAGCAGCUAACUGAGUUGACCGCGUUUGUUAGGCAACUGGCUGUGAGAAAUGCAUCACAAGCCAGGGUGUGCGGGAUUUGCACUGGUAUGGGUCAUUCUGCAGACAUGUGCCCAAUGAUUCAGGAAGAAACUGCAGAACAGGUGAACAUGGCUGACCACGCGCCCGCGCCAAGGAAGCAGUACGACCCUUACUCAAGCACCUACAACCCCGGGUGGAGAGAUCAUCCCAACCUCAGUUAUGGAGAAAAUAGGCAGCCCAACAUUACACCGAACAGGCAGUCUAACUUUGUGCCAAAUAGGCCACCAGGGUACCAGCAGCAAUAUCAACCCCGACCACCUCCGUCCCCAAGCUCUGGCCCAUCUUUGGAGGAGAUGAUGAAACAAAUGAUGACAACUAUGGCUCAAAAUCAGCAAAUGACGGAGGCAACCAUUAUGCAAAAUCAGCAAAGGACGGACUCCGAAAUGAAGGAUAUAAGGAAUCAGAUAAGUCAAAUGGUCACAACAAUCAACCGUUUGGAUUCCCAGAACCAAGGUAAAUUGCCAUUUCAGCCCGAAUUAAAUUCGAAGAACGUGAGCGCAAUGACCCUAAGGAGCGGGAAAGAAAUUCAGGGGUCUGAACCUGUGAUCCCUAAGGAUAAGGAUGAGGAAAAGAUCGAAAAUGAGCUUGAAAGGGAGGACAGCAAUGGUGCAGAUCUAAAGGUACUUCCUGACCCAAUAAUUACAGCUAAAACUAACCCGCCUCCUUUUCCUAGCAGGUUGGAAAAAUCGAAAAAAGAGGAUAAGGAGAAGGAGAUCUUGGAGGUUUUUCGCAAGGUUGAGAUAAAUAUCCCCCUCUUAGACGCAAUCAGACAAGUACCAAAAUAUGCCAAGUUCCUAAGGGACUUGUGUGUCAACCGAAGGCAGUUGAGGGAAGAUGAACGGGUUAUUGUUGGGGAGAAUGUGUCAGCAGUCCUGCAGAGAAAGCUCCCACCAAAGUGCGGGGACCCAGGUAUGUUUACUAUUCCCUGUAGGAUAGGUAAUACUGUGAUAGAAGGGCCAUGUUGGAUCUGGGAGCAUCAAUUAAUCUCAUACCUAAAUCUAUCUAUGCUUCUCUAAAAUUAGGUCCAUUAAAAGAAACUGGAAUAAUCAUUCAAUUAGUUGACCGAACUAAUGCAUAUCCUGAUGGGUUGGUUGAAGAUGUGUUGGUAAAAGUUAAUGAUUUGAUGUUUCCAGCUGAUUUUUAUGUACUUGAUAUGGAUGAUGAUCACUCCCCUGAUCCCUCACCUCUGUUAUUGGGUAGACCCUUUAUGAGCACAGCACAGACGAAAAUUGAUGUUAAUAAGGGUAUCUUGUUCAUGGAGUUUGAUGGGAAAAUUGUGCAUUUCAAUAUCUUUGAUACUAUGAAAUAUCCCUCAAACUCCAACUUUAGCACAGUUUUCUCUGUGAGUGCUAUUGACCCUGUAGUGCAGGAAGUGUUUGAAACUGAUGGCAGGGAUGAGUUGGAGGUGGCUUUGACCAAGCACCUCGAGUUGGAGACAACUCCUGAGGUGGAAUGGAGCGAGGACCUAAAAUGCACAAUAGGUGCAUUACACUCAUUGCAGUCCACCACGAAAAGGUAUGAAGUCUUACCUAUUUUUACUCCCGAACCUCACCAGAGGGUGUUGCCAUCUGUGGUGCAGGCACCUGUACUAGAAUUUAAACCUCUAUCAGAGCACCUGAAAUAUGCAUAUCUGGGUGAUAAUGAGACACUCCCGGUGAUUAUCUCAUCGACACUGUCAAAAAUCCAGGAGGAGAAACUGAUCCGGGUCCUUAGAGAGCAUAAAGAGGCGAUAGGUUGGACAAUCGCAGAUAUUAAGGGGAUCAGCUCGGCCAUCUGUAUGCACCGGAUUAGACUAGAAGAGGAUGCCAAACCUGUUAGGCAGGCUCAAAGGAGGCUCAACCCCCUAAUGAUGGAAGUUGUAAAGAAAGAAAUUUUAAAAUUGCUAGAUGUGGGGAUUAUUUUUGCAAUAUCAGAUAGCCCUUGGGUAAGCCCGAUCCAGGUAGUCCCAAAGAAGGCAGGGGUGACGGUGGAGGCAAACCAAACGGGUGAGCUCGUGCCAGUGCGCAAACCCACUGGAUGGAGGCAGUGUAUAGACUACCGUAGGCUAAACGCCGUCACCAAAAAGGACCAUUUCCCUCUCCCUUUCAUUGACCAAAUGGUUGAACGUUUAGCUUGUAGAGCUUAUUAUUGCUUUUUGGAUGGAUUUUCAGGAUACUUUCAGAUAGCAAUUGCUCCAGAGGAUCAAGAGAAGACAACCUUCACGUGCCCGUUCGGGACCUUUGCUUAUAGACGAAUGCCAUUUGCGUUGUGCAAUGCACCUGCAACAUUCCAGAGGUGUAUGGUAAGUAUUUUUUCUGAAUAUGUGGAGAAAAUUAUUGAAGUUUUCAUGGACGAUUUCAGUGUGUAUGGUGAUAGUUUUGAUACGUGUUUAGAUAAUCUGAAAUUGAUCCUGAUAAGGUGUAUAGAGACUAAUCUUGUGCUUAAUUGGGAAAAAUGUCAUUUUAUGGUUGAGCACGGGAUAGUCCUGGGUCAUAUUGUAUCGUCUAAGGGCAUAGAAGUUGACAAGGCUAAAAUAGAUAUUAUUUUUGCAUUACCUUACCUCGCGAGUGUGCGGAAGGUGCGUUCUUUUCUUGGACAUGCAGGUUUUUAUCGAAUGUUCAUCAAGGAUUUUUCAAAAAUUGGAGCCCCGUUAUUCCAACUCCUACAAAAGGAUGUGACCUUCGAAUUCGAUGAUAAGUGUGAGGAAGCCUUCAACAAGUUGAAAGAAUUGUUGACCUCACCCCCAAUUAUCCAGCCCCCUGAUUGGAGUCUACCAUUUGAGAUCAUGUGCGAUGCCAGUGAUCAUGCCGUAGGGGCUGUAUUGGGGCAAAGAGUAGGGAAGGCAGCUCACGUCAUCUACUAUGCAUCCCGAGCAUUGAAUGGAGCCCAAUUGAAUUACUCCACUACUGAAAAGAAGCUUCUUGCAGUUAUUUUUGCUUUAGAAAAAUUCAGGUCAUAUUUGCUAGGUGCUAAAGUAAUUGUAUUUUCUGACCAUGCAGCAUUAAGGUACCUAAUGACCAAGAAAGAUGCCAAACUGAGGCUCAUUAGGUGGAUAUUGCUACUGCAGGAAUUUGACCUGGAGAUACGGGAUAAAAGGGGCUCAGAGAAUUUAGUAGCUGACCAUCUGAGUCGUAUACCCGUUGGAGAGGAUAAUGAACCAUUGAGGGAUGCGUUCCCUGAAGAGCACUUAUUUUCUUUAAAUUCUCAGUUGCCUUUGUAUGCCGAUCUGGUCAAUUAUUUGGUAACUGGUAAUUUUCCUGCAGGUUGACCAAAAUCGAAGAGGGAUAAAUUGAAGAGCGACGCCAAGUAUUUUAUUUGGGACGACCCGUACCUAUGGAAGAGGUGUGCAGAUCAAGUGAUGCGGAGAUGUGUAAGUGAAAUGGAAUUUCAAUCGAUUUUAGCUUUUUGUCAUACUUUUGCCUGUGGAGGUCAUUUGGACCCAAGAGAACUGCUCAUAAGGUUUUAGAAAGUGGAUUUUAUUGGCCUUCAUUGUUUAAGGAUGCCUAUGUGUUUUGUAAGUCAUGUGAUCGCUGUCAAAGGGUAGGUAAUAUACCCCGUAGAGAUCAAAUGCCCCAAGUCCCGUUGAUUUUUAUUGAAAUUUUUGAUGUCUGGGGUAUAGAUUUCAUGGGGUCUUUUCCUACUUCAUUUGGUUUUUUAUAUAUUUUGCUGGCAGUUGAUUAUGUGUCUAAAUGGGUGGAGGCUAAGGCCACUCGAACUAAUGACUCGAAAGUAGUUGCAAAUUUUGUCAGGUCUAAUAUUUUUGUGCGAUUUGGAAUGCCUAGUGCUAUUGUCAGUGAUAGGGGAACGCACUUUUGCAACAAAAUCAUAGCUGCGUUGUUUCGCAAGUAUGGUGUACUCCAAUGGGUCUCAACGUCGUACCACCCUCAGACCAAUGGUCAAGCGGAGGUGUCGAAUCGAGAGAUCAAGUCUAUCUUGGAGAAAAUGGUGCGCCCCGAUAGGAAAGACUCGAGUCAAAGGCUGGAGGACGCACUUUGGGCCUAUCGGACGGCGUACAAGACUCCUAUAGGGAUGUCACCGUACAGGUUGGUAUUUGGGAAGCCGUGUCACCUUCCAGUGGAGUUUGAGCACAAAGCUUUUUGGGCGAUAAAGUAAUGCAACAUGAAUUUAGAGGAAGCCGGUGCCCAACGAAAGUUGGAUUUGCAAGAAUUAGAAGAGAUCCGGAACGAGGCUUACGAAAAUGCACUAAUUUAUAAGGAGAGAAGCCGGAUAUUUCAUGAUCAACAAAUUUCAAGAAAAUCCUUUGAAGUUGGUCAGAAGGUCCUACUAUACCAAUCCAGGCUCAAGCUAUUCCCAGGUAAACUACGUUCCCGUUGGAUUGGACCUUUUCUUGUUACUCAUGUUUUUCCAUAUGGUGCAGUUGAAAUCCGGAGCGCUAAAACAGACAACAAAUUUGUGGUGAAUGGACACCGUCUCAAGCAUUACUACGAAGGAUUUUCAGGUGAAAAGGUGGAGACAAUAAGUCUAGACGCGCCACCGUGUCCUAAUCAGUGACAUUUUACUAUGUCUAGCCAAAGACAUUAAAGACAGGCGCUCAUUGGGAGGCAACCCAAUUGUCCCUUUUAAUUAUUUGUUUGAUUUCGUGUGAUAGUUUAAAUAUGUUUUCCUUGAAUUCGACUGAUUUUGGGUUUCAGUUUUCGUUUUUGCUGAAUUGUAGGUGACCUUCAGUCUUGACGCGCCCGCGUGAUGACAUGCAGGAAGCUCACGAUCAGAAUCGUCUGAAAGCUCUCUUGCCCUUUUGACGCACCCGCGUGAUGACGUGCAGGAAGCUCACGAUCAGAAUCGUCUGAAAGCUCUCUUGCCCUCUUGACGUGCCCGCGUCACGUUCGCAGGAAAGGUACGGGUUUCAAAAAUUUAAAGAAAAAAUAAUAAUAAUAAUAAUUUAAAAUUUUGAAAUUAACUUCCGUAAAAAAAAAAAAGAAGAAAAAAAAUUUCACCGUGGCUUAAAUAGAGCCUAAAGAAGAGAAAAAAGAAACAAUUUCUUUCUUUUUUUUUUCUUUUUCUUCUUUCUUCCUUCUUUCUUUCUUUCUUCUUUCUCUUUUCCCUCUCUCUUCUCCCCUGUUUCUUCUCCCCUGUCCGUCGCCCGUGCGCCCCAUCGCUGCUCCACCUCCACACGCACGCCGACGCUGCGAGCCACCUGCGACCCCAGCGCCAGAUCUGGACCAUCGCCGAAACCCGCAGCCUCCGCCACCUCCACCUGAGCUCUGCCUCGCGCGCAACCCAGCUGCUCUGCGCCCGAAGCUCCACCGCCGCCACAGCCUCCCCACGCAGCUCCCUGCUCACGCGGCCACAAGCCCAUUGGAAACGGGACAGAGACUGCCGCCGAGCCACUUGCCCGCGUGACCGCCGCUGUUUUCCACCACCUCCCUCACGCGAGCUCUUUCCCUCUCAGCAGCAAUCCACUUCACAGCGCACCCGCUGCGCGCCGUCGCAGCCCUCGCAGCUCCAGCCCGUCUGGUCUAGUCCGCCGCGCGCACCAACCACCCACGGACGCUACCCCCAUCGCUAACCCACGCGGCCUCCACUCCAGUCUGUCCGCCGCCGCUGCUCGUGUCUCCCUUGCGCACCUCACGCCACCCGCUACUGUCCCCUUCCGUUUGGUUAGCAUCCACGGUGGAGGUAAUUGGAGGUUAUUUUCUCAAUUGUGUGACUUCCGCCUGUGAUACUGGUUGCAUUAUUUUUGCUGGGAAUUGCUACUUCUUUUGGGUUGGGUUCAACUGUGCAAUUAAUUGGCCAACUGGAGCCAUUUGUUGGGAUUUUGGGUGAGCUGAAAUACUGCAUUUGUGUGUUACAUUGGGAGGUUUAUUGGGUACAUUCUAACCGCUGUUUUCCAUUGUUACUCUCGCUGGGGUGUCUAUUAAAUUGCGAUUGAAGUAUUUUGGAUAUUGCAUGUUGAGAUUGAGGUUUCAUUGAAUUUGGCCUACGUUCUGCCCCCAGUGGUACUGGUGGGAAUAUUUUCAAUUGAAUUUGUUACCUCUAGUUGGUUGGCUACAUUAUUAUGGUCGAAUUCCUAAGUUGUCGUCAUUGCAUUUGUUGAUCUUGAUUUGGGGCAUUAACCGGCCAACUGGAGCCAUCUGUGCGUUUUUAGGCGCUAUUAUUGGUUUCUUCUCCCUUAACUUUGUCAACUAUAUUUGGUUGGGUAUUUGGUUGACUGCCACGGACUUGUAACUGUGUUUUGCUUCUAAUUGACCAGUUGCACAGCAGUUUUUUUUUAAUUGAUAGGGUGGUUAUACCUCUGGAUAUUUGUAUCCACUGGUUUGAGGACAUGGUGAGACCAAAAUCCUCCUCUAGGUCUAGGACCCCUAGAACCUCGCAAUCCCAACCCCAAGCCUCUACUCUAGUCAAUACCCCUAUAAAUCAACCUACUGCUCCCGGUGUCCGAACCUGGUUAGGUAGGGGUAGAGGUGCCCACGUGGCUUCCGCCACUCACUUGGGAGGGCAUUUGGAAUUCACUAGAGCCGCCGAUCAGCGACGCUAUGCUCAAGCUUGUGAGCGGCGUAUCAUUCCGUGCAAAUGCGCGGACCACAUUACUAUGGUUUUUCUGGGGAUCCAAGGGGAGGUUGAGCGCAUGUACACCGCCAUUGGAUGGCGCCCCUAUCUGGAUAUUUUCCAGCCAGCCUUUGUCGAGUUGACUAGAGAGUUUUACACCACUUUUAAGUUUGAAUUACCGACUAGGUAUACUGUUGCGACUCCCGAUAUCAUUCACUUCCGUCUCAUGGGCCAGGAAUUCAAUUUCUCUAUCACCCAGUUCAAUCUGGCUUUCGGUUUCAUCACUCGGGAGUAUGCAGAGACUAGGGAAUACGGUGAGAGUGCCUGCGAUUUUGUGGAACCUUUCCUUACCGCCUACCGUGAGGUGUGGGAGGACAUGUCUGUGGACAUGCAGCGUUACGAUCCCUCUCGGUCUCGGAGCUCCUUUCUAGAGGACCCGAGUGCUCGGUAUGUUCAGCGGCUUUUAGCAUAUAGCUACUCGGGCAGAAAGAACAGCUUCGGUAUUAUCUCUCGGCCGGAGCUCUUCUUCCUUUGGUGUAUGAAGAAUGGGUUCAAGGUCAAUUUGGGUUGUUGGUUGGCGGCACAGUUCAAGACCGUCAUGGCAAAGAAGAACAAGCCGUUGAUUCUUGGGUCGUAUAUCACGUACUUGGCGGUCCAGCUAGGCGUUCUGAAUCUACAGGAUCACGAUUUGCACUUGGCCUGCGACAUGGAGUAUCUCACUGCUGACCGGCUAGAGAAGAUGGGGGUUCUGGAGCUUGUCGAUGGCCACUACCGAUUUGUGCCCCCGGGACCGCCCCGCGCCCCGCCUCGCUCUUCCUCCACCCAUUCGGCCCCAGUUGGCGGUGAUCCUGGCCCGUCGACAUCCGCUCAGCUCCCUCCACCAGCAGGGGCUGAAGAUUGGCACCAAAUCAGGACGCAGAUUCAGAAUUUGGACGCCCGGAUGAUUAGCAUCGAGAGCAACGUGGCGGCUAUAUCACAGAAUCUGGCGGCAUUCCUGCAGCACUCGGGUUUCCCGCCCCCAAUCCCACCUCACCCUCCACUAUGACCCGGUUUCAGGGAAGUUUGGUUACUUUCUCCCUCACUUUUGUUGUUUUUUGACACAUUGAGGACAAUGUGUCCUAUAGGUGUGGGGGGGUCUAUAGUCUUUCUAGUUUUUAGUAGUUGUUAGUUUUUAGUUUUUUAGUAGUUUUAGUUUUAUUUCUAGUUGCGUAUUUUCUUUCUUUUCUUAGUGCUUAUUCCCCAUGUGAAAAGAAAAAGAAAACAAAAAAAAAGAGAAAAAAAUGUUGGUUUAUUGACUCUAACUCUACUUUUGCCAAGUUUUUUUUAAAUAAAAAUGUAUCGGGUUAAUGUGGUUGGAUCCAGAAUAUCUCCCUGGUGAAUAUCGGAUUGCUUGGCUCUUUUGAUUUCUGUGUUAAUUUCUCUAGGCAUAGGGAAUGACUGUUGGCAUUUUAAUGUGAACUGGUCCAAUAUUGACUCCAGUUCUCUAUGUUUGGCAAUAAUGAGGCGAGCUGUUCCUAUUUUUGGUUCUUAGUGUUGUUAUUAUGUGUUUUUGGCUUUGUUUGGCUGUGAAUAAUCUGGACUGUACUCCGCUAUGAGUUACUACUGAGUAACCGAGGAUCGGCACCUAAAAGUGUCGAUUCUCGCGUCAAAAGGUGGUACUUUAUAUGAGUACGUGGUCGUAUAGCAGUAGGAGCUGAGUAACCGGGCUCCUUCAUCUAAAAAUGUUGGAGUUCGCGUCAAAAGGCCCCGACGGCUAACGACUAAGUCUUUUUGUGUUAAUUAUUAUUGCUUUGAAAAACAAAAAAAAAAAAGAACGAAAAAAGAGAGAAUAAAUAAUAGGAAGGCUUGCCGGUUUAUGGACUUAAUAUGGAGACUUGUGUGAAUAUUUGGACCAUUAGCUAAUAAAUGUUGUGCGCCAUUCCCUUUUCUUAGAGUAGUUAACCUGGAAAUUGAAGGAAUUUGCAGUUUAGGGGCUAACCGGGGGGGAGGCUUCUUGGAUUUUAAUCACCAAUGCUCGAUAUAUGUUUUUCUCUUGAAGAUCUUGGCAAUAUAGGAGAUUGGACAAUGGCCAUCAUCGAAUUUUGGUGUUCGUUUACUAUUCUUAUGCUUGAGGACAAGCAUGGUUUAGGUGUAGGGGGAAUUGAUAGGGUGUAAUUUUACUAUUUAUUUUAUUAUUAAUUUCUCCUAUCACCUGACCUGAUGUGGAUUAAUUGCUGGAUUCUGCUCACUUUUAGUACUUUGUAUUUAUUUCAGGGAGUAGAACGGAAAUUUGAUAACAGGUGCUAAUUUGGCAGAAAAAAGUCCAGAUGAUAGAGCUUGCCCCAAGGGCAUUUUUGGAAAGGAGAACUUGUGCCCAUCUUGGUAAUUUGGGAGAAAAGGGAAACAGACAAAAUGGGUCUAACAUGGAUUGGAAGCGGCCGCACAGUAGCAGGGAAGAGGGCAGACGUAAAAGCAAUUGCAGGGGGGAAAAGGAGUUUUUUUAGUUUUUAGCUUAGCAUCUGAUUUUCCCUGGGAGACUUUUGUUAAAGAUUUCCUUUUGGCUGAUAUUACGCAUGGCAGAUGGCUUUUAACUUAUUCCUCCAUCUUUGACUUUUCUUCUUUAGCUUGUAGUAGUGGAUUGCUACUUACGAAUGUCAGCACUUAGCCAUUCGUGGCUUUUGAUCUUUUCUUCCUUAGAAAUUCUGAGUAGCCUCUUUUCCUUUGUGCGCCAGACGAAGUGAAAACUAUAAACUUUUGUAGUGUUUCUAUUCAUUCAAUAUAUUGAGACGAGUUGGAUUCUACCAAAUUUCAAUGGACAUGGCCGCUGGUUUCUCUUCAAUUUUAUAUGGGCUUUGUUCAUCGAACAUGAACUAAUUUCACCACUCUAGUCAAGGAACAACGAAGACUCUGGUUCGCCUAAAAAUUGUGAGAUCGUUUUAAUUUAAUCUUUUCCUUUUAUUUAUUGGUAUCCGCACAUUUCUUGAUUGCUAUGCUUAUGGUUAUUUAAUUAAUUGAUUGUCUUGGAUCCAGAUAAUUAAUUGAUCUGAUAGCCUAUUGUCAAUUAGGGCAUUUAAAUCCGUAAUUGUUUAAUUGUCCUGAAAUAGUGACAACUGGCACGAUUAGAUUCGUGCCAGGGGGGAUAUGCGGGCUAAUCUAAAAUAACCCUGGUAGUGUGUUAUUUGGUUAGAAUAGGGCUCCUCUAAUAUGUAAGGCAAUUGGGGAAUUAAAUUCUACGGGCGUACCUAGAAUUAUUUCUUAAUUAGAGUAGUGAUUAACGGGCGUACCUUGAUCACCGACACAGUAAGGAGGGGUUGACUGCCAUCGCUUGUUUGGCAGUUAUAACAUAUUUAUCAGUAAAUAAUUGGGAUUGCCUUGCAUCAAUGAUCAAUUAGAUGAACUAUUGCUGAAGUUACUUCUUGGCUAGAUCUUUAGUUAAUAUUACCUUGAUUUUGGUGAAUUGCCAUUUGAUUUUUAGUUGCCUACUUUAUUUUAUUUUUAAUUGUUUCCUUGCUUUAAUUGAGUUAGGCCUUUAAUUAUUGUUAUUCUAAGUUUAGUGAAUUGUGGUUUAAUUCCUAAUUAGUUAUUUAUUUUUACUUUCUUAUUUGAAUUUAUUUGCUUGUUAUCAUUCCUACGAAAUCACCCCCCUGUGUUACUUUGGAUUUCUUAAGAAACAAAUAUACCCAGUCCCUGUGGAUACGACCCUACUUGCCCUGUCCACGAAUUCAUAAUUAUUUGUGAAAAGAAAUAACCAUUCCACUCGGGUAUAUCGGAUCAAGCAAACUCUUCGGGAACAGGGUGAAUCAAGUAACCCAUUGCACACCUAAAAUCCCUGCUCCAGUACUUGGAAUUGGGUUUUGGUCAUUUUAACUGGCAAUUAAGUUUAAUUUUAUUAUUGCACAGGCUGACGACCCUGUCAUUGUAUUUGUACCAAAAGUGAAAACUUAACUAUUUUAGUUGUAUUUAUUUCAUCAUGUUGGAUUGUAUUCAAAUAAUUUUUGUUUGAUUGUUUUUAUAAGUUUCAAUUGUAAAAUUAAAAUGAAUAAUAACUUGAUGAUGUGUUGAUAUUUUAGUACUUGAUUAUUUAUUAAAAUUUAAUUAUAAUAAAAUUUUAUUAACUCAACGAGAAAAAUUUUAUUAAUCCCGUGGGGGCACCCGCGGGGAAAGCGGGGCGGGGCGAGGGGAGUGGGAGGCGGAGGACGGGGCGGGGGCGGGGGAUGGGGGAGGGGUCCCCCGCCCCAACCCCGCCAUCCCCCGUCCCGUUGUCAUCCCUAGUAAUAGACUGGCAAGCAUUGUGGUGGUCAUUGAGCAACUUAUAGGAGAAAUAGUCCUAUAAGCUGUUCAAUGACCAAUCACAACUUGCUAAUUGGAUGACUAAUAUAGCUCUAGCUGUAAUGUUUUAAUUAAAUUACAUCACUAACGUUGGGAUGACUUUUUAACCAAAAAAAAAAAGCCUUAGUUCAAGCUUUUCCCUUUAUUGUGCAUUUUUUAAAGCAUUUGAAAGGCACUGCAAAUCUGUCAUUUUGGACAUUUUAUUAUUGACUAACAAUGAAAGCCGUGGACGUCUACCCAUAACCAACACAAGAUUAAAUUAAUAUUAGAAAAAAUAAUUGAGUAAUUGGAAAAAAAAAAAAAAGAAGAGUCUAAUUUUCAUUGAAACCCACCGACAAACUAUACGUGUCCAUGGCUUUUGAAUAGUGCAUUCAACGUUUAAUUGUAUGGUCCAGUUCAUUGCAGAUUACAUGGAGUAAAGAUUGCGCUCUUUCCUUUUCACCCCUUUUGGAAUCGAUACUGUGGAGAAUUGGGUUUUUCCCUCCUUUUUUUCUUUUCUUUCCUUCUGUGGUUUGCAAAACAUACGUAAAAAUAUGAAAUCCGAAGCAUUCUUUAAUUGGUAUUAAGUAUUGUUGUUGAAAUUAAAAAGAAAAAAGAAAGAACAACAAAAUUCCCAAUCUGGGUUGAUUGUUGAGCUCUAGAUUGGUUGCAUCGUGCUUCCAUAGAAGCAAGAUUUGUAAAAUCGGAAUCCUACAUAGGAUCGAUUUUAGUUUCACAGGAUCGGAUUGUAAAAUCGUAAGAUCCUACCAAAAGCUCUCAAUUGCAAUUAAAGGUUGCAAUUCUUUAAUAAAUUACAAAUAUACCACAAAUAUUUUCAUUUACUUGCAAAAUGGAGCUUCGUAUUUCACAAAUUUACAAAAAAAUUGUAGGAUCGUACGAUCCUACCGAUCCUACGAUCCUACACGAUCCUACCGAUCCUGCUACGAUUCUAUGCGAUCCUACAAAGAUUAAUAUGAUUUGCGACUCUGCAUACGAUCCGGAUCGAUUUUGGUUAUCCGGAUCGUAGGAUCGUAUGAUCCUACGAUCCGGAUCGCGAUUUUGACAACUAUGCAUAGAAGCUCUCUUAGUGUGAUACACUGCUUUCAAUCAGUUUAACACGGGAAAAAAAAAAAGAGAUGAAAAGCAAAUUUGGUGGAGAUAAUUUCAGAAACCUCCCCUGAAGAUUUUGACUAUUCUACUGGUUUCCCUUCAGAUUUUAAAAAUUACACUAAUCUUCCUUGAAGUUAAUUAUCUUGUAACAUUUAAAUUCAAUCAAUAAUUUAAAAAAUGAUAUUAUGAGAGAGAAAAUAAUAUGAUUUUAUCAUUGCCCCCCAUCUUACUACAUUAUUUAAUUAAUUUAAUAGCAACCCACACAUUAAAGAAAAAUAUUAAAAUUUGUUGUUUAUCAUUAAAGAUCAAAUCGCUUAUAACAUCAAAUAAUAGUAUAUUAUUUAUAUUUUUCACUUAAUAUAAUAUCCAAAUUACUCUUUUCAAUUACAUACCCAUUGUUAGAGAAUCAACAACAAAUAACCAAAAAAUUUGCAACCAAAAUAUUACAAAAAAAAUAAACUUUAACAUCAUAAAUAUUCUUAUCAACAUAUUAAAGUUAGUUACUGAAAUUUUUAUGCUGUUAAACUUCACUCUUUUUGAAUACAGAUUUUUUUGAUUAUUUGUUAUUAAUUAUGUUUGAUGAUGGGUUUAUAAUUGAAAAGAACAAUUUGAAACUUACAUUAAGUAAAAUAUAUAGAGUGAUAUACUAUUUUUUAUAACAUAUGUGAUUCAAUCCUUCUUGAUAGGAUUGGUAAUAGAGGUAGAGGGGGGAGUCGGCUGCAUCCGGUCUUCUUUUCAUAGAUAGUACAAUAUUGCGAAAUCAAUCGCAUUCACACAAUAAUAUUUCGAAGUCAAUGCAUGGCUAAGUUGCAUAAAAGUACGAACACUUGUUAUUAUAUAGCUUAAGAUUCAAAACUUUCGAGCAUAACCCUCCACCCAACACAAUUGAAUAAUGAAUAUUCACGAUUGUCAAAUCUGUCAAAGCACAGUUUGAGGACAACCCAUUCCAACCUGCAAAAGAUUUUUUACUUUUCUAAAGUUGUUGAGAGCUGUAAAAAGACUUACCAUGCUUGCAUCCUCCGAGCCUUGGGAGUUAAAAAUGAAGGCACUGAGUGCUAUAAAAAGGGGAAUAGAGGCUGCCUAGAAGCAUAUCAGCCUAAAACAAGAAUUUGUAGUUAAGAUGGGAAGCAAAGCAAAAGCAAUGGGGUCUGGGCUGACUCCUCUUCUUGCCACUGUUUUAGUGGUGUUUGUUGCUCUUGGCUUGCCCUCACAAACUGCAGCUGAUGAUCACUACAAGUAUUCAUCUCCUCCUCCUCCUUACCACUAUCCCUCACCACCACCACCAGUGCAUAUACCUCCACCUCAUCCUGUUUACAAGUACAAAUCUCCACCACCCCCACCACCACACCCAGUUUACAAGUAUAAGUCACCACCACCACCUCCUCAUCCGGUAUACAAGUAUAAGUCUCCUCCGCCACCACCACACCCAGUUUACAAGUACAAGUCACCACCACCACCUCCUCAUCCGGUACCACACCCAGUUUACAAGUAUAAGUCACCUCCACCACCUCCUCAUCCGGUACCCACAGUUUACAAGUAUAAGUCACCACCACCACCUCCUCAUCCGGUAUACAAGUAUAAGUCUCCUCCGCCACCACCACACCCAGUUUACAAGUAUAAGUCACCACCACCACCUCCUCAUCCGGUGCCACACCCAGUUUACCACUACAAGUCACCACCACCACCUCCUCAUCCGGUACCACACCCAGUUUACCACUACAAGUCACCACCACCUCCUCACCCAGUUUACAAAUACGAGUCUCCACCACCACCAGUUUAUAAGUACAAGUCACCACCACCUCCUCCACCAGUUUACAAGUAUAAAUCUCCUCCACCACCACCACCAGUUUACCACUACAAGUCUCCACCACCUCCUCCCCCAGUUUACAAAUACAAGUCUCCACCACCUCCUCACCACUACUAAGCAAUUGCUUCUGAGGUAAUAACACUUGUUCAAUAUACCCACUUCUGCAUGAUAAAGCAUAUCUCUAUCAACACAAACUGUCAUGUCUAUCAUGCUAAGUGCCUUCACUUCAUCCACCAAAAUGACUGCUAGAAAAUUUUUUUUAUGUUACCAAAGAAAGGCAUCAUUUUUUCCCUCUGUUAUCAAGAACUUGUACAGUAUAUAGAUUAAAGAGUAUUUUUUUAACUAGCUUAUCAACUGAGAAAUGCAUAUAGCUGAUAGCCAGCUGAAUAUUUGCAGGCAAAGGAGAAGGAAACCAUGUUUGAGACCUUCUUGAAGAUGUAGAAGCAUAAGAAUAAAAGCCCAAUGUGAAGAUGAUGAUUUCAAGUUUUUCUACGUUACCAUUUCUUUAUCUAAAUUGGUUGUAGCGCCCAAGUUCCUUUGUUUAUGGGAUUUGUAUCGUUUUACGUACCAUGCAGUACAUGUCAUGUUUGUAAGGUUUUCUAUCCUGCCGGCAAACCGCAGGUUCCAUGUGAUAAAUGAAUACUAUUUAUGUUACGACACUUUUCUCUGUUUCUCUUAUAUUUUGUCUUUAAUAUUCUUAAUCAUAUUUUUAACAAAAAUAUUCAAACACUUAGGCAAUCUGGUCUAAUGCUAAUUGUAUGUUUUACUUUUCUUUUUCACCUGCUCCCCUUUUCAACUCAAAAGGAUGCAAUAGUUUGUGAUCACUGUUUAAGACGGAAGCAUGAUACUAAUGAAUAUCUCAUUGAAACUCAAGGAAACUAACAUUGCGAAAAGUGUAAAUCUUGAUUUGAUGCAACUAUUUAUUCGUGGAAUCUAUAGUUACAAAACUCAAAUUCUGACUGCGCCAUUGAUAAAUUAUUAAUGACGCUAUCAUCAUUAUUUAUCCCUAACUAGUUUCGACUACAACUGAACCCAAUAUUUUCCCCAUGAUAAAAGUUUUUGACUAUUUUACUGGCCUCUCUUCAAAUUUUAAAAAUUACACUAAUCUUCAUUGAGAUUAAUUAUCUUGUAACAUUUAAGUCCAAUUAAUAAUUAAAAAAUGAUAUUAUGAGAGAGAAAAUAAUAUAAUUUUAUCAUUGCCCCCCAUCUUGCUAUAUUAUUUAAUUAAUUUAAUAGCAACCCACACAUUAAAGAAAAAUACUAAAAUUUGCUGCUUUUCAUUAAAGAUCAAAUUGCAUAUGCCAUAAAACAUAGUAUAUCAUUCUAUAUGUUUCACUUAAUGUAAGAUCCCAAUUGUUCUUUUCAAUUACAAACCCAUUGUCAAACAUGAUCAAUAACAAAUAAUCAAAAAAUUUGCAACCAAAAUAUUACAAAAAAAAACUUUAACAUCAUAAAUAUUCUUACCACCUCUAGUGCAUUCACCCUCAUAAAAUAAUUCAAGACCCUACUGUCAUAAAAUGACUGAUCAACUCCUGUAAACCUAAUUUGACAACAUUUAAAUGGAGAACUUUAGCUAAAAGAAUUAUGGUCAAGCUAAAGAAAAAACCAGUUAUUUUCCAACAUAUGCAACCAUUGAUCAGGGGAAAAAAAAAAGCAAAAAGACAUCUUCAAUCAUUUAAUAGCUUACAGGGCAAAUUAACCCUUGAGUGAAAACUGGUUGCUCUAGAAUUAAAAUUUUACCUUAGUUACCCAGGCAACUUUUUUGUUGCCUUUUCUUUUUCUUUUUUGGGUAUAUAGCUCCAGUUUUGCCCCCUCUGUCAAGCUUAUAUAAUUAUUAAGAUAAUAAAAGUGCCUUUAAUAGUAUUAAUAUAUCCAUUGACUUGAGCUGUCAUCGAUCGGUUUGGGCUACUUCGAUUCCAUGAGAACAAAUGGUAAUAAAAGUACUCAGAAAAUGGGGAGUCAUGAAACCCUUUUGUUCUAUUCAUUGCUAAGAUGCUUUUCUCUAUAAAGAGACUUCCUAACGAAAAUACUUUGUAGAUUUCUUUACUCCAAGUGGUGCAUGGAAAAUUAAUAUUUUCAAUUAUCAAAUAAAAUUCCCUUUUUUCGGCGUAGAUUUCAUCCAUCCAGCUGUUAACACAUUCUAUAAAUCCGAAUUGACUAAUCUUUUCGUUUCCAUUUUCCAACUUGCGAAUACGGCAUAUAGUGUCUGCUAAACACUAUAUAUUCUCUGCCAAAUAUGAAUACAUAUCACUUUUCUGAGCAAGUGCAGAGUCAUUAUCAUUUUUAUUCCCACCUAACAAAUUAGGGAUAAAAAAGUUAAUAAUCUUUACAUGCUAUCAGGUCACAAGUUAAUAAUCUUUUAAAGAACAUGUUAAAUUAAUUUAUUGGUAUGAAUAGUAGUCAAAGAAGUAUGUUAAAGUUAGUAAUCUUUAAAAUAAUAUGUUAAAAUCAUUCGUACAAAUUAGUCAGAGAAGUAGCAUAAACACCGCGAUGCAAUUAAUACUUUCAAUCUCAAGGUCUCUAUUAUGGAAAUUUGCAUCGGUCAAUAUACACUUGGCAUAAUAUAAUCUCCCAACUCAUUUCUUUACAAAUGCACCUUUAAUCACCACCAAAAGGUGUGGACAUGAUCUUUACCCUAGAAAACUAUUCACCGACAGGCAAAUUGACGUCAGAAAUACUGAGGAAUUCUAGUUUCCUUCGGGUUCAUGCCAUGUUGUAUCCUUCAACUGUAACUCGAUUUCUAAGCUGUAAUUUGUGACAUAAUAGUCCUUAAACUAUGAAACCCUUCUUACUUAAUUACAAUGGUUAAUACAAUGCCCGUGACUAGACAAGUAUGAAGCAACCAUAACAGAAAAAAAAUCCAAAAUUAGAGAAAAGAAAGAAGUUUCGCGACCACCACCAGUUUACAAGUCACCUCCACCACCUCCUCCAGUUUACAAGUCACCUCCACCACCUUACCAUUAUUCCUCACCACCACCUCCAGUGCAUUCACCCCCACCACCACCAGUUUACAAGUCUCCGCCACCACCUUACCAUUAUUCCUCACCACCACCUCCUGUGCAUGCACCUCCACCACCAAUUUACAAGUCACCUCCUCCAGUUUACAAGUCUCCACCACCACCUUACGAUUAUUCCUCACCACCACCUCCAGUGCAUUCACCCCCACCACCACCAAUUUAUAAGUCUCCCCCACCGCCUCCCCCAGUAUAUAAGUCACCACCACCACCUCCUCCAGUAUACAAAUCACCUCCACCACCUCCUCCAGUUGACAAAUCUCCACCACCACCAAUUUAUAAAUACAAGUCUCCUCCACUACCUCCUCCAGUGUACAAGUCAUCACCACCACCUGCUUACAAGUCUCCACCUCCUCCAGUUUACAGUUCCCCACCACCACCAAUCUACAAGUCUCCACCUCCACCCUACCAUUACUACUACAAUUCUCCUCCUCCUCCUCGUCACUACUAAGCAAUUGUAUCCAAGUUUUUGAGGUAAUAACGCUUAACCAAUAAAUUAACUUUCGCAUGAUAAACCUUAUCUCUAUCAAGACAAACUGCCAUGUGUAUCAUGCCAAAUACGUACACCUAGAUCCAUGAAAAUGAAUGGUAGAAAGUUUUCUUAAGAACCAAGAACAGCAUUAGUAUUCCCUCUGCUUCCAAAAACUUGUGUAUUAAAUAGAUUAAUGAAUUGUUUAACAUGCUCAUCUACUUGAAAAUGCACAAUACCCAUAACCCACUGAAAUUUUUGCAGGAAAAGGGAAAGAGAAUCUGUGUUUGAGAGCUUCAUGAAGAUGUUGAAGAAUAAGAAUAAAAGCCCAAUGCAAGGAUGUUUUCAAGUUUUUCUAUGUUUCCACUUUAAUUUGUAAAUUGAAUUUUGCGACUCAAUUAAUUCCCUGUUUGUGAGGUACGUAUUGUUUUACGUACCAUGCCGUACAUUUUUUUUUUCCAACAAACGGUAUCAUGUUAUAGAUAUUAACACUUGACCUUACAAGGAUUAGUUACAAAAAGGGGAUACUACCCUCAACUCUGUCCUAGCUAAAUCAGUCAGCCAUAUUGGGAAAUUAGUUUCCCAUUCAAUAUCAUGUACAAGCUUCACAGCAUAUUGUGCUAAUUGAUGGCUGAUGUGAUUUUCAGUUCUAGGUAUAAACACAAAAGAACAUUUUUCAAAAGCUAGACUAAGUUCCUGCACAUCUUCUAAGAUAGUUGCAGUCGUGUAGUCAUACUCCUUGCGUUUAGUAAUCUGCUCUACCACUGAUUUGCAGUCUGUAUGGACUAUAAUUUGUGUCCAACCUGCUUGGGUAGCCAUCAGCAGAGCAUUUCUCACAGCCCGAGCUUCCACUUCACUUGCCGAUCCCUUUCCCUGUGUGACAAUUCCUUUUGCUUUCAAAAGCUGUCCUUUCCAAUUUCUUGCUAUAAUCCCUUGUCCGGUCCUGACUCGUUUAGCUGAUAUCGCUGCAUCGGUAUACAGCCUUAUCUCUUCCUUCCUUGGCCGCACUCUCCUGGUAGGUAAGGCAUCAUUCAGCUUCCCUGCGAUCUCCUUCUGGUCUGUACUCCCUACCUGUUCAAACUCAAGCCAUUCCUCCUGUGCUUUCCUUACUAUUUUUACUGGAUCCUGGUUGGCUUGUUCAAAAAAUUUUUUGUUCCUGGCUUUCCAAAUUUGCCAAAGGAUAUUGAUAGUAAGACUAACUCUCUCCUGACCUUGGUUCAGUGCCAGCGAUUGUGUGACUUGUUCCCACCAUAACCAAAAGUUAUAUUGCAUACCCAGUAAUCCAUCCCACCUGACCGGUGCUAGCUUCCACGUUUCCACAGCCUUUUCACAGAAGAAAAACAAAUGCUCAAUAGUUUCCAUAUCUUCACCACAGCAACCACAUCUGCCUUCCCCUCUAUGUAGCCUUUUCGACAUCUGUUCAUUGACUGGCAGACAAUUUUGUAAGCACUUCCACAUGAAGUGUUUUAGUUUGGCCUUCACCUUCAAAUGCCAUAGCUGCUUCCACACAUUUCGUUUUCGUAUCUCCCAACUUGUUUCUGCCUCUUGGCCUGUCCUUGUACCUGCUUUUCCUUCCCGUUGCCUUGCUAAAGCAUAACCAGAUUUCACGCUAUAAAUUCCAGCUUUGGAAUGCCCCCAUACCAACCUAUCCUUUCUUCUUCCUAUACUUGUUGGAAUUCCCUUUAUGUGCUCUGCAUCUUUUGCACAAAACCACUUGAGAAGCAAAUCAUUUUUCCAUUUCCCUUCCUCUAUCAGCUCACUUACCCAUUCCAACUUGCAUCCCACAGGUUGUGUGGUUGAUGCAAAGCCGGUAUCUGAACCAACUAUCCAUCUGUCCCGCCACAUGUUGACUGACUUGCCAUCUCCAAUUCUUUUCCAAAGACCAUCAUACAGAAAGGAGGCUGCACUAUGAAUACUCUUCCAACACCAUGAGGCUGAAGAGACUGGCUUCUUGUCCAUCCAUUUUUCAUCACUCAUAUACUUCGCCUUCAUUACCUUACUUACUAACAAAUUUGGAGCCAUUAAGAAUCUCCAAAUUUGUUUUGCCAGUAAUGCUGUGUUGAAGGCCUCCAAAUCUCUAAAGCCUAAACCUCCUCUUCCCUUAACUUCUAAGAGCUUCUUCCAGCUUGCCCAAUGUACACAGGUACCCUUUUCUCCCUUCCCCCACCAGAAACUCGCUAUUUUACCUGUGAUUUGUCUACACAAACCCCUUGGAAGUCUAAAGCAAGCCAUCACAUAUGUUGGCAUAGCCAUAAUCACUGAUUUGACCAGAAUUUCUUUCCCUCCUUGGCUCAACAGUUUUUGUUUCCAACCUUGCAACUUGUUACUAAUUUUGUUCUGGACAAAUGCAAAGACCUGUGUCUUUGAUCUUCCAAUUGCCAUUGGGAGUCCUAGGUAGGUUCCAUUCCUUGCCUCUUUAAUGUUAUCUAAUACCUCCCUCACUCCAUUCUUCCUUUGAUCAGUGGUAUUUUUGCUAUAGAAGAUAGCUGACUUUUCAAAAUUCACCACCUGUCCGGAUGCUUGACCAUAUCUUUCCAAUAUGCUUUUGACCUUCCUCGCCUCCUGCUUGGUUGCUUGGCAGCAUAGUAGAGAAUCAUCUGCAAAAAAUAGGUGAGAAACCAUCGGACUGUCCUUGCAUAUUUUGAUCCCUGUAAUUUCCUUGUUCAUCAUAGCUUUAUGGAUCAAACAUGAAAGACCUUCAGCGCAUAUAAUAAACAAGUACGGGGAUAGGGGGUCUCCUUGUCUAAGCCCUCUACUCGGUUGAACACAGCCUACCUUUUGCCCAUUUAAGUUGAAGGAGUAAGUCACAGUAGAUAGGCAAGACAUGAUCCAUUUAACAAAAAUUGGACAAAACCCCAUUUUCAUCAUAACUCUCCCCACAUAUUUCCAUUCGACUCUAUCGUAAGCUUUGGACAUGUCCAGUUUAAGAGCCAUAAAUCCUACCCUUCCCUUUCUCCUAUUUUUCAAAAAAUGCAGGAUUUCAUGUGCAACUACUACAUUAUCAAGAAUUUGACGGCCUGGGAUAAAAGCGGAUUGAGAGGGACUAAUACAAUGAUGCAAGACACCUUUCAAUCUAUUAGCUAUGAUUUUAGAAAUGAUUUUAUACAGGACAUUGCACAAGCUAAUAGGUCUAAAAUGCACCACAGAUUCAGGAGUAUCAACUUUAGGAAUCAACGAAAUAAUAGUAUCAUUCACAGCUUUGAGCAAAUGCCCAGUAUGAAAGAAACUCUUAAUAGCUGCUACCACAUCAUCCUUGAUAAUAUCCCAAUAGUGUUGAAAAAAUAGAGGAGACAUACCAUCCGUUCCUGGUGCUUUAUUAGGGUGCAUCGAGAACAAAGCUUUCCUGAUCUCACUUUCCUCCACUUGUCGUAUCAGUUGUCCAUUCAUAUGACUCGAAAUAGUGCUUGGAAUUUCAGCUAGAAUGUCCUCAAAGCAGUCCGGGUUAGUAGUGGUAAAAAGGUCUUUAUAGUACUCACAAAGUUCCUCCUCAAUCUCAUGUUCCUCCUUGCACCAUGUCCCAUCUUUUUUCUGCAAUAUAGUGAUCUUAUUUCUCCUCCUCUUUGCCAUGACCGAAGAAUGGAAAAAAGCUGUAUUCUUGUCCCCUUCUUUGAGCCACUUGUUCCUGGAUUUUUGACUCCAAAACAUCUCUUCCUCUGCAUAAGCUUUAUUCAAUUGUGCUUUUAGUUCAGCCACUUGUACUCUUUUCCCUUCAUCCUUUCUUGCUUUCACUUCAGCCAAUUUCUCCUUUAACACUUUAAUUCUAACCUUUGAGUUUCCCUGCACCUUUUUCCUCCAAUCCAGAAUAGCCAUGCGACAUUCCUUUAUUUUUGUAGCCACUCUAAACAUCCUGGACCCUGACUUCACCUUUGUCCAUGCUCCUUGAAUCACCCUUUUUGCUUCUGGAUUUAGCGUCCAUCGUUGAUCAAAGUAAAAUCUCCGUUUUCUCCUUGUGUUUUCCGGGUUUGUAUCCACAAGAAGCAUUAGAUGAUCAGAGGCUUCAGUAUCUAAAUGAGUACACUGUGCCUUUUCAAAUCUUUGCAGCCAUUCGGUGCUGCAUAAACAUCUAUCCAACCUCUCUUUCACUUCCCCAUCCCCCUCCCAACUAUUGCACCAAAUCCACGGGACCCCUUGAUAACCUAAGUCAACCAGGUUAUUGUCUUUGAUAAACCUGUUGAACUCCCUAAAACAUCUUUCAGCUCUAUCCCUUCCUCCCCACUUCUCCUCACUAGACCUCAAAUCAUUAAAAUCUCCUACAAUGAUCCAGCCAUCCCCCCAGUCCCUCAUCCUGUCCUCUAAAUAUUUCCAUUGUGCUUUUCUAAUGUUACUAUCUGUGCUUGCAUAAACACACACUAGCCCCCAGUAUCCUUUAGUAUCCUUGUCCUCAACUCUAGCACUAAUACACCAAUCAGUACUUACAAUCUGGUCUAAAAUCACCUCAUUGUUCCAGAAUAAUGCUAGACCGCCUGCUUUACCUAUUGAAUUCACAAAAAAGCUAUUGUCAUACUGAAUCUUCCUUUGAACCUUGCCCAUAAACCCUUCCUGAUUCUUAGUUUCACAAAGGAACACCACCUUAGGAGAGUGGAAGUUAGUCACUUCCUUUAGUUGGGGACUUGUCAAGGGGCCUCCUACACCUCGACAAUUCCACACCACAACCUUCAUUUACACUUUGGAGGCUUUCCGGGGCUAGCCUCCAUUUCCCCUAUUGUACUAACAUUUAUUAGAUCCAGUUUCAUAACCUUUACCUUCGGUACAUUAUCAUCAUCCUCCUCUAUCGGUUGUGUUCCCUGAAACAUACCAUCAGCCUUCCUUUUAGCACACGAAACCUGCGUUACUUGUCCAUUUGUAUCUGCCUUUAAGGAUGUUUUAGCCGGCCUCCCUCUUCUUUUAAAACUGCUUCUUUUUUCAGCUUUGUUAUCUUCUUCCCCUGGAGUAGCCUCCUUUCUUGGCAUUCUUGCAUUUGUCUCCUCCUGCUUUAUUGACCCUACCCGCAAACUUUCACAUUCCUGUUUUGAGCUGUCCGUUUCCAUAUCCUCAUAAUCUACUGGUGGGAUUACGCUGCUCCCUCCUUUACUCCCUUCCUGUACCCUACCCUCCUUUUCACCAUUUCCCUCCAUUAAGACCACAGCCAAACUUUCCACCCGUUGGUUUGCCUUUCCAUACUGCCUGCUGUCUUUUAGAAUCUCAUCCCACCUCUCUUCAUAUUGUCUCGUCAUCAUUUUCUCCUUAUCCCCCCUUUCCUUUCCCCCCAAGACUCUACCAUUUUUUCCCCCAAGAGUUAAUGUAUCUCCAGCCAUUUGUACUCCAGUUUGAACUUCACUACUAGGAGACCCUGCCCCCACCCUCCUUGCAUCAAUUUCACUUACUCCUUCCAGCCGUCCCUUUAAGGGAGAUACCAUUAUAUUUCCAGCUCUCAUCCAGGCACCAUAUUGUUCCUCUCGCUUCUCCCCCCCACCCUUCCUACCACAGUACAAGUCCUAUCACUAUGCCCAAUGAUACCACACCUAUAACAGAAAUCAGGGCAGCGUUCAUACCUGAACUCAACCCACACUGCCUGGUUCUUACAGUUGAUCUUUGUCCCUCUAACCAGUGGUUUCGUUAUAUCUACCUCAGCCAUAAUCUUCAUGUGGCGACCCUCUUUCCCACCACUUCCUGGGAGAAUCACUCCCCUCACUGAUUUAAAGAUCCCUCCUAUUUUCAAACCCACUGCUCUGCUCAACCAGUGCACCGGUAGGUUCCAUAGUUGAAUCCAAAGAAAGGAAUGCUGGAAAAAGCUGCUGUUUGUAUCAUACCCCUCUACCCACUCCUUCACUAUCAGCAACUGGUUGUCCAUGACCCAAGGCCCUCCAGAUAAGAUCUUUUUCUUUUCCCCUUCAUCUCCCAGAUGGAAAUGGAAUAAGUUAGGACCUAACUCAGUCACUUUCAUCUUUGAGGGGUAUCCCCAUGCAUGAUUUGUAAAGUUCUUUAACCCCGUAAAGUUGGCAAUUUUUUCACCAAUCAGCUUUCCUACCAGGCUUCCUUGACACUCAGAGACGCCUUCUUCCAGGUCCUCACCACUCAGAUCGACACCUCCUAACUCUGUUUCAGACAAGUCAAAAUUUUGAAAGGCUCUUUCUAAAGCAUCCGCCAUUGCUGUGACGAGAGCUCCUUGAGAAACCAAGCACUAUUUCUGAGCUAUGAGUGACCCACUGACAGACCUGUGAAGAAUUGCAAAGACAGACAAAGCUGUGUUAUCCGUACACACUAAAAACCAACCAGAAAAACAGAGAGGAACUCGACAGAAAAAGCACAGGCACAAGAAGAAACGAAAGAAAAAAGAAAAACCAACAAACCACUAUCCCACUCCCGACCACAUAACAGCAUUAAAGAAAGGGACACAAAUACGACACUCCAACUUCCGAUCACAUGCUCUGACUCAAUGGAUCAUAUCUUGCCCAAAGCGUUUACUCCUCCAACCGAUUCCAAACCACUACAGACAUUGUCUCCCAUUUUGAAGCCGGAAGAAAGGUGGCUUCUGGACAGGGAACAUGAAAGCAAAGGUUGAACUAAAGAUUUGAUUUUAGAUCUGAAAAUUACGCUGUAGGAAAAAGUGCUAUGUGUUUGUACCUCACCCACUCUCCCACACCGAGGAGGGGAACCUCUAAAGUUAGAGAGAGAAGCUCUCAAGUUAGAGAGAAGCUUUGGAAGUUAAUUACCAACGUACCAUGCCGUACAUGUUUGUAAGGAUUUCUAUCCUAUUGGCAAAAGUCGGUUCCAUACAAUUAAUCAAUUCAUUUCACUUCUAUUGGCUCUACUAUUUAUGCAUGUUACGACACUCUUUCCCUUAUAUUUUGCCUUUAAUAUUAUGAGUCAAUAGUAAUAAUGGGCCUUUUUCUUAAAAUUAUACUAUUAUACAUAGGUAGUUUGGUCUAACGCUAAAUUCAUGUUUGUCUUUCUUUUAUUCCCUUUACAUCUCAAAGUAUACUAUAGUUUGUAAUCAUUGUGGUGAUGAUAUUACCAGCUGGUACUUAUAGUUUAAGGCAGAGACAUGAUAUUAACAACUAUCUCAUUGAAACAUAAGUCAAAAUCAUGACAAGUGUGAGUCUUGGUUAAUGCACAAUUUGUUAGUGGAAUUUAUAUUUAUAAAACUCAAAAAAAAUUUUUGACAAUGCUAUUACUAAUUAAUUAAGGACUUCAUUGCUAUAAUUUAUCGCUUACUAAUUUAAACUAUAAAUGAUCUCAAUACUUUUCUCCAUGAUGUCGAUUUCUUUAGACUACGAAAGGGAAAAAUUAGUGACAUAUCCCUUACUGAUUACAACAUCAGCAAAAAUUAGUUAUAAACUUUUCCGGUGGUUUUAAAUCCCUCGGGCACUAAGGUUUUUUGCACAUCGAGUGAAUUAAGGAACAUAGGCAAUUCGUUCUGCAUACCAAGUCCUUGUUUAAGAUGCACGUACUAAAAUGCAUCCACUUCAUUAAUUUGGAAAAUUGCCAUAGUUUUUUUUAAGCAUUUUGAUUUUUUACAUGAUUCAAAAUUUUCUUAUUGGAUACAAUCACUUUGUGUCAAGAACACAUUUUCAAUCAUCUUUUUUAUCUUCUCAAUAAGAAAAUAAAAAUUUAUUCAUGCUUUUCUAACAUAUCCAAUCAUUGAUCUGAAAAAUAAAGAAUUAAAAAAAAAAGACAUUUUCAAUCAUUGCUUACGGGGCAACUUCCCCAUGUGAACCUCAUCAAACAAAGCCAAUAAUAUGAAGGAACAUCUAAAUACACUUUUGCCCUAAAGGCUGGUUGCCUUGGGGUCAAAAUUUAACCUUCGGGAGUAUAAUUACCCGCCAAAUUUAUUAUUUUUUUUAUGGGUAUAUAGUUCCAAUUUUGCCUCCUGUUAAGCUUAUAAAUAUAUUACGACCCAGAAAAUAAAGGAAUCUUGAAUAGUAACAUGUCCAUUGACUUGAGUUGUUAUCAAUUUGGCUACUUCGAUUCCAUGAGGCCAAUCCAAUUCACACUAGCUAGAGAAAAUGGUGAUAAAGGCACUUAGAAAUUUAUAUGUAAUAUUGAUUGGUAGUAACUGAUAAGUAUAUAUUUUACGUGUUUUAAAUAUGUUUUAUUAGUUAGUUUUGGUGUGUUUUAACUACUUUUAUAACUAAUUAACUAGGAAUCUAGUGAAAAUAUGCAUUUUGUGGUUUGAAGUGUAAAAAUUGUAUUUCUAUGGAUUUUAAUGGUGAAAACUUCAUGUUUUUGUAGGUUUAAUGAUUCAAUCAUCAAAUGACAUGAUUUGAGAAGAUAAUUAGAUGAUUGAUGAUGUUUUGAAGUGAUAAAAAGAGAAUACAAAGUGCAAGAGAGGAAAUGCAAUCAAGAAUAAAAGAAGAAAAUUUUUGUAGCUUUGACAUAUUGUCGUAUUUCGGCAAUAUAUUGAGCUACAAUGAUCGGAUUAAGGUGAUUCUUAAACCAUUUGAAGCUAAAAUAUAGAUCUACAUUUGGCAUGAAGGCAUCGAAACCCAUGUCAGUCAUUUUCCUUGUCAAAAUGUUGAAAUACAGAAGUGCAACUCUGUUCUCGAAAGCUAAAACAGAGCUCUGGCUAGUCGAGGGUAUUUUCAUCAUUUCUUAGUCCACAGAGCUCCAAAUGAGAUGAUUCUUAAGGCAUUAGAACCCUAACUCAAAGAGCUACAACUUUCAUAUUUUGUACAAGAGUUAGUUCGGCCUCUAUCAUUAAGAAAAUAGUAGUUGAAGUGGUGCCAAAUGCAUAGAAGUGAAAACGCGAGCUAUCAAUACUCGACCUGAAGUCGCGUAUUCCUGAGGUCAUGCAUUCUCUUCUAUUUUCUGCAACUUGCCCUGCUUUCACAUAACUUUUUCAUCUCAAUUCCAACUAUCAAUUUCGGCUAUAUCUGAUCAAGAAAAGUGUGGAAAGUUUGAAAGACAACUCAUAGGAGUUUCAAGAGUCAAAAAUUACAAUUAGAAACAACUCAUUUGGCUCUUGAAUCCUCUAUAAAUAGAGGCCUUUGAAGAACAUUUUCACAACUUUGGAAGGUUAGAGAAACUCCACAAAAACAUAGUCUUCACUAGAAUUUCCUUAGUUCAUUAGUUAGGGUAGUAUAGUAUAGUUAGUGUAGCUUUUCCUUCUUGUAUUUAUAGUUAGGUUUGAAUGAAGAUUCAGGAGCAAAGAUAGAGAGGUUGAUCUCAUGUGACAAGGGUGAUAUCUCUUCUACUACUUUCUCUUUUGUAUUUGAUUUCAUAUUUAACUAUACUACAAAUUUGGCUUUGUUUUUUUUUUUUUAUCAUGUUUAGUUAAAGUUUAUGCCUAGAGUAUGGAUGACCUUUUUAUAUCUUGUUUGUGAUAUUUAACUGGUUAUUUGAUGAUGUUAUUUUUGAGCAAGUUAUUUAUCACUUUUGCUUUUCUAAUCAUGAUUAACUGGCCAUUAGUUGUGAUUAUCUAAAAGUGUUAAGUUUGUAAUGAGAAUUGGAGUUUAACACUAGUUCAAGGAAGUGAUAAAUUUAGGGAGUUCACUCAUGAGAGUAGAGGAACACCUUUGUGACCUAAGUGACUUGUUUCAUAUAAUUUCAUAGAAAAAAUGAACUUGUAAUUAAUUUCAUAACCACGAGAGUAAGUAUGGUUUAGCUAUAUGUAUAGUUGAUUCACUACGAGAGUAGGUUUCACAUACAUUAGAAAAUUACAUCAUAACUAGUCAAGAUAAUAUCAUUCAUUUAAUCAGUAAUCUCAUUUGCAUGAGUAGUAAGGCAUUCCAUAUCUCUAGGAGGUUUUUAGUAUUAUUUUCAUUACUUUUAUGUUUAUGGUAGUCUAGAUAAUAAUGGAGUUCGAAAACUACUAGUAAUUGAAAAUUUUCCCUGUGGGAUCGACCUUUAAUACCCUAUACUCGCUCUCGACUCGUAUACUUGAGAAAAAUCACGUGUGCGGUAUUUAGAAUUUAUAAAUGUAAAACUUGACUGUAGAUGAACUAAUUGAUAUAUGUAUACCCCGCACUCGUCAGUAACCAGCUUGUAUUGAUCCCACUAUUGUGGAUAAUUGUGCUCUUAUGAAAAAAAAUUAUAAAAAAAUUAGCAAAAUUUAUGAUAACAAAUUAAAUUUAUUCAUACAAAUCAGUGAAAGAAGUAGAAUUUUAAAGUCCAUGAUGAAAUUAAUACUUUCAAGGGCUCUAUUAGGAAGACUUCACUUGUUGGUGAAACUACACUAGCACAGUUAUAUGCACAUUUACUGUUUUGGUAUCUAAUUUCCUUGCCUUAAGUUGGGUGCAGAUGUUUAUAUUACAAAUAGAUGGUAUCAUAAAAUUGUUGUAUUCACGUUUGUUCUUUUUUUUCUUCCUUAAGUUUUUUUCUUUAUUCUCGUGACUUCAAAAAUACGAACUCAAGAAAUUGGCUGCUUAAUCAAUAUGUCAUACAGGCUUCGCUAGUGAGGUAUAACUUCACAACUAGAGUCAAUAGAAAUUAUCAAAUGAUUUUUUAACAUCCAAAUUAAGCAAUAAAUUUUGUUUUCAUUUUAUGACAUAUAAUAGUACUACUUCAUGAGAGAUUUUAUAGUUUCUUUUAGGUAUCAUACCUACAAGUGAUAUUUGUCAUUGGAUAGUGACAGAAGUGUUAAUGAUUGUAAGAUUAAAUAUUGUUAAAUAUUGAAAUUUAAACUAUUUAUCUUUAUUGAAAGAUACAAGUUAAAGAAUCGUUCAAGGGGGCAAUUUUCCAUCUUGUCUUUUUGAAAAAACGCUAUCACAUUGUAUAGGCAUGAUAGGUUCAAAUUUGUCAUUAAAUUUAUGAUUGAUUUUCCUUUUAUUCAAGCCAAAUAUUGUUUUAAUUAUCAAAUUCUACUUAUAUUUGGUUAAUUGUACUAAUUGUAGGGCGGUAGAGCAAAAGUUGCUAAAAAUAGGCGAUUUUCUGCAAAUUGGUUGUCAAGGCUGAAGGAUUUGGGAUUCGCAUGUUCAAGGCCUGUUUCCAAGUUUGAUUCAAACUCUGGACAGUUUUAGAGGAAGAUUUGGAAGAUUUGAAAUUUCAUUAUUAGUUUUAUGGUUGAAUUAGGAAUCUUGGAAUAAUUUCUUUUGUGAUUUAUUUUUCUAUUUAGGAGACUAGUUGUUAUUUAGUAGUAGACUUCAAUUAGAAAACAAAGAGAAAAAGAAGGCCGGAAUCCCGCUUGAUUAAUACCUUGGCCAGGGAACAAUCUCGGUGGGGAGGACGGCCACUUAGCCUCUCAAUUCAUCUUGCUUUUCGUUAGUUUGAGAGGAAAACCAAUUGCAACUAGAUUCAAUGGAGUCUGGCAGAAUUUCUUCUAGGAUGCGUAGCUAAAUCCUCAAUUUUUAGUCGAAGGUCAAUUUGAAAAUUCGGUUCCAAAUAUCUGUGAAAUCGAAUUAUUUUACUUAUUUCUUUUAUUUAUUGGUAUUCGCACGUUUUCUGAUUUAACUUUUUAUGAUUGUUUUGUUAUUUGAAUGUCAAGGGUCCGAUAUUCGAAUUAACUUAAUAAUCUACUGCCAAAUUAACCGGUUAAAUCCGUAAUUGUUUGAUUGAUUAAUAUCAGUGGCGACUAGCGUGAUUGGUCCCAUGUUAGGAAAACGUCUGAUCUAAUUUAAACAAACCGUCGUAGCGUGUUUGUUGAUUAGGGUUGGGCUUUUCUAAUUCUUAAUUCAAUUGAGAAAUUAAAUCCCCCGGUCGUACCUAGGAUUAUUUUUUUGUUAGCGAAAUAGUUAAUGGUCGUACCUUGACUAUCGAAAAAGUAAGGAAGAGUUGAUUGUUUAUCGCGUGUACGACAACUAUAAUCAAUCUAUUAAUGAGUAAUUGAAUUAUCUUUGCAUCAGUAAUCAGUUGAAUGGACCGUGUCUGAAAAGUUGUACCUUUGGCUAGAGUCUUAUCUGUUGUUGAUUCAUUCAUAUCUAUCUUCAUGCGUUGUUUUAAUUUAGUUAAUUAGUUAUUUUUAUAAAAACCCCUCAUCUCUGGACUCUAAAAGAAAUAAAUUAUUUCUAGUUCCUGUGGAUUCGAUCCUACUCACCAUACAAUCCAACCUGCAAUUGUAUGAACCCCAAUCUCGCUUCCUAGUCCACCAUUUUUCUCUAGGUAAUAAUCUCCCUUCUAAUUUCUUCACAAAAUGCACCUUUCAUCACCUCCAAUAGCGUCGACAUGAUCUUUACCCCAGAAGACUAUUCACCGACUCUCAAUUGACGUUAGAAAAUCUAAGAGUAAUUCUACUUUACCCUAAGAUUGAUAUCAACAAGACAAGGACAAUUUAGAAUUAUUACACGCCUCUUCUUAAUAGGAAAAAGAAAUAGAGAAGAAAGUCAGGCCAGGUCUAAUUUCUUUUCAAAGGCAAUACAACAUUACGAAAUCAAGCAUUCAUUCAUACAAAUAUUUCAUAGUCACCGGUUUGCUGAGUAGAAAAAUUUAGACAAAAACUUAAUAUUAUAUUGUUUAAGAGUUAACAAUUUAGAGCUUAAUCUCCUUGUACUUUGGAGUUAACAAUUUAGAGCUUAAUCUCCUUGUACUUUGGACUAAACUUGAACGUGAAAGGAAAUCCCAAAACCAUAUUGGGCAUGAAUUCACACUUAAUAUACCCAAUAAAAGAUGGCGACUGGUGAAAGGCAGUGGAGACUGGUGGAGAGAUUUGAGGAAUAGAAGCAGACGGAAAAGCAACAAAUUUUUGCCGAAAAACGGUCACUUUCAUGGUUAAUUUUGCUACUCUCCAAUUGUACUUGACCAAUUACAACAAUUUCAUGGAGUUUGAUACGUGAAAAGAAUUUUUUAUAAAUUUUAUUUUGAUCCAUAAUGUUAUCUUUACAUAUAUAAAACAUUUUACAAUUUUGAUUUUGGCGCAGUUAACUUUUGGUAAACAAAAAUGCUCAUGUUUAAAAAACCGGAAAUAAAACAAAACAAGAAACAAAAGAAAUAAGAGGGUAGCAUAGACAUUUUGGAUUUUUCCGUUAAUUUGGAUGAUUUCCACCCACGUUCUAAUUUAAUCCAAAACACAAAGGAAUUACGUAGAGGUUUUAAAUAAUGAGGGAGCUUCAUGAUCGAACCCCAAACCACAAGGCGAUUUACUAUAUUUUACUCUUAAAUUUUGGUUUCAUCUCAUAGCAUACAAGAGUUCUAUUUCACUAUCUGUAGACAAAGACUUUCUAUGGUUGAUGUACCAUAGGAAAAAAUCUGCCUAUACAACGUGAUAGCAUUUUUUCAAAAACACAAGAUGGAAAAUUGCCCCCUUAAACGGGGAAAUUCAUGAUCUUUCCUCGAACAAAGAAUACUCACGCCUAUUCAAGAUGGAAAAUUGCCCCCUUAAACGUCUAUUUGUCAAUUCUUGAAAAAAGAAUACUCACGCCUAAAACACGGCCUCUUCAUCUGCAGAAUUCUAAAAAGUUAGGUAAACUCUAUAAACAAGUUGAUAGGUACAAUCGUACCCAAGAUCAAGUACAGAUAGUUGUACAUUCACUGCUGCAAUAACUAAUCUGAUGACUUACAAACAUAUCAUGGUCAAUCGUUGAAUGGUAAUGAGUCUUUUGUUAUGCAUUAGUAUUAGUGUGUACACUCUAAUAGAUUGAUACUUAUACUCUUUAAAUUAUCAUAAUAAUACCCUUAAUUAACUUUAACUCUUAAAAAGAAUACGUGUUAAUACACGAGAGUGUGUAACCUGAAUUGUUACUUAUACAUUAGUGUGUAAUAGAUAGGGAUGGCAAUGGGGGCGGGUGCCCGCAGGCAACCGCCCCGCGGGGGGCUCUCGGGGCGGGGAGGGGGGAAUUUUUUCCCCCCGUUUAGAAACGGGGCAGGGGACGGGGGAGUAUACCCCCGCCCCAUCCCCCGCAAAAAAAAUUAUAUAUAUAUAAUUAUAUAUAAUAUGUAAUUUAAUUAGUUAUAAACUUAUGAUAAUGAUAUUAUUAGUUAGAUGUAUUAUAUAAUGUAUAUUAGUGUAUGUAAUAUAAUUAAUAUUAUCAAUUAUACGAAUAAUUAGACAUGUCUACUAAUAGAAUUUAUUAAUUAGUUAUACUAAAUUUACUAAUACAUUUAUACUAAAUUUCUAAUUACAUUUAAUAGAAUAACACUUUUUUCUAAAAAAAAAAGCACAAACACAAUAAUGAAUUAGUGAUUGUAUUUUUACCAAAAAUGAAAACUUAACUAUUUUAGUUGCAUUUAUUUCAUCAUGUUGGAUUGUAUUCAAAUAAUUUUUGUUUGAUUGUUUUUAUGAGUUUCAAUUGUAAAAUUAAAAUGAAUAAUAACUUGAUGAAUAAUAAUGUCAAUCGUUGAAUGGUGUGUACACUCUAAUAUUAUGCAUUAGUAUUAGUGUGUACACUCUAAUAGAUUGAUACUUAUACUCUUUAAAUUAUCAUAAUAAUACCCUUAAUUAACUUUAACUCUUAAAAAGAAUACGUGUUAAUAACUCUUAACCUGAAUUGUUACUUAUACAUUAGUGUGAAAUAGAACGGCAAGCAUUGAGCAACUUAUAGGAGAAAUAGUCCUAUAAGCUGUUGGAUGACUAAUAUAGCUCUAGCUGUAAUGUUUUAAUUAAAUUACAUCACUAACGUUGGGAUGACUAAUGGUUUAAAAAUAAUUGAGUAAUUGGAAAAAAAAAAAGAGACUAAUUUUCAUUGAAACCCACCGACAAACUAAACGUGUCCAUGGCUUUUGAAUAGUGCAUUCAACGUUUAAUUGUAUAGUCCAGUUCAUUGCAGAUUACAUGGAGUAAAGAUUGUGCUCUUUCCUUUUUCACCCCUUUUGGAAUCGAUACUGUGGAGAAUUGGGUUUUUCCCUUCUUUUUUUCUUUUCUUUCUUUCUGUGCUUUGCAAAACAUAGGUAAAAUUAUGAAAUCCGAAGCAUUCUUUAAUUGGGAUUAAGUAUUGUUCUUGAAAUUAAAAAGAAGAAAGAAAGAACAACAAAAUUCCCUGAUUGGUUGCAUCGUGCUUCCAUAGAAGCUCUCUUAGUGUGAUACACUGCUUUCAAUCAGUUUAACAUGGAAAAAAGAAAGAGAUGAAAAGCAAAUUUGGUGGGGAUAAUUUCAGAAACCUCCCCUGAAGAUUUUGACUAUUCUACUGGUCUCCCUUCAGAUUUUAAAAAUUACACUAAUCUUCCUUGAAGUUAUAACAUUUAAAUUCAAUCAAUAAUUUAAAAAAUGAUAUUAUGAAAGAGAAAAUAAUAUGAUUUUAUCAUUGCCCCCCAUCUUACUACAUUAUUUAAUUAAUUUAAUAGCAACCCACACAUUAAAGAAAAAUAUAAAAUUUGUUAUUUAUCAUUAAAGAUCAAAUCGCUUAUAACAUCAAAUAAUAGUAUAUUAUUUAUAUUUUUCACUUAACAUAAUAUCCAAAUUACUCUUUUCAAUUACAUACUCAUUGUUAGACAAUCAACAACAAAUAACCAAAAAAUUUGCAACCAAAAUAUUACAAAAAAAAAUAAACUUUAACAUCAUAAAUAUUCUUAUCAACAUAUUAAAGUUAGUUACUGAAAUUUUUAUGGUGUUAAACUUCACUCUUUGUAAUAUUUUGGUUACAGAUUUUUUUUGAUUAUUUUUUAUUAAUUAUGUUUGAUGAUGGGUUUGUAAUUGAAAAGAAUAAUUUAAAACUUACAUUAAGUGAAAUAUAUAGAGUGAUAUACUAUUUUUUAUAACAUAUGUGAUUCAAUCCUUCUUGAUAGGAUUGGUAAUAGAGGUAGAGGGGGGAGUCGGCUGCAUCCGGUCUUCUUUUCAUAGAUAGUACAAUAUUGCGAAAUCAAUCGCAUUCACACAAUAAUAUUUCGAAGUCAAUGCAUGGCUAAGUUGCAUAAAAGUACGAACACUUGUUAUUAUAUAGCUUAAGAUUCAAAACUUUAGAGCAUAACCCUCCACCUAACACAAUUGAAUAAUGAAUAUUCACGUUUGUCAAAUCUGUCAAAGCACAGUUUGAGGACAACCCAUUCCAACCUGCAAAAGAUUUUUUACUUUUCUAAAGUUGUUGAGAGCUGUAAAAAGACCUACCAUGCUUACAUCCUCCGAGCCUUGGGAGUUAAAAAUGAAGGCACUGAGUGCUAUAAAAAGGGGGCUAGAGGCUGCCUAGAAGCAUAUCAGCCUAAAACAAGAAUUUGUUGUUAUGAUGGGAAGCAAAGCAAAAGCAAUGGGGUCUGGGCUGACUCCUCUUCUUGCCACUGUUUUAGUGGUAUUUGUUGCUCUUGGCUUGCCCUCAGAAACAGCAGCUGAUGAUCACUACAAGUAUUCAUCUCCUCCUCCUCCUUACCACUAUCCCUCACCACCGCCUCCAGUGCAUUUACCUCCACCAGUGUACAAAUACAAGUCCCCACCACCACCUCAUCAUGUUUACAAGUACAAAUCUCCACCACCCCCACCACCACACCCAGUUUACAAGUAUAAGUCACCACCACCACCUCCUCAUCCGGUACCACACCCAGUUUACAAGUAUAAGUCACCACCACCACCUCCUCAUCCGGUAUACAAGUAUAAGUCUCCUCCGCCACCACCACACCCAGUUUACAAGUAUAAGUCACCACCACCACCUCCUCAUCCGGUACCACACCCAGUUUACAAGUAUAAGUCUCCUCCGCCACCAGUUUACAAAUAUAAGUCUCCUCCACCACCACCUCCAGUGUACAAGUACAAGUCUCCACCACCACCAGUUUACAAGUACAAAUCACCACCACCUCCUCCCCCAGUUUACAAAUACAAGUCUCCACCACCACCAGUUUACCACUACAAGUCACCACCACCUCCUCACCCAGUUUACAAGUACAAAUCUCCUCCACCACCAAUUUACCACUACAAGUCACCACCACCUCCUCCCCCAGUUUACAAAUACAAGUCUCCACCUCCUCCUCACCACUACUAAGCAAUUGCUUCUGAGGUAAUAACACUUGUUCAAUAACACUUGAUAGCCAGCUGAAUAUUUGCAGGCAAAGGAGAAGGAAACCAGUGUUUGAGACCUUCUUGAAGAUGUAGAAGCAUAAGAAUUAAAGCCCAAUGUGAAGAUGAUGAUUUCAAGUUUUUCUACGUUACCAUUUCAAUAUCUAAAUUGGUUGUAGCGCCUUAGUUCCUUUGUUUAUGGGAUUUGUAUCGUUUUACGUACCAUGCAGUACAUGUCAUGUUUGUAAGGUUUUCUAUCCUGCCGGCAAACCGCAGGUUCCAUGUAAUAAAUCAAUACUAUUUAUAUUACGACACUUUUCUCUGUUUCUCUUAUAUUUUGUCUUUAAUAUUCUUAAUCAUAUUUUUAACAAAAAUAUUCAAACACUUCAGCAAUGGUUCACCUAGUUGAUCAUCGAAGCAGAGGCAAUUCCAAUUAUUUAUCAAUAAAUAGGAUAUAACUACCAAACAAGCGAUGGCAGUUAACCCCUCCUUACUGUGUCGGUGAUCAAGGUACGCCCGUUAAUCACUGCUCUAAUUGAGAAAUAAUCCUAAGUACGCCCGUAGAAUUUAAUUCCCCAAUUGCCUUACAUAUUAGAGGAGCCCUAUUCUAACCAAAUAACGCACUAUCAGGGUUAUUUUAGAUUAGCCCGCGUAUUCCCCUGACAUAAAUCUAAUCAUGCCAGUUGUCAUUAUUUUGAGGUAAUUAAACAAUUACGGAUUUAACACCUCAAUUGACAAUAGAUUAUUAAAUUAAUUAAUUAUUCGGAUCCAAGACAAUCAAUUAAUUAAACAACCAUAAGCACUACAAUCAGAGAAUAUGCAAAUACCAAUAAAUAAAUAAAAAAUAAAAUUAAAUCGAUCUCACAAUUUUUAGGCGAAUCAGAGCAUCCGUUGUCCCUUGACUAGAGCAAGGAAAUUAGUUCAUAUUUGAUGAACUAAACCCAUACAAAAGGGAAGCGAGAAAUGCAGCCAUUAUCCUUUGAAAUCUGGAAAAUUCAACUUGUCCGAAUAUCGAAUAGAUAGUAAUACUACAAAAGGUAAUUCAUAGCUUCCCUUUCGUCUGACACACAAGAAGAAAAAAAAGGGCUGCUAAUAACUAAAGGAGGAAAAGUCAAAGUCCUAAGCUAUGCUACAAGACGAAAAACUAAAGAAGACAAAAAGGCAGUGCUCAUUCCCUGCAAUCUCAAUUCCUAUUCUAUCUAAGUGCUCUCCAAUGUGCGGCGGCUCCCCUUCCGGAGAGGACGAAGUGGCACCCUUUUUUCCUGCGCAAUUUUCCUAUAUAAAGUAGUGCUCCUUGCAGCGGCUCCUGUGCGAAAAAAUGAAGACUUCGGCCCAAUUUGCCUAACAAGGGCUCACGUUUUGUUGUUCUAAAAAUGUCCCUAGGACAAACUCUAUCAUCUGAACUCUUUUCUUGCCAAAUUAGUACCUGUUAUUAUAUUUUCGUUCUACUCCCUGAAAUAAAUGCAAAAUAUCAAAAGUGAGUAGAAUCUAGCAAUUAAUCCACAUUAGGUCAGGUAAUAGGGAAAAUUAAUAAUAAAAUAAAUGAUAAAAUUGCAAUCUAUCACGGGACCACUGUGGUAAGGUGUGUUUCGCCUAUUAUAAGGAGUUCGGAGAGUUAGACGUGUUGGAGGCGGAGGCGCGGUCACUCCUGCACGCCCUCCAGCUGUGUGCAGAUCGCGAGGUACGGGCGUUGACUGUAGAAUCUGAUUCAAAGGUGCUUGUUCAACUAGUUUGCUCGGAUAUGAGGUCGAAGUGGCCGGUGUGUAUCGUAUUGCGGGAAAUAAGACAUUUGAUCCGGCGGAUGGGUGCAUCCCUUCAUCAUAUAUUCCGUGAGGCCAAUUCGGUGGCGGACGCAUUGGCUUCUCUGCAAUUGGGAGGGCAGCAGUACUACACCUCAGGCGUGGCGCUGCCUUUCAGGCCCAGAGGAGAGGCUCUGCUGGAUCGUCAAGGAGUACCUCGCAUCCGUGAGGCGCUCACUAAGGUUUGAUAGGCUAUGUCCUCCUUUCAAAAAACUUAUUUCAUCUACUCCUUGUAAUCAUUUUUCUUAUCAAUAAAUUGAGGCUUUUUAUUUAAAAAAAAACAUAUAAUUUAAGGCAAAAAUAUGAUCCUAGCGAGUAUCGCACUGAGACAUUAGGAAACAUCAUUAAAAGAGUAUUUCUUGAGUUAGUGCAACUAUUUCUUAGGGGAAUUUAUAGUUACAAAAUUCAAAAAUUUGAGAUUCUAUUACUGAUUAAUUAAGGGCGUUAUCACUAUUUUUCUUAUUAUCACCAUUAUUUACCCCACAUACUAUAAGUUUUUUUAGGGCACAGGAAAAGAGGUGGGCCGAUGUUUAGUUAUGUACAAAAGUUCAAAAUUUGUAGAUAACUUAUCAUGUGCCCUUAGAGCGUAGAAUACAGAAAAAAUAUCUUAAACUAUAACUAAUCCUAAUAUUUUUCUCUAUGAUAAACUAGCUCUUAUCCAUUUCUUUAGAUGAUGAAAGGAAAUAGUUAGUCACCUGUCCUCUAGUGAUUACAACAGCAUCAAAACAAAUUAGCACUCUUUUCCCGUAGUUUAAAAAUCCCUCAGCCACUAAGAUUUUGCAUGUCGAACGAAUUAAGGAACAUAGAAGGUUCGUGCUGCACCACAGUGUCCUUGUUGACGAUGCAAAGACAGAAAUGCAUCCGCGUAUACUUCCUUAAGCAUUUUGAUUACUUUAUGAUUCGAACUUUUCUUGUCUGACAGCUGGACUUAAUUGAAAAACACAAGUAACAAUAUUUCAAAGUUGAUUCGUCAAAGUUUACCCAAUUGGUGAAACUUUCUUCAUAGAGCUGACUUUGUAUUAGGUGACAAUGAUAUGGAAUUGAUGUCCUUCCCUUUUUCCUUUUUUUGUGUUGAAGACGCACAACGUUUUCAAUGGCAAAUUUAUAUGGGCUUUUCACGACAAAAUGUGUUCUGAAAAGUUCAUUCCAGAGGUUAAAAUUUUGUGUGUUAAAAAUUUGCUUCUCAGGACUUUGAUGGGAAAGUCUUGGUGUUUCCAAAAAGUUUAAGCAGGAUGCUUCUGGCUUUCUCUCCAUGUAUUUGUGAGUUAGAUCUAAAAUUAUCAGGGCUCCAGAGAUCUCUUGAAAUCGCAGCAUAUAUUGAAGUCUUUCCAGAAGGAGUCUUUUUUUUUUUUUUUAUGAAUUAUGAUAGAUAAUUAAUCUGACGGUGCAUAUAUAUAUAUAUGUGAUUUGCAGUAGGGUGUUUGACGAAAUGGUUAGGCUUCCUAAGUAAUGAUAGGAAUGCCAUUUGCAAAGAAGGACAGGGGGCUGGUGCUGUCAUAUUUUAUGCGAUUUGAUCCGUUGUUGUAUAAGUUUAAACUUUUGACGUGCAAUUGUGCUAUAAUAUUAUACUAAAUAUAUGUGUGAAAUAUUUUGUCUAUAUACAUCACUUUUAUCAUGAAUACAACAGCUGAGUAUAAUAAUAUAGUAUAAUGUAAUUGUACACCAAAUAAUGUAGCAAAUAUAACAAUUGAUCCGAAUUACACGGAACCAUAACAACAAGAUCACCGCCUCCCAAAUUUUACAAAAUUAGGUUUUUUUUUUUUCUCUUAGAUUAUUGAAAAUUUUCAAAAAUAAUCUACAUAAUUUAAGCUUUUGUCCUACAAAAAUUUGAAGAGAUUUUACAUUACAAGCUUAAGCUUAGAUAUAUUAAACUUUGCCCCCAAGAUUAAUUUUCCGUUUUUAUCUAUGAACCGAUCCAUAUAGCUAGUUAGACUGUAGUCCUCACAUUUGUGGGAUUUAACACCCAAGAUUCUCCUUCUUGGAAUGUAAAAUGUAGAUCUUCUAUGUUAAUAAUUCAAGACCCUACUGUCAUAAACGAAAUGACUGAUCAACUCCUGUAAACCUAAUUUGACAACAUUUAAAUGGAGAACUUUAGCUAAAAGAAUUAUGGUCAAGCUAAAGAAAAAGCCAGUUAUUUUCCAACAUAUGCAAUCAUUGAUCAGGAAAAAAAAAAAAAAGCAAAAAGACAUCUUCAAUCAUUUAAUAGCUCACAGUGCAAAUUAACCCCUAAGCGAAAACUGGUUGCUCUAGAAUCAAAAUUUUACCUUAGUUACCCAGGCAACUUUUUUGUUGCUUUUUUUUUUUUCUUUUCCUUUUUGGGUAUAUAUAUAGCUCCAGUUUUGCCCCCUCUGUCAAGCUUAUAUAAUUAUUAAGAUAAUAAAAGUGCCUUGAAUAGUAUUAAUAUAUCCAUUGACUUGAGCUGUCAUCGAUCGGUUUGGGCUACUUCGAUUCCAUGAGAACAAAUGGUAAUAAAAGUACUCAGAAAAUAGGGAGCCAUGAAACCCUUUUGUUCUAUUCAUUGCUAAGAUGCUUUUCUCUAUAAAGAGACUUCCUAACGAAAGUACUUUGUAGAUUUCUUUACUCCAAGUGGUGCAUGGAAAAUUAAAAUAUUCAAUUAUCAAAUAAAAUUCCCUUUUUUCGGUGUAGAUUUCAUCCAUCCAGCUGUUAACACAUUUUAUGUAUCCGAAUUAUAUAUUCUCUACCAAAUAUUGUAACUUUUCUGAGCAUCUUUACAUUUUUAUUCCCACCUAACAAAUUAGUUGUUGAGCAUCUUUACAUGCUAUCGGAUCACAAGUUAAUAAUCUUUUAAAGAACAUGUUAAAUUAAUUUAUUGGUAUGAAUAGUCAAAGAAGUAUAUUAAAGUUAGUAAUCUUUAAACACCACGAUGCAAUUAAUACUUUCAAGCUCAAGGUCUUUUUUUUUUUUUUUUUUGGUACUGUACUUCCUUGCUUUAUAGUAUGCACGUUUAUUUCUGUGGAUUGCUUAAGCUUAUAUUGUUAAUAAUUGGGCAUUUAACCAUAAAUUAUAAUGAUUAUGAAGUCAUAUAUAUAUAUAUAUAUAUAAGAAAAUUACCACAAUUAUUCAAUUUUUUUUGCAAAUUCAAAUUUUAUUAAUAAGAAAUAGGCAGUAAGCUUUUACAAACGGAAAAAAAAAAUCCUACAACAACUCUAGGACCUUUGAAAGAAAGAAAAAAAAAAGAAAAGAAAAGCUUAAGGACUCUACCUCAUAGAAGCUAAACAAUCCUACAAAUAAACUGCAAAAUAAAUCACAAUAACGCAAAAUUUUUGUCUUUCUUCCGUAUGAAAUGAAACUACGAAGUCAAGAAUUGACUCCUUUAACCGCUAUUGCCAGCGGGCUCCGUCAGCAAGAUACAACUUUGCAAUUUGAUUCAAUAGAAAUCCUCAAAUAGCUAUUUUGACAGGCAAAUUAAGCAUUAAUUUUGGUAUCCCUUCAUAAAAUACAAGAGUACUUUUGAUUAUAUCUAUAGAUCAACUUUCUAGGCUAUUUUGAUGUAUUAUAAGAAAAUCUGCCUCAACAAUUUUGAUAGCAUUUUUCCAAAAGCAGAAGAUGGAAAAUUGCCCAUUUGUACUGGGGAGUUCGUGAUCUUUUCCUCCUUCUAGUCUACUUACAAUUCUUGGAAAAAGGAAUACUCACAUCUCAAACAACUGCCUGUUCAUCUGCAAUGUCCUGCCGAAUUCUAGAAAGUUAGGUGGCAAUGCUAAUUACAUUUCAAAAUUGACUGCUGCGAUGACUAAUUCGAUGGCUUACUACAUGGUCAACGUUUGGAUCCCUUCCUGUCCUUUUUGGAUGCACAUUUUUUUUCUCUAGGCAAUAUAUAAUCUCCCAACUCAUUUCUUUACAAAUGCACCUUUAAUCACCACCAAAAGGUGUGGACAUGAUCUUUACCCUAGAAAACUAAUCACCGACAGGCAAAUUGACGUCAGAAAUACUAAGAGGAAUUCUAGUUUCCUUCGGGUUAAUGCCAUUUUGUACCCUUCAACUGUAACUCGAUUUCUAAACUAUAAUUUGUGACAUUAUAGUCCUUAAACUAUGAAACCCCUCUUACUUAAGUACAAUGGUUAAUACAAUACCCGUGACUAGACAAGCAACCAUAACAAAAAAAAAUCCAAAAUUAGAGAAAAGAAAGAAGUUUCGCGACCAAAGUAUGUAUCAAGGCAUAGUAUAGAAAUAAAAGUGUCCAAAUUAAGAGUUUAGGGAUAAAAGAGAUCAAGAUAUAGUUUAGGGAUUGAUUUGUCUCAAUUAGAGUUUUGAUGUCAACUAAGAAGAGAGAUAUAGUUGAAGGGUAGAAUAUAGAUAUAACAGUUCAAUGAUUGAUAUCAACGAGACAAUGACAACUUUGGAUUAUUACCAACCUCUUCUUGAUGGGAAAAGGAAAUAGAGAAGAAAGUCGGGCCUGGUCUAAGCCUGCUUCGGAGGCAAAACAACAUUAUGAAAUCACCGGCAUUCACACAAAUAUGUCAAAGUCACCGGCAUGCUAAGUUGCAUAAUUUAUACAAACACUGAAUAAUAUAUUGUUCUUAAAAUUUUUGUUUAAGAUUUAACAAUUAGAGCACGGUACACGAAUUAGCAAUAUUAAAUAAUGAAUGUUCACGAUUGAUAAAGUUAUCAAAGUACAGUUUGAGGACAACCCAUUCCAACGUGUACAAGAUGUUUAGCCUUUGAAAAGUUAAUUAGAGAAGGUGACGAGAUUUUACUAGGCUUAAAUCUUCUAGGCCUCGGAAGUAAAAAAUGAAGGCCUUUGAGUGCUAUAAAAAGGGGGCUAGAUGUUGCCUAGAAGCAUAUCAGCCUCAGACCACAUUUUGUAGCAAUGGGGAGCAAAGCAAAAGCAAUGGGGUCUAGGCUGACUCCUCUUCUUACCACCGUUUUAGUGGUAUUUGUUGCUCUUGGCUUGCCUUCAGAAACUGUGGCUGAUUACUACAAGUAUUCAUCUCCUCCUCCUCCUUACCAUUAUUCCUCACCACCACCUCCUGUGCAUUCACCUCCACCACCGCCAAUUUAUAAGUCACCCCCACCACCUUACCACUACUCCUCACCGCCACCUCCAGUGUAUUCAUCUCCACCACCACCUUCGCCAGUUUACAAGUCUCCGCCACCACCUUACCAUUAUUCGUCACCACCGCCUCCGGUGCAUUCACCUCCACCACCACCUGUUUACAAGUCACCUCCACCACCUUCGCCAGUUUACAAGUCUCCGCCACCACCUUACUAUUAUUCGUCACCACCGCCUCCGGUGCAUUCACCUCCACCACCACCGAUUUACGAGUCACCUCCACCACCUCCUCCAGUUUACAAGUCUCCGCCACCACCUUACCAUUAUUCCUCACCACCACCUCCAACGCAUUCACUCCCACCACCAGUUUACAAAUCACCGCCACCACCUCCUCCUAUGUAUAAGUCCCCUCCACCACCUUAUCAUUAUUCCUCACCACCACCUCCAGUGCAUUCACCCCCACUGCCACCAAUUUACAAGUCUCCGCCACCUCCAAUCUACAAGUAUAAGUCACCACCACCUCCUCCCCCAAUUUACAAGUCACCACCACCACCUCCUCCAGUAUAUAAGUCCCUACCCCCACCAGUGUAUAAGUACAAGUCUCCACCACCACCUCCUCCAGUAUACAAAUCACCUCCACCACCUCCUCCAGUUUACAAAUCUCUACCACCACCAAUUUAUAAAUACAAGUCUCCUCCACCACCUCCUCCGGUUUACAAUUCCCCACCACCACCAAUCUACAAGUCUCCACCUCCACCCUCCCAUUACUACUACAAUUCUCCUCCUCCUCCUCCUCAUCACUACUAAGCAAUUGUAUCCAAGUUUUUGAGGUAAUAAUGCUAAACCAAUAUAUUAACUUUCGCAUGAUAAACUUUAUCUCUAUCAAGACAAACUGCCAUGUGCAUCAAGCCAAAUACGUACACUUCGAUCCAUGAAAAUGACAAGUAGAAGGUUUUCUUAAGAACCAAGGAACAGCAUUAGUAUUCCCUCUGUUUCCAAAACUUGUGUAUUAAAUAGAUUAAUGAAUUGUUUAACAUGCUUAUCUACUUGAAAAUGCACAAUACCCAUAACCCACUGAAAUUUUUGCAGGUAAAGGGGAAGAGAAUCUGUGUUUGAGAGCUUCAUGAAGAUGUUGAAGAAUAAGAAUAAAAGCCCAAUGCGAGGAUGUUUUCAAGUUUUUCUAUGUUUCCACUUUAAUUUGUAAAUUGAAUUUUUCGACUUAAUUAAUUCCCUGUUUGUGGGGUACGUAUUGUUUUACGUACCAUGCCGUACAUGUUUGUAAGGAUUUCUAUCCUAUUGGCAAAAGUCGGUUCCAUACAAUUAAUCAAUUCAUUUCACUUCUAUUGGCUCUACUAUUUAUGCACGUUACGACAUUUUUUCUCUCUUUCCCUUAUAUUUUGUCUUUAAUAUUAUUGAGUCAAUAGUAAUACUGGGCCAUUUUUUUUAAAACUUAUACUAGUAUACAUAGGUAGUUUGGUCUAACGCCAAAUUCAUGUUUGUCUUUCUUUUAUUCCCUUUACAUUUCAAAGUAUACUAUAGUUUGUGAUCAUUGUGGUGAUGAUAUUACCAGCUGGUACUUAUAGUUUAAGGCAGAGACAUGAUAUUAACAACUAUCUCAUUGAAACAUAAGGAAAAAUCAUGACAAGUGUGAGUCUUGGUUAAUGCACAAUUUGUUAGUGGAAUUUAUAUUUAUAAAACUCAAAAAAAAAAUUUUGACAAUGCUAUUACUAAUUAAUUAAGGACUUUAUUGCUAUAAUUUAUCGCUUGCUAGUUUAAACUAUAAAUGAUCUCAAUACUUUUCUCCAUGAUGUCGAUUUCUUUAGAUACGAAAGGGAAAAAUUAGUGACAUAUCCCUUACUGAUUACAACAUCAGCAAAAAUUAGUUAUAAACUUUUCCGGUGGUUUUAAAUCCCCGGGCCCUAAGAUUUUUUGCUCAUCGAGUGAAUUAAGGAACAUAGGCAAUUCAUUUUGCAUACCAAGUCCUUGUUUAAGAUGCAAGUACUAAAAUGCAUCCACUUCAUUAAUUUGGGAAAUUGCCAUAGUUUUUUUAAGCAUUUUGAUUUUUUACAUGAUUUAAAAUUUUCUUAUUGGAUACAAUCACUUUGUAUCAAGAACACAUUUUCAAUCACCUUUUUUUAUCUUCUCAAUGAGAAAAUAAAAAUUUAUUCAUGCUUUUCUAACAUAUUCAAUCAUUGAUCUGAAAAUUAAAACAUUAAGAAAAGGACAUUUUCAAACAUUAAGAAGUAGUAUUUUAAAGACCAUGAUGAAAUUAAUACUUUCAAGGUCUCUAUUAGGAAGACUUCCUUUAUUAAUACUCUACUAGGCAGAGUUAUAUGCACGUUUACUGUUUUGGCCUUAAGUUGGGUGCAGAUGCUUAUAUUACAAAUAGAUGGUAUCAAAAAAUUGUUGUAUUCACGUCUGUUCUUUUUUUCUUCCUUAAGUUUUUUUCUUUAUUCUCGUGACUUCGCUAGUGAGGUAUAACUUCACAACUAGAGUCAAUAGAAAUCGUCAAAUGAUUUUUUGACAUCCAAAUUAAGCAAUAAAUUUUGUUUUCAUUUCAUAACAUAUAAUAGUACUACUUCAUGGGAGAUUUUAUAGUUUCUUUAGGGUAUCAUACCUACAAUUGAUAUUUAUCAUUGGAUAGUGAAAGAAGUGUUAAUGUCUCUAAGAUUAAAUAUUGUUAAAUAUUGAAAAUUUGAACUAUUUAUCUCUAUUGAGAGAUACAACUUAAAGAAUCCUACCCAAAAGAGACUAGAAUUUUCUCUGUUUUUCAUCAUCUGUAGACAUAAACUUUCCACGGUUGAUAGCAUUUUUCAUCAUCUAUAAGGAAAUUUUGCCUAUACAAUGUGAUAGCAUUUUUCAAAAAGACAAGAUGGAAAAUUGCCCCCCUUGAACGGAAAAUUGCCCCCUUGUCAAUUCUUUAAAAAAGAAUACCGUCCCGCAGAAUUCUAGAAAGUUAGGCAAAACUAGACAAGUUGACAGGUAUAAUCAGACCCAAGAUCAGGAACAAGCAGUUGCACAUUUCAAAAUUCGCUGCUGCAACAACUAAUUUGAUGACUUACAACACUAAAUGGUCAAACUUUGAAUGGCAAUGAAUCUUUUGUUGUACAUCAUGAUGUAAUUUUCAUGUUACAUAAUAGAUUGAUAUCUAUGUUCUUUAAAUUAUCAUAAUAAUUAAAUUUAACUGAAAAAAAGAACACAUAUCAAUACACAAAAGUGUGCAACGUGAAUGUUAUUUUAGUGUAUUGCAGAAGACCUAUAGUCUCUUCAUAUCUCUUCCUGCACGUAUCAAUUCGUUUCCUCUAGAUAAUAAUCUCCCAACUCAUUUAUUUACAAAUGCACCUUUUAUGUUUUAUUACCUCCAAAAGCCUAAAAAUCAAUUCACCGACUCGCAUUUGGUAUCAGAAAUUCUUAUUACGAAUUCUACUUUACUCAAAGAUUGACUGUUAAUAAUGAGACAACGACCAUUUUGUAUUAUUACACCGUCCUUCUUGAUAGGCAAAAGAAAUAGAGAGGAAAGCGGGUCCGUAUAUGGUCUUUUAUUCAUAGAUAAUACAACAUUACGCCAUCGAGCAUUCACACAAUAUUUCAAAGUCAUUGCAUGCCUAAGGCCUGCUUGAUAAUCUAAUUCCGUACUUAAAUUUAAUAAAUUCAAAUCUUAACACAUUCAAAUCGUUUGAUAACAAAAAAUUGAACAUCUAAAUUAAUUAAGUAACACUGAAUUUUCUAGGCAAAACUUGCUCCCAAAAUUAAGUGAUAAGUUAUUCACUUAUCACUGAAUAUGAUAUGUAUUCAAAUGUAUUAGAUUUAAUACUUAAUAAUUUAAUGAAUUCAAAUUUCAUAUUUCAUAUUUCAGUUUUAUCAAACACACCUUAAGUUGCAAAAUAAUACCAAAACUUGUUAUUACAUAGCUUGAGAUUCAAAAAUUUAGAGCAUAAUUCUCAACCAAACACAAUUGAAUAAUGAAUAUUCACGAGUGUCAAAUCUAUCAAAGUACAAUUUGAGGACAACCCAUUCAAACGCGUACACGAUUUUUAACUUUUCUAAAGUUGUUGAGAGCUGUUGAAAGAGAUUUACCAUGUUUACAUCUUCCAAGUCUUGGGAGUAAAAAAUGAAGCCACUGAGUGCUAUAAAAAGGGGGGUAGAGGCCACUUGAGAUCCUCGGUGACAUGUUUUCUAUGCCAAUCCAAUGCCACCAAUAGUGUUGCGCCAAGUGUCAUGUUAUUAUUUACACUUGUGUUAAACUAAGCCAAGUUGAAUUAUUAGAAAAUUAAAGUGUAAAUAAUAACAUGACACUUGGCGCAAUACUAUUGGUGACAUUGGGUUGGCAUAGAAAAUAUGUCACCGAGGAUCCCAAGUGGAUAGAUGCUGCCUAGAAGCAUAUCAGCCUAAAACAAGAAUUUGUAGUAACAAUGGGGAGCAAAGCAAAAGCAACGGGGUCUAGGCUGACUCCUCUUCUUACCACUGUUUUAGUGGUAUUUGUUGCCCUUGGCUUGCCCUUGGAAACUGCAGCUGAUUAUUACAAGUAUUCAUCUCCUCCUCCUCCUCCUUACCAGUAUUCCUCACCACCACCUCCAGUGUAUUCACCUCCACCAACCCCUGUUUAUAAGUUACCCCCACCAUCUCCUCUAGUUUACAAGUCCUCACCACCACCUUACCACUACUCACCACCUCCUGUGUAUUCACCUCCACCAUCACCAAUUUACAAGUCACUGCCACCACCCCCUCCAGUAUACAACUCCCCGCCUCCACCAGUGUACAAAUACAAGUCCCCACCACCACCUUCUCCAAUUUACAAAUCUCCACCGCCACCAGUUUACAAGUACAAGUCACCCCCACCACCUCCUCCGGUAUACAAGUCUCCUCCGCCACCUGUUUACGAGUACAAGUCUCCUCCACCACCUCCUCCAGUGUACAAGUCCCCACCACCUCCAGUUUACAAGUACAAGUCACCACCACCUCCUCCCCCGGUUUACCAAUCUCCUCCACCACCAGUUUACAAAUACAAGUCACCACCACCUCCUCCCCCAGUUUACCAGUCUCCACCUCCACCCUAUCAUCACUACUACGGUUCUCCUCCUCCUCACCACUACUAAGCAAGUGCAUCUAAGUUUUGAGGUAAUAAUACCGAUCCAAAACUUUAUCAACGCAAACUGCCAUGUAUAUCAUGCUAAGGACGUACACUUGAUCCAUGAAAAUGGCUAGUAGAAGAUUUUUUUUAAGAACCAGAGAAAUACAUUAUUUUUUCGCUCUGUUUUCAAGAAUUUGAGCAGUAUACAGAUUAAAGAGUGUUUUUUUUAAACUUGCUUAUCAACUUAGAAAUGCACAUAGCUGAAAGCCAACUGAAUAUUUGCAGGCAAAGGAGAAGGCAAUCGGUGUUUGAGACCUUCAUGAAGAUGUAGAAGAAUAAGAAUAAAAGCCCAAUGCGAGGAUGAUUUCAAGUUUCUACGUUACCAUUUCUACAUCUAAAUUGACUUUAGCUCCUGAGUUCCAUGUCUAUGGGGUUUGUACUGUUUUACGUACCAUGCAGUACAUGCUUGUAAGGUUUUCUGUCCUGUUGGCAAGCCGCAGGUCCAUAUAAUAAAUGAAUACUAUUUAUAUUACGACACUUUUCUCUCUUUCUCUUAUAUUUUGUCUUUAAUAUUGUUGAUCAUUUUUUUUUUUUAUCAAAAGUAUCAAAUGCUUAGGCAAUUUGGUCUAAUGCUAAUUGUUUUACAUUUAUUUUUCACCUACAUCCCUUUUCAACUCAAAGGAUGCUACAGUUUGUGAUCAUUGUUUAAGACCGAAGCAUGGUACUAAUAAAUAUCUCAUUGAAAGUCAAGGAAACUAACAUUAUGAAAAGUGUAAAUCUUGAUUUGUGAAACUAUUUAUUCGUGGAAUUUAGAGAUACAAAACUCAAAUUGUGACGGUGUUGUUGCUAAAUUAUUUUUUUUUUAUAAUAAAACACAGUUCAUUCAAGGAUUACUGGAAAUCGUCCAGCACAAUUGAGAUACAUUGUUGCCCAGGUGGCAGAUAAAUAUGCACUAAAAUUAUAGAUAUGCAAUUUAACAAAUACAUAAGAUUUGAGAAAUUAAGGACAAAUCUAAAAAGGACCAUAAAUUUGAAAAACAUUUCAUCCUAGAAUAAGUCGCUGCAACUCUCUUUGUGCAUGCUGUAAUCGUCAGAUCUACUAAUCAACAGUUGUAAGGUCCAGUAAAGAUGGUGAGAUCUGCCGAGAUUGAUCCAAAUCUGAAAUAUUCCCUCAGAUCUGCUAUCCAAUUGGUUCAAACUCAAUACUGAAAGUGAAAUCUGAUGAGAAGACUGAAAAAAUUGUAGAUCUAACAUAUAGAUCUAAAAAAACUCCAAGAUUUGAAAAAGUAAAGAAACAAAACUAAAUAAAACUCUCAUUAAGAUAGUUUAGGAGAGACUAAAACUCUCAAUAGGACACCCUAGGAGAGAAGAAAACUCUCACUAGGAUAACCUAUGAGAGACUUUAUUGAAUGAAAGGAAAAGCAAAGGACAAAGGAAGAAGAAGGGAGACCUUGGCUUAAGGCCAAGGUCUCCCUCCUAUGGAGGAGGAAGGGUAGAGGAGGAAGCCUAGAGAGAAGGAAGAGAAUCCCUCCGCUAGAGGGAAGGAAGAGCCUCUGAGAGGGUACCCGUGUUGUUGCUAAAUUAUUAAGGACAUUAUCACCAUUACUUUUCCCUUACUAGUUUCAACUGCAAUGAUCUCAAUCUUUUUGUGACUAAUUCUUUUCUUAAUAAUUUAUAAAUACAAAACUCACAAAGAAUAUGUGACUUAUUCUUUCCUUUCGUCUUCUAAAGAAAAUGCCAACUGUUAGUUUAUCAAGGGAAAAAGGAUCGACAUCAGUUGUUAUUGAAACUAGUAAGGAAUAAAUAAUGGUGAUAAUGUCCUUAAUAAUUUAACAACAGCACCAUCAGAAUUUGAGCUUUGUAUCUAUAAAUUCCACGAAUAAAUAGUUUCAUCAAAUCAAGAUUUACACUUUUCAUAAUGUUAAGUUUCCUUGACUUUCAAUGAGAUAUUUAUUAGUAUCAUGCUUCGGUCGUAAACAACGAUCACAAACGAUAGCAUCCUUUGAGUUGAAAAGGGUAGUGAAAAAGAGAAGUAAAAAAUACAAUUAGCAUUCCCUCAAAUUGUAGAAAGUUAGGUAGCAUUAUAGACAAGUUGAUAGCCGUAAUUAUACUAAAAAUCAGGCAAAAGCCAGCAAUUUUACAUUUCAAAAUUCACCUAUUCAAUAACUAAUUCGAUGGCUUGCUACAUGGUCAAAAUUCACCACAUAUCCCUUUCCUCAAUCAGGGGCUUCUACAAUUACCAGUUCCAAUUGUAUGGUAUAGUGUAAAUAUCAACAAAUUAGAUGUAGACACUAAUAUAAUAAAUAUGGAUGCUAAGGCAACAACAUACAAAAACAUAAUAAAUUUUGGCAUUCCUUAAAAAAUUACGUCCCCAAAUCAAUCUCAUACACCCAAUUUCUAAUUUAUUUAACUCAUUCCGUCUAUUAACUGCACCAUACAAUCCAACCUGCAAUUGCAUGAACCCCAAUCUCGCUUCCUAGUCCACCAUUUUUCUCUAGGUAAUAAUCUCCCUUCUAAUUUCUUCACAAAAUGCACCUUUCAUCACCUCCAAUAGCGUCGACAUGAUCUUUACCCUAGAAGACUAUUCACCGACUCCCAAUUGACGUCAGAAAAUCUAAGAGUAAUUCUACUUUACCCUAAGAUUGAUAUCAACUAGACAAUGACAAUUUAGAAUUAUUACACGCCUCUUCUUAAUAGGAAAAAGAAAUAGAGAAGAAAGUCAGGCCAGGUCUAAUUUCUUUUCGAAGGCAAUACAACAUUACGAAAUCAAGCAUUCAUUCAUACAAAUAUUUCAUAGUCACCGGUUUGCUGAGUAGAAAAGUUUAUACAAAAACUUAAUAUUAUAUUGUUUAAGAGUUAACAAUUUAGAGCUUAAUCUCCUUGUACUUUGGACUAAACUCGAACGUGAAAGGAAAUCCCAAAACCAUAUUGGGCAUGAAUUCACACUUAAAUAGACCCAAAAAAAGAUGGCGACUGGUGAAAGGCAGUGGAGACUGGUGGUGAGAUUUGAGGAAUAGAAGCAGACGGAAAAGCCACAAAUUUUUGCCGAAAGAGGGUCACUUUCAUGGUUAAUUUUGCUACUCUCUACUUGUACUUGACCAAUGACAGGUUGUCAGUCUGUGCAAUAAUAAAAACCUGUUCAAACUAAAAGUAAUUUCUGUAGAUAGUGGUAAGCAGGGUCGAAUCCACAGGGAUUAGGUGUAACUGUUUCUUUUCAAAUUCACAAUAACAAAGGGGGUGUUUUUAUGCAGAAUGUGACAAUCAAAGAAAUUCAAUUAAAAGUAAAAUAAUAAAAAUAAAAUAGCCAACUAGAAAUUAAAUAACAAUUUACUAAAAUCAAAUGAGUGAUAAUUAAGGAUCUAGCCAAGGAAUAACUUCAGCAGUGGUUCACCUAAUUGAUCAUUGGAACAAAGGCAAUUCCAAUUAUUUACUAAUAAAUAGGUUAUAACUGCCAAACAAGCGAUGACAGUCAAUCACUCCUUACUGUGUCGGUGAUUAAGGUACGCCCGUUAAUCACUGCCCUAAUUGAGAAAUAAUCUUAGGUACGCCCGUAAGAUUUAAUUUUCCAAUUGCCUUACAUAUUAGAGGAGUGUCAGGAACAAGGAAAUAGAAUGGGACGUCGUUUAAUGCAAAGGGUUGUGCGUUUAAGGCCUUAGAAGCAAUACUACGUCGUUCUAAUAACAUAGGCGGUGCUGGUGUGAUAGGCCAAGUUAGUUGAGGGUCAAUUACAUAAAUAGCCUUCUGUAACAGAUUUUUGGUUAUGUUUUUGAAUGAAAAGUAUCUCGCUGCUUUCUCUCUCUUGUCUGUUAUUUCCCUCCCUUUUCUUCUUUCUCUCUUCCCUCUUCUUAAUCUUGUUUCUUUCUUCUGAUUCUUCCCCCAAAUUCAAUACAAUUCCAGAAAUUAACCUGCAAGUCUGACAUUUGGUAUCAGAGCGGUCGAUUCUUGGCCGCGAAGGUAUCAGAAAUGGCUGAGAGCACGCGAUUCAGGACACUGGAGGAGCAACUCAAGAAGCAGGAGAAUCGGUUGCAAGAACUGGCGGAAUCCAUGGCUGCACUGCAGAGUACGAGUUCCGAGGAGUUGCGGCAUAAGCUACAGGCGGAAAUGGAGCAGAACAAUGCAAAAUUGGACGCGGUGGUGGGAAGUCUGGACCAGAAGUUCAAUAAAAUGGAACAGAGACUCAGUACAGUGUUGAAGCUGCUGAUGAAGGAGAAAGGUCUCCCUGAUGUCGAAGGAGGAAUUUCUGAUCCAAUCUUGCCGACUCCUCCAUCUCAUCUGAGGUUAGCAUCCUCAGUCGAAGGGAUUGGGCACCAACAAGAGUACAGAGGUAGGCAAUUCACUCCUAAUGUACCUCGAUUAGAACUGCCAAUGUUUAACUCUGGAAACCCUAGGGAAUGGACCAGGAAAUGCCAGAAAUAUUUUUUGAACUAUCAGAUAGCAGAGAGUCAAAAGGUAGAGGUAGCAGAGAUGUUUUUGGAAGGUAGAGCUGACAAUUGGUUUCAAGGAGUGAAAUUGGUGAGGCCAGGGUUGUCUUGGGGGGAAUUUAGUGAACUUUUGUGUGAAAGAUUUUCUGGAAGUAGUUCUCGUGACAUUGUGGAGGAAUUUAACAAGUUACAGCAGAAAGGAACUGUUGAGGAAUAUGAGGAGAAAUUUGAAGAACUAAAAGCUCUAAUGCUGAUGAAAACCCCCAGGUUGGAUGAACUUUACUUUGUUUCCAGUUUUAUUAGUGGCCUCAGGGAAGAAAUUAGACCUAUGGUGAAGAUGUUUAAGCCUCAAACACUGAUGAAGGCCUUUGAAGUUGCGGAGUUGCAGGAGUGUUCCCUGGAAAUCCAAUCGAAACAAAACAGAACUUCAAGGAGGACAGCAAUGGAACCCAAGUUUGGAAUGUAUAAGGGCACUACGAGUGAUUAGGGUCGCCAAAAUUCAUAUAAGUUGCCUGGAGUCACUCCUGUCUCCAGGAGGACUAAUGCAGUACACAAGGAAUUUAGUAAGAUAUCAGCGGAGGAAAUGCAGUAUAAGCGUAAGCACAGCCUGUGCUAUAGGUGUGGAGAGAAGUUUGGAAUAGGUCAUCAGUGUAAGAAAGGAAGUCUGAACUGUGUGAGCACUGAGGAAGAGGAGGACACUGAAUUUGAGGAUGCGGAAGGGGAACAGGAUGAGUUAACAGGAAGGGUCGGGGAACUUGCAGAAGUCUCUUUGAAUGCUUUAUCUGGUGCCAUAAGGAGGAAAUCCAUCCUGUUGAUAGGGAACUUAGGGGGGCUUCCAGUCAAAAUUUUGGUGGACACAGGCAGUUCUAACAGCUUCAUUCACCACAGGAUUGUCAACCUACUGCAUCUACCAUAUCAGGCAGUCAGUCCAUUUACUGUGACUCUAGCAGAUGGAACUGACAUUACCAGUGGAGCCAUCAGUCCCAGCGUGUCUUGGUUAAUUCAGGACUAUCAAUUCCAAUUUGACUUAAAAGUAAUGGAAUUAGGGGGAUGGGAUAUAAUUCUGGGGGUGGACUGGAUGUGCCAGUAUAGUCCCAUUACAUUUGAUUUCCACUCUCUUAGCAUUGCCCUUAGUGAUAGGGGUUCUUUACUACACCUCCAAGGACUUGUGAAGCAACCUACUAUGGAACUGGUGAGGGGCAGGGAUCUCAGCUCGUUUAUACAGGAGAAGCAAAGAAACUGUGCAGCCAUGCAUGCUGAUAGGGCCAGGGAAACAGGAGAGCAGCUUCCAAAAGCUAUAGAAAGGAUCCUGGAACAGCACUCUCAGGUUUUCUCCACCCCAACAGGAUUACCCCCAGAGAGGGAAUUGGACCAUCAGAUCAACCUCAAACCAGGAGCUGAACCCUUCAAGCUCAAACCUUACAGGUACCCCCACUCACAUAAAGCAGAAAUUGAAAAAAAAGUUGCUGAGAUGCUCACUAAUGGAAUUGUUAUACAUAGCACAAGCCCCUAUGCCUCCCCUGUAUUGUUAGUAAAGAAAAAGGAUAACUCCUGGAGAUUAUGCAUAGAUUACAGGAAGCUGAACGAGCUGACUAUAAAGGAUAAGUUCCCUAUUCCCAACAUAGAUGAACUAUUGGAUGAAUUACAUGGAACCAGAUACAUGUCCAAACUGGAUCUCAGAGCUGGUUACCAUCAGUUGAGGGUGAAAGCUGUUGAUACCCCUAAGACUGCCUUCCAGACACACCAUGGCCACUUUGAAUUCUUAGUGAUGCCUUUUGGACUCACAAACGCGCCAGCUACAUUUCAGUCCUUGAUGAACAGAAUAUUUCAGCCAUAUCUCAGAAAGUUUGUCCUAGUCUUCUUUGACUACAUAUUAGUGUACAGCCCCACACUAGAGAUGCAUGCACAGCAUCUACAGAUUGUGCUCAAUAUUUUAGAAGAAAAUCAGCUGUAUUACAAGAGGUCAAAGUGCUCUUUUGCCCAGUCCUCAAUUGAAUACUUGGGGCACGUGAUCUCAGAGGCAGGAGUGAGUAUGGAUGUGGCUAAGGUGGAGUGUAUCAAGUCCUGGUCUGUUCCUAGUACAGUCAAGGAGCUGAGAGGGUUUUUGGGAUUAAUUGGUUACUACAGGAGAUUCAUUAAAGGCUAUGGAGUGAUUAGCAAACCCUUGACUGUAUUGUUGAAAAAGGAAGGUUUUGCAUGGAACCAUGAAGCUCAAAUGGCCUUUGAAGAUUUGAAAAAGGUUAUGACCACAGCCCCAGUGCUGAGCAUGCCUAAUUUCGAACUUCCUUUUGUCAUAGAGACUGAUGCCUGUGGAAUAGGUAUUGGAGCAGUGUUGAUGCAGCAAGGACAUCCUAUUGCUUUCCUUAGCAAGGCAUUAUCAGUUCAGAAUUUGGGGUUAUCAGUCUAUGAAAAAGAGCUUUUUGCCUUAGUGCUAGCUGUAACUAAGUGGAGGCAUUACCUGGUGGGUCAUCACUUCAUUAUCAGGACAGAUCACCAAGCUCUCAAACAUUUGAUAGAGCAAAGGCUUACUCAUCCACUCCAGCACAAGUGGCUAACUAAGCUACUUGGUUUGGACUAUGAAAUACAGUAUAAAAAGGGUGCAGACAAUGGGGUGGCAGACGCCCUCUCCAGGAGAAGGAUUGAGGGAAACACUGUUGACUGUGGAGAGACUGGGCAUCAGACCUGCGCCAUAACCUCAGCUCAGCCUAGUUGGAUGCAGGAAAUGCUAGAAAGCUACAUUGGAGAUGCAGAGGCUCAACAGAAGUUAUCUGAGCUAUUGCUGGAUCCCAAUGCAGAUCCAGAUUAUCAGUUAAAGAAUGGGAUGCUCAAGUUUAAAGGGCGGCUGUACAUAGGAUCUGCUAACAACAUUAGGACCAAGGUGGUCAGAGCAUUGCAUGACUCAGCCCUUGGGGGGCACUCAGGUCCUGGAAUCCGUAAGGAUGUCCUUCAAUAUGUGAGAUCUUGUGAUGUGUGUCAAAGGAACAAACAUGAAAAUGUUCCUUAUCCUGGGUUGCUGCAACCAAUUCCUGUACCUCAGCAGGCUUGGUCACACCUCACCAUGGAUUUUAUUGAGCAACUACCCCCAUCCCAUGGAUUUGAUACCAUUUUGGUGGUGGUGGAUAGGUUAACCAAGUUCAGCCACUUCAUUCGACUCACUCACCCUUUUUCUGCACAGCAGGUAGCACAGCUUUUCCUUGACAACAUAUACAAGCUGCAUGGACUUCCUGAGACCAUUAUAACUGACAGGGACAUAAUCUUUCUUAGUAAGUUUUGGCAAGAGUUAUUUGGUAUGGUAGGGGUAAAGCUGCACUACAGUUCAUCGUAUCACCCUCAAUCAGAUGGUCAAAGUGAAAGGGUCAAUCAGUGUUUGGAAAACUAUCUCAGGUGUAUGUGCAGUGAGCAUCCUUCUCACUGGAGCAGUUGGCUUCCUACAGCUGAGUUAUGGUACAACACUAACUUCCAUACUAGCUUGCAGGUGACACCAUUCGAAGCACUAUACGGGUAUAAACCAAAUCACCUUCCCUUAGGACCUUUUCAUGAUAGCCUGGUACCUGCUGCUGGUAACAUGGUGCAGACUAGGCUCCAAAUUCUAUCCCUCAUCAAAGAGAAUCUAGCCACCGCCCAGAAUCGAAUGAAAAUGUUUACUGAUAAGCACAGGACUGAACGUGUCUUCCAAGUGGGGGAUUGGGUAUUUCUCAAGCUGCAACCUUACAGGCAACAAUCAGUGGCCUUACGGAAGAAUUUGAAGUUGGCUGCCAAAUACUUUGGACCUUUCCAGAUCCUUGCGAGAGUAGGGGAAGUCGCCUACAGACUUAAGUUGCCAGAGGGAGCUCGAGUUCAUUCCGUGUUCCAUGUGUCCUUACUUAAAAGGAAAGUGGGAGUUACACAGCAGGUAAAGCCCAGCUUGCCAGAAGUAGACGCAUCAGACCAAUGUUUGCUGAAGCCAGAGAAGAUUCUCCAGAGGCGUGUUAUCAUACGAGCUGCCAAACCAAUCAUCCAGUACCUGGUGAAGUGGAACAACUUACCAGAAUCCGAAGCAUCAUGGGAGGAUAAAAGCUUCAUUGACAGACAAUUUCCGGAAUUUCAAGCUUGAGGACAAGCUUUGCUUAAGGGGAAGAGAUUGUCAGGAACAAGGAAAUAGAAUGGGACGUCGUUUAAUGCAAAGGGUUGUGCGUUUAAGGCCUUAGAAGCAAUACUACGUCAUUCUAAUAACAUAGGCGGUGCUGGUGUGAUAGGCCAAGUUAGUUGAGGGUCAAUUACAUAAAUAGCCUUCUGUAACAGAUUUUUGGUUAUGUUUUUGAAUGAAAAGUAUCUCGCUGCUUUCUCUCUCUUGUCUGUUAUUUCCCUCCCUUUUCUUCUUUCUCUCUUCCCUCUUCUUAAUCUUGUUUCUUUCUUCUGAUUCUUCCCCCAAAUUCAAUACAAUUCCAGAAAUUAACCUGCAGAUCUGACAAGGAGCCCUAUUCUAACCAAAUAACACACUACCAGGGUUAUUUUAGGUUAGCCCGCGUAUUCCCCUGACAUGAAUCCAAUCAUGCCAGUUAUCACUAUUUUGAAACAAUUAAACAAUUACGGAUUUAACGUCCCAAUUGACAAUAGAUUAUCAAAUUAACUAAUUAUCCGGAUCCAAAACAAUCAAUUAAUUAAAUAAUCAUAAGCACUGUAAUCAGGGAAUAUUUGAAUACCAAUAAAUAAAAAGAAAGGACAAAAUUAAAUCGAUUUCACAAUUUUUAAACGAACCACAACCUCAGUUGUUCCUCGGCUAGAUUGAGAAAAUUAGCUCAUGUUCGAUGCGAAAAAUCCACAAGAAAUUGUUAAGAGAGCCGCGGCCAUUGUCCCUUGAAAUUGGGGAAAUUCAAUUCGGUUGAACUACGAAAGAAAAGUAAGCUACAGAGAGUUGCCGAUUGGGUUUUGCUUGUCCCUAACAUGCGAGGGAGCAAAGCCACGAAAGGACGACAAAGGUCAAAAAGAAAGGCUACAGAGCAUGUUCCAGGUCUUUUUGUGCUCUCCACAUCCGAGCCAACGAAAAGAAAUAAAAAACUACCAGGAGCUAAAGGAAAACCGCAAGAAAAGUCAAAGGCUAAAAAAACUUCCUAGUGCUUGUUCUCUGCUUAUCUCUUUAUCUAAUUCUAAGUCCCCGAUUUUUUGCUCCGUGCGGCGGCUCCCCCGGAGAGAAAGGAUUGCAUCCGCUGCCCUCUUCCACCAAUUACCAAAAUGGGCACACCGCUUCUUUUUCAAAAAUGCUCCUGGAUAAACUCUAUCAUCUGGACUUUUUUUCUGUCAAAUUGACAUUUAUUAUUAUAUUUUCGUUCUACUCCCUGAAAUAAAUGUAAAAUAUUAAAAAUGAGUAGAAUCCGACAAUUAAUUCACAUCAGGUCAGAUAAUAAAGAAAAUUAAUAAUAAAAUAAAUAAAUAAAUUGCAACCUAUCAACCAAAUACAACAAUUUCAUGGAGUUUGAUACACAAGCCCAAAUACACGAGAGUGUGUAACCUGAAUUGUUACUUAUACAUUAGUGUGUAAUAGAACGGCAAGCAUUAUGGUGGUCAUUGAGCAACUUGUAGGAGAAAUAGUCCUAUAAGCUGUUCAAUGACCAAUCACAACUUGCUAAUUGGAUGACUAAUAUAGCUCUAGCUGUAAUGUUUUAAUUAAAUUCCAUCACUAACGUUGGGAUGACUUUUUAAUCAAAAAAAAAAAAGCCUUAGUUCAAGCUUUUCCCCUUAUUGUGCAUUUUUUAAAACAUUUGAUAGGCACUGCAAAUCUGUCAUUUUGGACAUUUUAUUAUUAACUAACAAUGAAAGCCGUGGACAUCAACCCAUAUCCAACAAAAUAUUAAAUUAAUAUUAGAAAAAAUUAUUAAGUAAUUGGAAAAAAAAAGAAGAGGCUAAUUUUCAUUGAAACCCACCGACAAACUAUACGCUGCUUUCAAUCAGUUUUAACACGGGAAAAAGAAAAGGCAUGAAAAGCAAAAUUUGUGGGGAUAAUUUCGGAAACCUCCCAUGAAGUUUUUGACUAUUUUACUGGCCUCCCUUCAGAUUUUAAAAAUUGGACUAAUCUUCCUUAAAGUUAAUUAUCUUGUAACAUUUAGAUCCGAUCAAUAAUUUAAAAAAUAAUAUUAUGAGAGAGAAAAUAAUAUGAUUUUAUUAUUGCCCCCAUCUCACCACAUUAUUUAAUUAAUUUAAUAGCAACCCACACAUUAAAGAAAAUGACAGGUCGUCAACCUGUGCAAUAAUAAAAUUAAACCUAAUUGCCAGUUAAAAUGACCAAAACCCAAUUCCAAGUACUGGAGCAGGGACUCUAGGUGUGCAAUGGGUUACUUGAUUCACCCUGUUCCCGAAGAGUUUGCUUGAUCCGAUAUACCCGAAUGGAAUGGUUAUUCCUUUUCACAAAUGAUUAGGAAUUUGUAGACAGGGCAAGUAGGGUCGUAUCCACAGAGACUGGGUAUAUUUGUUUCUUAAGAAAUCCAAAGUAACACAGGGGGUGAUUUUGUAGGAACGACGAUAAUUAAAUAAAUUCAAAUGAGAAAGUAAAAAUAAAUAAUUAACUAGAAAUUAAACCACAAUUUACUGAACUCAGGAUAACAAUAGUUAAAGGCCUCAAUUAAUUAAAAUAAGGAAACAAUCAAAAAUAAAAUAAAGUAGGUAAUUAAAAGUCAAAUGGCAAUCCACUACAAUCAAGGAAAUAUUAACUAAAGAUCUAGCCAAGAAAUAACUUCAGCAAUGGUUCACCUAAUCGAUCAUUGAUGCAAAGCAAUCCCAAUUAUUUACUAAUAAAUAGGUUAUAACUACCAAACAAGCGAUGGCAGUCAACCCCUCCUUACUGUGUCGGUGAUCAAGGUACGCCCGUUAAUCACUGCUCUAAUUGAGAAAUAAUCCUAGGUACGCCCGUAGAAUUUAAUUCCCCAACUGCCUUACGUAUUAGAGGAGCCCUAUUCUACCCAAAUAACACACUACCAGGGUUAUUUUAGAUUAGCCCGCGUAUCCCCCUGACACGAAUCUAAUCGUGCCAGUUGUCACUAAUUUGAGGUAAUUAAACAAUUACGGAUUCAAUACCCCAAUUGACAAUAGAUUAUCAAACCAAUGAAUUAUCCGGAUCCAAGACAAUCAACUAAUUAAAUAAUCAUAAGCACUGCAACCAAGGAAUAUGCGAAUACCAAUAAAUAAAGGAAAAGAUAAAAUUAAAUCGAUCUCACAAUUUACAGGUGACCCAAAGCAUCAGUCGUUUCUUGACUAGAACGAGGGGGUUAGCUCAUAUUGGAUGAACUAAGCCCGCGGGAAAUUCCAGCAAAAGUCACGGCCGUUGUAUGCAUUUCAAGAGCCGCAAUUCGUCAAACACUUGGAAAGCGAAUGUAAGGCACGGGUAACAAUUGAAACUUUCUAAUUGUUCCUAGCAUUCGUAAAGCAAAUUCACUCCAGAAGUACAGUGAGGAAAAGUCAAAGAAAGUGGGCUUCAAUUCCUUGCUCCUGACAUGCGUGGAGACAAGCCAAUGCAAGACUACAAUAAACUAACAAGGAAAAGUCAAGAAUUGGAGCUAAGCUCCCCUGCCAUGCGCAGGAAUCCCAAAAGUAAAAAGUAAAGCUUCAAAGAAAAGUCAACAAUUCUUCCUAAGCUACAGACGGAAGAUCCAGCACAAAAGCCAGCUCCCUUUUUGAUCCCUUUUUCCCCCUUCUUAUUGCGGCGGCUCACCAGGAGAGGAGAGCCCUCCGUCCGUCCUUUCUUCCGGAAAUUACCAAAAUGGGCAUGACAUCUUCUCUUCCAAAAGUGCCCCUGGGACAAGCUUUCUCAUCUGAAUUCUUUUUUUUUCCAAUUUGGCACCUGUUAUCAUAUUUAUAUUCUACUCCCUGAAAUAAACGUCAAAUACUAAAAGUGAGUAGAAUCCAGCAAAUAAAUCCACAUCAAGUCAGGUAAUAGGAGGAAUUAAUAAUAAAAUAAAUGAAUAAAUUGCACCCUAUCAAUUCCCUCCACACCUAAACCAUGCUUGUCCUCAAGCAUAAGAAAAGUAAACGAACACCAAAAUUCGACGAUAGCCAUUGCCCAAUCUCCUAUAUUGCCAAGACAUUCAAGAGAAAAACACAUAUCGAGCAUUGGUGAUUAGAAUCCCAGAAGCAUCCCCCCGGUUAGCCUCUAACCCCCAGAUUCCUUCAAUUUCCAACUUAACUACUCUAAGAAAGAGGAAUGGCACACAACAUUUAUCAGCUAGUGGUCCGAAUAUUCACACAAGUCUUCAUAUCCAAUCCAUAAACCGGCAAGCUUCCCUAUUAUUUAGUCUCUCUUUUUUUCCGUUUUUUUUCAUUUUCAUUCUUCCCCUCUUUUUUUUUUUUUUUUAAAGCAGUAGCAAUCAACACAAAAGACUUAGUCGUUAGCCGUCAGGGCCUUUUGAUGCGAACUCCAACAUUUUUAGAAGGAGGAGCCCGGUUACUCAGCUCCUACCGCUAUACGACCACGCACUCAUAUAAAAUACCACCUUUUGACGCGAGAAUCGACACUUUUAGGUGCCGAUCCCCGGUUACUCAGUAGUAACUUAAUAGCGGAGCACAGUCAAGCUUAUUCUCAGCCAAACAAUGCACAAACGCAAAAUAACAGCACUAACAAUCAAACAUAGGAGCAGCUCGCCUCAUUAUUGUCAAACAUGGAGAACUGGAGUCAAUAUUGGACCAGUUCACAUUAAAAGGCCAUAUUCAUUCCCUACGCCUAGAAAAGUUAACAAAGAAAUCGAAAGAGUCAAACAGUUAAAUAUUCACCAAGGGGAUAUUCAGGACCCAACCACACUAACCCGAUACAUUUUGUAUUUUAAAAACUUGGCAAAAGUAGAUUUGGAGUCAAUGAGUCCACAUCUCAAUUUUAGCCUUCACAUGAAAGGCAAUCACCAAGAAGAAAGAACGGAAAAAUAAGCAACUAGAAAUGAGACUACGAAAAACUACUAAAACUAAAAACUCACUUUUUUUCUUUUUCUCUUUUUUUUUCUUUUUGAAUUUUUUUUUCAUUUUUAUUUUUUUUUAUUUUUUUUAUUUUUUAAACAUUAACUAUAAACAUUAACUACUAAAAACUAAAAACUAAAACUACUAAAAACUAAAAACACUAAAAACUGCUAAAAUGAAAAGCUGAAAACUGAAAACUACUAAAAACGGAGCACACUAGCAUAACUUUAGAUCCCCCCCACACCUAUAGGACACAUUGUCCUCAAUGUGACAAAUAAGAACCAAAAGUGAAGCACAAGUGAGAGGGGAAUCAGCCAAACUUCCCUGAAAUCGGGUCACAGCGGAGGGCGAGGUGGAAAUGGAGGUGCAAAGCCUGUAUGCAUCAGGAACUGUGCCAAAUUCUGUGCUAUGCCGGCGACAUUGGCGUCGACGUUGGUCAUCCGGGCCUGCAAAUCCUGAACCAGCUCCCUGAGAUGCUGCCAAUCAUCGGUCCCAGGUGGUGGAGGUGGCGCAGAAGUAGAGGUAGACGGCCCAGCAGUGUCCGCGGCCGACCCAGGGAAUGAAGAUGGCCCUGCCCGGGCCGAAUGGUGUGCACCCGGGGCUCGAGGUGGUCCCGGACGGGUAAACUGGUGAAAACCAUCUGGCAGACGCUCGACGACCCCCAUUUUCUCUAAGCAAACUACGUCCAAGUGCUCCAUCUCAAAUGCCAAAUGGAGGUCGUGGUCAUCCAGGUUAAGAACUCCCAACUGGGUCGCCAAGUGAGUGAUGUAGGACCCAAGGAUCAGUGGUUUGUUCUUCUUGGUCAAGACCGUCUUGAACUGUGCGGCCAACCAACAUCCCAAGUUCACCUUGAUAUUGUUCUUCAUACUCCAGAGAAAGAAGAAUUCGGGCCGAGAGAGUAUACCGGAGCUGUCCUUGCGCCCCGAGUAGCUAUAAGCUAAGAAUCGCUGAACAUAGCGGGCGCUAGGGUCCUUAAGAAAGGAGCUCCUGGACCGGGAAGGAUCGUAGCGUUGCCUAUCGACGGACAUGUCCUCCCAUACAUCAUGGUAGUGGGAGAGGAAAGGCUCUACGUAGUCACAGGCACUCUCCGCAUACUCCCUAGUCUCAGCAUACUCUCUAGUGAUAAACCCAAAUGCCAGAUUGAAUUGAGUAAUGGAGAAAUUGAAUUCUCGACCCAUGAGCCGGAAAUGAAUGACAUUCGGUGUUUCACCCGUGUAUCUCGUAGGUAAUUCGAACUCAAAGGUGGAGUAAAACUCCCGGAUCAGCUCAACAAAAGCGGGACAAGAAAUAUGGAAAUAUGGGCGCCACCCAAUGGCUGUGAACAUUUGCUCAACCUCCUCCCGUAUACCCAGGGCAGUUAGAGAGAGUCUAUGACAAGACUUACAGGAUAUUAUACGCCUCUCGCAGACCUUAGCGUACCUCUGCCGAUCGGCGGGUCUGGUAAAUGUUAAGUGCCCCCCAAAAUGAACAGGUGCAUCUACCUGAGCACCCCUAUCCCUACCCAAACGGGUUCGAACACUAGAAGAGGAGGGUAGGUUGGUAGGUGAGUUGACAGGAAUAGAGGCUUGUGGAGGGGGUUGAGACUGAGAGGUCCUAGACCUAGAGGAGGAUUUCGGUCUCACCAUUCCCCCCAAAGUAAGUUCAAGGCAACAGAAAAUCCGACAAGUAUAGAAACCAGCAAUUGACAAAGCAAAAAUCUCCCAGUAGUAACCCAGCCAAUAGCAAACAAAAGAGUUCCAGCAAGUAAUCAACAAGCAAUUCAGAAAUAUCUCAACUAAAAUCUCAAGAGAAACCCCAGCGAGUUAUCCAGCAAUUCAAGCAAUAUCCCCAAGCAAUGUGGUGGUCAAAAUGUCAUCUCCAAAUUGAACAAAUAAUCAGAGCAUUGCAACACAUUGAAAAUCUCAAUAAACGGCUCCAGUUGGCCAAGAAAAAUUGCUAACUCAUACUCAGCAAUAGUAGUGCAGCAAAGGGACAGUAACCACGCAAUAAAAACACUUAGCUUGCACUCAAAUGGUCACCCCAAAUAACAACCCAGUAUGAAACCCGCAGGCAGAGUAUUCCUCAAACCGUUAGCCUAAACCCAGUCAACAACCACGGCCAGAAAUAACCCCAUAAAUAGUGCAAUGAGUAAUCCCCAGCAACAUAAUCAGGUGUAAUCAACUGGAGCAAGCAAUUUACAUGGCAUAGAAACCUCCCAAUCAAACAAGUGCAUUAUUCUAGCGCACCCCAAAAUUCCAAGAAAUGGCUCCAGUUGGCCAAUUAAUUUCACAAUGUCACCCAACUCAGGAGAAAUAGCAAUUCCACACAAAAAUAGUCAAACCAGUACCACUGGCGAAAAAUCUUUCAAAUAUGCACAAUUUGCUACCAAAUAUCACCGGCUAACACUGAAAAAUUGAGGGCAAGUGUCAAAUACCUCCACAGGGACUACCCCAGGCGGCAGACAGAGAAGCGGCGUUGAAGCUGGUGGUCGAGCGGGGCGGCGCUCGCGUCGGCGUGCGCAGCGGCGACGGCGCGCGAGGAUGGAGUUUCGGGAGGUUGCGUGCGGGCUUGGCUGAAGACGCGGCGCGCGCUAGGGCUUCGCUGCGGCAGGCGUGCAGCAGGGGAGAAGAAAGAAAAGAGAAAGAAAGAAAGAAAAAGAAAGGAAAGAAAGAACAGAAAAGAAGGAAAAGAAAAAGGAAUUUUUCUUUUUUUUCUUUUUCUUUAGGCUACGGUUUAGAGGACAAAUUUUUCUUCUUCUUGUUUUCUACUUUUUUAUUUUUUUAUUUUUUAGUUUUUAAUUUAUUACUAUUAUUAUCAUAUUUAAUUGAGGAAAAAAAAUGUUUUUUUUUAAAUCCCUACCUUUCCCACGAACGUGACGCGGGCACGUCAAGAGGGCAAGAGAGCUCCCAGAAGUUUCAGAAUUUUCUGAUCGUAAGCGUCCUGCACAUCACCACGCGGGCACGUCAUGAGGACAGGAGAGCUCCCAGAAGUUCAGAAUUUUCUGAUCGUGAGCGCCCUGCACGUCACCACGCGGGCACGUCAUGAGGCCAGGAGAGCUCCCAGAAGUUUGAAGUUUCUGAUUCCUGCCCGUCAUCACGCGGGCGCGUCAUGACUGAAGGUCACCUACAAAUCAGCAAAAACGAAAACUAACACCCAAAAUCAGUCAAAUUCAGGGAAAGCAGAUUUAAACUAUGCUACAAAACCAACAAACAAUUAAAAGAAAUAAUUAGGUUGCCUCCCAAUGAGCGCCUUUCUUUAAUGUCUUUGGCUAGACAUGGUAAAGUGUCACUGAUUAGGACACGGUGGUGCGUCAAGCCUUAUUGUCUCCACCUCUCUACCUGAAAAUCCUUCGUAAUAAUAUUUGAGACGGUGUCCAUUCACCACAAAUUUGUUGUCUGUCUUAGCACUCUGGAUCUCAACUGCACCAUAGGGAAAAACAUGAGUAACAAUGAAAGGUCCAAUCCAACGGGAACGUAGCUUACCUGGGAAUAGCUUGAGCCUGGAUUGGUACAGGAGGACCUUCUGACCAACUUCAAAUGUUUUUCUUGAAAUUUGUUGGUCAUGAAAUGCCCGGCUUUUCUCCUUAUAUAUCAAGGCGUUUUCGUAUGCUUCGUUCCGGAUCUCCUCCAAUUCUUGCAAAUCCAACUUCCGUUGAGCACCGGCCUCCUCUAAAUUCAUAUUGCAGUGCUUUAUCGCCCAAAAAGCCUUGUGCUCGAACUCCACUGGAAGGUGACACGGCUUCCCAAAUACCAACCUGUACGGUGACAUCCCAAUAGGAGUCUUGUACGCCGUCCGAUAGGCCCAGAGUGCGUCUUCCAACCUUUGGCUCCAGUCUUUUCUAUCAGGGCGCACCAUUUUCUCUAAAAUGGACUUAAUCUCCCGAUUCGACACCUCCGCUUGACCAUUGGUCUGAGGGUGGUAUGACGUUGAGACCCUGUGGAGUACACCAUACUUGCGAAACAACGCAGCUAUGGUUUUGUUGCAAAAGUACGUUCCCCUAUCACUGACAAUAGCUCUAGGCAUUCCAAACCGCACAAAGAUAUUAGACCUGAUAAAAUCUGCAACUACUCUCGAAUCAUUAGUUCGAGUGGCCUUAGCCUCCACCCAUUUAGACACAUAAUCAACUGCCAGCAAAAUAUAUAAAAAACCAAAUGAAGUAGGAAAAGGCCCCAUGAAAUCUAUACCCCAGACAUCAAAAAUUUCAACAAAAAUCAACGGGACCUGGGGCAUUUGAUCUCUACGGGCUAUAUUACCUACCAUUUGACAGCGAUCACAUGACUUACAAAACACAUAGGCAUCUCUAAACAAUGAAGGCCAAUAAAAUCCACUUUCUAAAACCUUAUGAGCAGUUCUCUUAGGUCCAAAAUGACCUCCACAGGCAAAAGUAUGACAAAAAGCUAAAAUUGAUUGAAAUUCCAUUUCACUUACACAUCUCCUCAUCACUUGAUCGGCACACCUCUUCCAUAGGUACGGGUCAUCCCAGAUAAAAUACUUGGCAUCGCUCUUCAAUUUAUCCCUCUUCGAUUUCGGCCAACCUGCAGGAAAAUUACCAGUUACCAAAUAAUUGACCAAAUCAGCAUACCAAGGCAACUGAGAAUUUAAGAAAAAUAGGUAUUCUUCGGGGAAUGCAUCCUUCAAUGGCUCGCUAUCCUCUUCAACUAGUAUGCGACUCAAAUGGUCCGCUACUAGAUUUUCUGAGCCUUUUUUGUCCCUUAUCUCCAAGUCAAAUUCCUGUAGGAGCAGUAUCCACCGUAUGAGCCUCGGUUUUGCAUCUUUCUUGGUCAUCAGGUACCUCAAUGCUGCAUGAUCAGAAAAUACAAUCACUUUAGCACCUAACAAGUAUGACCUAAAUUUUUCCAAAGCAAAAAUAACUGCCAGAAGCUCCUUCUCAGUGGUGGAAUAAUUCAACUGGGCUCCAUUCAAGGCCCGGGAUGCGUAAUAGAUGACAUGAGCCGCCUUGCCUAUUCUUUGCCCCAGUACAGCCCCAACAGCGUGAUCACUGGCAUCGCACAUGAUCUCAAAUGGCAAAUUCCAAUCGGGGGGUUGGAUGAUUGGGGGUGAAGUCAGCAAUUCCUUCAGCUUGUUAAAGGCUCUCUCACACUUAUCAUCAAAUUCGAAGGCUACAUCUUUUUGUAGGAGUUGGAACAACGGGGCUCCAAUCUUUGAAAAAUCCUUGAUGAACCUUCGAUAAAAACCUGCAUGUCCAAGAAAAGAGCGCACCUCCCGCACACUCGCGGGGUAAGGUAAUGCAGAAAUAAUGUCUAUUUUAGCCUUGUCAACUUCUAUGCCCUUAGACGAUACAAUAUGACCCAGGACUAUUCCGUGCUCAACCAUAAAAUGACAUUUUUCCCAAUUAAGCACAAGAUUAGUCUCUAUACACCUGAUCAGGAUUAAUUUCAGGUUAUCUAGACAAGUAUCAAAACUAUCACCAUACACACUGAAAUCAUCCAUGAAAACUUCUAUUAUUUUCUCAACAUACUCGGAAAAGAUGCUUACCAUACAUCUUUGGAAAGUCGCAGGUGCAUUGCACAACCCAAAUGGCAUUCGUCUGUAGGCAAAGGUCCCGAACGGGCACGUGAAGGUUGUCUUCUCUUGAUCCUCCGGGGCAAUUGCUAUCUGAAAGUAUCCUGAAAAUCCAUCCAAAAAGCAAUAAUAAGCCCUACCAGCUAAACGUUCAACCAUUUGGUCAAUGAAAGGGAGAGGGAAAUGGUCCUUUUUGGUGACGGCGUUUAGCCUACGGUAAUCUAUACAUUGCCUCCAUCCAGUGGGUUUGCGCACUGGCACGAGCUCACCAGUUUGGUUGGCCUCUACCGUCACUCCUGCAUUCUUUGGGACUACCUGGACCGGACUCACCCAAGGGCUAUCAGAUAUUGCAAAAAUGAUGCCCACAUCUAGCAAUUUUAGAAUCUCUUUCUUUACGACUUCCAUCAUGAGGGGAUUGAGCCUUCUUUGAGCCUGCCUAACAGGUUUGGCAUCGUCUUCCAGCCUAAUCCGGUGCAUACAAAUGGCCGGGCUGAUCCCCUUAAUGUCUGCGAUUGUCCAGCCUAUUGCCUCUUUAUGCUCCCGAAGGACCCGGAUCAAUUUCUCUUCCUGGGUCUUUGACAGUGCCGAUGAGAUAAUCACUGGGAGUGUCUCAUUAUCACCUAGGUAUGCGUAUUUCAGGUGCUCUGGUAGAGGUUUCAACUCCAGUACAGGUGCCUGCACCACAGAUGGCAAUACCCUCUGGUGAGCCUUGGGAGUAAAAAUAGGUAAGACUUCAUACCUUUUCGUGGUGGUCUGCAACGAGUGUAAUGCACCUAUUGUGCAUUUUAAAUCCUCGCUCCACUCCACCUCAGGAGUUGUCUCCAACUCGAGGUGCUUGGUUAAAGCCACCUCCAGCUCAUCCCUGCCAUCAGUUUCAAACACUUCCUGCACUACAGGGUCAAUAGCACUCACAGAAAAAACUGAGCUAAAGUUGGAGUUAGAGGGGUACUUCAUAGUAUCAAAAAUAUUAAAAUGCACAAUUUACCCAUCAAACUCCAUGGACAAGGUACCCUUAUUAACAUCAAUUUUCGUCUGCGCAGUGCUCAUAAAAGGUCUACCCAAUAACAAAGGUGAGGGAUCAGGGGAGUGAUCAUCAUCCAUAUCUAGUACAUAAAAAUCAGCUGGAAACACCAAAUCAUUAACCUUUACCAACACAUCUUCAAUCAACCCAUCAGGAUAUGCAUUAGUUCGGUCAGCUAAUUGAAUAAUUAUUCCAGUUUCUUUUAAUGGACCUAGUUUCAAAGAAGCAUAGAUAGAUUUAGGCAUGACAUUAAUUGAUGCUCCCAGAUCCAGCAUGGCCCUUCUGAUCACAGUAUUACCUAUCUUACAGGGAAUAGUAAACAUACCUGGGUCCCCGCACUUUGGUGGGAGCUUUCUCUGCAGGACCGCAGACACAUUUUCUCCAACUAUGACCCGUUCAUCUCCCCUCAACCGCCUUCGGUUGACACACAAGUCCCUUAGGAACUUGGCAUAUUUUGGUACUUGUUUGAUGGCGUCUAAGAGGGGGAUAUUUAUCUCAACCUUGCGAAAAACCUCCAAGAUCUCCUUCUCCUUAUCCUGCUUCUUCGAUUUUUCCAACCUGCUAGGAAAAGGAGGCGGGUUAGUUUUAACUGUAAUUAUUGGGUCAGGAAGUACCUCUGGAUCUGCACCAUUGCUGUCCUCCCUUUCGAGCUCAUUUUCGAUCUUCUCUUCAUCCUUGUCCUUGGGAAUCACAGGUUCAGGCCCCUGAAUUUCUUUCCCACUCCUUAGGAUCAUUGCGCUCACGUUCUUCGGAUUCAACUCCGGUUGAGAUGGCAGCUUCCCUUGGUUCUGGGACUCCCAACGGUUCAUUCUGGUGGCCAAUUGACCUAUCUGAUUCCUUAUGUCCUGCAUUUCGGAGUCCGUCUUUUGCUGAUUUUGCAUAAUAGCUGCCUCCGUCCUUUGCUGAUUCUGCGCCAUGGUUGUCAUCAUUUGUUUCAGCAUCUCAUCCGUAGAUGAACCAGAUUGAGGGAGCGGAGGUGGUCGGGGUUGGUAUUGCUGCUGGUACCCUGGUGGCUUAUUUGGCACAAAGUUAGACUGCCUGUUUGGCGUGAAGUUGGAUUGCCUAUUUCCACCAUAACUGAGGUUGGGAUGAUCUCUCCACCCGGGGUUGUAGGUGCUUGAGUAAGGGUCGUACUGCUUCCUUGGCGCGGGCGCGUGGUCAGCCAUGUUCACCUGUUCCGCAGUUUCUUCCUGAAUCAUUGGGCACAUGUCUGCAGAGUGACCUAUACCAGUGCAAAUCCCGCAUACCCUGGCUUGUGAUGCAUUUCUCACAGCCUAUUGCCUAACGAACGCAGUCAACUCAUUUAGCUGCUGCUGCACAGAGGGUGUCUCUAUCUCAUUCACCCUACGUAUUGGGACAUCCUAUCUUGUACUGAAUUGCUGUGAAUUCUCUGCCAUCCCCUCUAUUAACUCCCGUGCUUCCUGAGGGGUUUUGUUCACCAGUGCCCCUCCACUUGCAGCAUCAAUGAUGCUCCUGUCUCUAAAAAUGAGCCCCUCAUAGAAAUAUUGUAUGAUCAACUGCUCACUUAUUUGGUGAUGGGGGCACCUGCGCAACAAGCUCUUAUACCGUUCCCAAUACUCGUAAAGUGACUCCUCGGGAUGCUGCUUGAUCCCACAAAUUUCUUUCCUUAGACUCGCAGCCCUGGACGCAGGAAAAUAUUUAUCCAGAAAUUUUUUCUUCAAUUGGUCCCACGUGGUGAUGCUACCUGGUGACAGGUAGUACAGCCAGUCCUUCGCAGAAUCUUUCAAGGAGAAGGGGAAUGCCCUCAUUUUUAUCUGCUCUUCUGUGAUUCCCGGGGGUUUCAUACUGUUGCAAACGACAUCAAACUCCUGCAGAUGCUUAUACGGCUCUUCACCUGGUAAACCAUGAAAAGAGAGUAAAAGCUGAAUCAGACCAGAUUUUAGUUCAAAUGGAAUGUUGUCAUUUAAAGCUGGGAAAGUAAUGCAUAACGGCUGCUGAGUUAAAUCAGGAGCAGCCAACUCCCUUAAUGUUUAUGCAUUAGCCAUGGUGCCUUCCUGCUGGUCAGAGUCACUCGAAGUGUUACCAAACGAAUCUGUUGGUUCAACUUCUGACUCGGGUCUUUGAGAUGUAGCACUAGAGUGCUCUUCUCUGAGCUGUCUGGUUUCCUUUCUCGUUCUACGCGCGGUCUUCUCUACCUCAGGAUCAAAAACCAAAUCACCUGUGCGACAAGAUCGAGGCAUACACUAGAAGAAAACCAGAAAAUUAGGACAAAAUUGAAUUUAAGAAGAAACAAAUAAUAACGCCAGUCCCCGGCAACGGCGCCAAAAAUUGACAGGUCGUCAACCUGUGCAAUAAUAAAAUUAAACCUAAUUGCCAGUUAAAAUGACCAAAACCCAAUUCCAAGUACUGGAGCAGGGACUCUAGGUGUGCAAUGGGUUACUUGAUUCACCCUGUUCCCGAAGAGUUUGCUUGAUCCGAUAUACCCGAAUGGAAUGGUUAUUCCUUUUCACAAAUGAUUAGGAAUUUGUAGACAGGGCAAGUAGGGUCGUAUCCACAGAGACUGGGUAUAUUUGUUUCUUAAGAAAUCCAAAGUAACACAGGGGGUGAUUUUGUAGGAACGACGAUAAUUAAAUAAAUUCAAAUGAGAAAGUAAAAAUAAAUAAUUAACUAGAAAUUAAACCACAAUUUACUGAACUCAGGAUAACAAUAGUUAAAGGCCUCAAUUAAUUAAAAUAAGGAAACAAUCAAAAAUAAAAUAAAGUAGGUAAUUAAAAGUCAAAUGGCAAUCCACUACAAUCAAGGAAAUAUUAACUAAAGAUCUAGCCAAGAAAUAACUUCAGCAAUGGUUCACCUAAUCGAUCAUUGAUGCAAAGCAAUCCCAAUUAUUUACUAAUAAAUAGGUUAUAACUACCAAACAAGCGAUGGCAGUCAACCCCUCCUUACUGUGUCGGUGAUCAAGGUACGCCCGUUAAUCACUGCUCUAAUUGAGAAAUAAUCCUAGGUACGCCCGUAGAAUUUAAUUCCCCAACUGCCUUACGUAUUAGAGGAGCCCUAUUCUACCCAAAUAACACACUACCAGGGUUAUUUUAGAUUAGCCCGCGUAUCCCCCUGACACGAAUCUAAUCGUGCCAGUUGUCACUAAUUUGAGGUAAUUAAACAAUUACGGAUUCAAUACCCCAAUUGACAAUAGAUUAUCAAACCAAUGAAUUAUCCGGAUCCAAGACAAUCAACUAAUUAAAUAAUCAUAAGCACUGCAACCAAGGAAUAUGCGAAUACCAAUAAAUAAAGGAAAAGAUAAAAUUAAAUCGAUCUCACAAUUUACAGGUGAUCCAAAGCAUCAGUCGUUUCUUGACUAGAACGAGGGGGUUAGCUCAUAUUGGAUGAACUAAGCCCGCGGGAAAUUCCAGCAAAAGUCACGGCCGUUGUAUGCAUUUCAAGAGCCGCAAUUCGUCAAACACUUGGAAAGCGAAUGUAAGGCACGGGUAACAAUUGAAGCUUUCUAAUUGUUCCUAGCAUUCGUAAAGCAAAUUCACUCCAGAAGUACAGUGAGGAAAAGUCAAAGAAAGUGGGCUUCAAUUCCUUGCUCCUGACAUGCGUGGAGACAAGCCAAUGCAAGACUACAAUAAACUAACAAGGAAAAGUCAAGAAUUGGAGCUAAGCUCCCCUGCCAUGCGCAGGAAUCCGAAAAGUAAAAAGUAAAGCUUCAAAGAAAAGUCAACAAUUCUUCCUAAGCUACAGACGGAAGAUCCAGCACAAAAGCCAGCUCCCUUUUUUAUCCCUUUUUCCCCCUUCUUAUUGCGGCGGCUCACCAGGAGAGGAGAGCCCUCCGUCCGUCCUUUCUUCCGAAAAUUACCAAAAUGGGCAUGACAUCUUCUCUUCCAAAAGUGCCCCUGGGACAAGCUUUCUCAUCUGAAUUCUUUUUUUUUCCAAUUUGGCACCUGUUAUCAUAUUUAUAUUCUACUCCCUGAAAUAAACGUCAAAUACUAAAAGUGAGUAGAAUCCAGCAAAUAAAUCCACAUCAAGUCAGGUAAUAGGAGGAAUUAAUAAUAAAAUAAAUGAAUAAAUUGCACCCUAUCAGAAAAAUGCAAAAAUUUGUUAUUUAUCAUUAAGGAUCAUAUCGCAUAUAACAUCAAAAAAUAGUAUAUUAUUUAUAUCUUUCACUUAAUAUAAUAUCCAAAUUACUCUUUUCAGUUACAUACCCAUUGUUAGACAAAAUCAACAACAAAUAACCAAAAAAUUUGCAACCAAAAUAUUACCAAAAAAAUAAACUUUAACAUCAUAAAUAUUUUUAUCAACAUAUUAAAGUUAGUUAUUGAAAUUUUUAUGGUGUUAAACUUCACUCUUAGCAAUAUUUUGGUUACAGAUUUUUUUGAUUAUUUAUUGUUGAUCGUGUUUGACAAUGGAUUUGUAACUGAAAAGAAUAAUUUGAAUCUUACAUUAAGUGAAAUAUAUAAAAUAUUAUACUAUUUUUUAUGGCAUAUGUGAUUCUUUUUUUUUUUUUUAUCAGAACGGCAACAUUGUAUUAAUAGUAAACCAAUUACAGUAUAGGUGGGCAACCGCCCUCACAAUCUGCCUGGACUUGUUCCAGCAGCCAAACUGGGAAGUUUUCCUUCCAUUCAGUAUUUUGUUCCAAAGUAAUAGCUACUUUAGCUAGUUUAUGGCUAACAAAGUUGUUCACCCUAUUUGCAAAGGUAAAACAACAUUCAUCAAAUUUUAUUCAUGUACAAUUGUUGCUAUCACCACGUCCUCCUCCUCCUCCUCACUGCACACUACUUGACUACCACCCUUCGCCAACCUUGCUGUUGCAUGUGCAACUAUCAUGGCCUCUCUUAGCGCCUUUGCUUCUUCGACCUUUGGACUGGCACAGCUAAAAUUUGGAACAGCCCAGGCCCACCCGCAAUCUUCCCAACCAAUCCCUGGCCACCCUUUUCCCACCCAGCUUCUAUGGCAUGUGUGAUUCAAUCCUUCUUGAUAGGAUUGGUAAUAGAGGCAGAGGGGGGAGCCGGCUGCAUCCGGUCUACUUUUCAUAGAUAGUACAAUAUUGCGAAAUCGAUCGCAUUCACACAAGAAUAUUUCGAAGUCAUUGCAUCGCUAAGUUGCAAAAAAGUACAAACACUUGUUAUUAUAUAGCUUAAGAUUCAAAACUUUAGAGCACAACCCUCCACCUAACACAAUUGAAUAAUGAAUAUUCACGAUUGUCAAAUCUGUCAAAGCACAGUUUGAGGACAACCCAUUCCAACCUGCAAAAGAUUUUUGACUUUUUUAAAGUUGUUGAGAGCUGUAAAAAGACUUACCAUGCUUACAUCUUCCGAGCCUUGGGAGUUAAAAAUGAAGGCACUGAGUGCUAUAAAAAGGGGGCUAGAGGCUGCCUAGAAGCAUAUCAGCCUAAAACAAGAAUUUGUAGUUAUGAUGGGAAGCAAAGCAAAAGCAAUGGGGUCUGGGCUGACUCCUCUUCUUACCACUGUUUUAGUGGUAUUUGUUGCUCUUGGCUUGCCCUCAGAAACUGCAGCUGAUGAUCACUACAAGUAUUCAUCUCCUCCUCCUCCUUACCACUAUCCCUCACCACCACCUCCAGUGCAUUUACCUCCACCAGUGUACAAAUACAAGUCCCCACCACCACCUCAUCAUGUUUACAAGUACAAAUCUCCACCACCCCCACCACCACACCCAGUUUACAAGUAUAAGUCGCCACCACCACCUCCUCAUCCGGUAUACAAGUACAAGUCUCCUCCGCCACCUCCUCAUCCGGUACCACACCCAGUUUACAAGUAUAAGUCACCACCACCACCUCCUCAUCCGGUACCACACCCAGUUUACAAGUAUAAGUCUCCUCCGCCACCAGUUUACAAAUAUAAGUCUCCUCCACCACCACCUCCAGUGUACAAAUACAAGUCUCCACCACCACCAGUUUACCACUACAAGUCUCCACCACCUCCUCCCCCAGUUUACAAAUACAAGUCUCCACCACCACCACCACCAGUUUACCACUACAAGUCACCACCACCUCCUCCCCCAGUUUACAAAUACAAGUCUCCACCACCUCCUCACCACUACUAAGCAAUUGCUUCUGAGGUAAUAACACUUGUUCAAUAUACCCACUUCUGCAUGAUAAAGCAUAUCUCUAUCAACACAAACUGUCAUGUCUAUCAUGCUAAGUGCCUUCACUUCAUCCACCAAAAUGACUGCUAGAAAAUUUUUUUUAUGUUACCAAAGAAAGGCAUCAUUUUUUCCCUCUGUUAUCAAGAACUUGUACAGUAUAUAGAUUAAAGAGUAUUUUUUUAACUAGCUUAUCAACUGAGAAAUGCAUAUAGCUGAUAGCCAGCUGAAUAUUUGCAGGCAAAGGAGAAGGAAACCAGUGUUUGAGACCUUCUUGAAGAUGUAGAAGCAUAAGAAUUAAAGCCCAAUGUGAAGAUGAUGAUUUCAAGUUUUUCUACGUUACCAUUUCUUUAUCUAAAUUGGUUGUAGCGCCUUAGUUCCUUUGUUUAUGGGAUUUGUAUCGUUUUACGUACCAUGCAGUACAUGUCAUGUUUGUAAGGUUUUCUAUCCUGCCGGCAAACCGCAGGUUCCAUGUAAUAAAUCAAUACUAUUUAUAUUACGACACUUUUCUCUGUUUCUCUUAUAUUUUGUCGUCUUUAAUAUUCUUAAUCAUAUUUUUAACAAAAAUAUUCAAACACUUAGGCAAUCUGGUCUAAUGCUAAUUGUAUGUUUUACUUUUCUUUUUCACCUGCUCCCCUUUUCAACUCAAAAGGAUGCAAUAGUUUGUGAUCACUGUUGAAGACGGAAGCAUGAUACUAAUGAAUAUAUCAUUGAAACUCAAGGAAACUAACAUUAUGAAAAGUGUAAAUCUUGAUUUGAUGCAACUAUUUAUUCGUGGAAUCUAUAGUUACAAAACUCAAACUCUGACUGCGCCAUUGAUAAAUUAUUAAUGACGCUAUCAUCAUUAUUUAUCCCCAACUAGUUUCGACUACAACUGAACCCAAUAUUUUCCCCAUGAUAAAAGUUUUUUACUAUUUUACUGGCCUCUCUUCAAAUUUUAAAAAUUACACUAAUCUUCAUUGAGAUUAAUUAUCUUGUAGCAUUUAAGUCCAAUUAAUAAUUAAAAAAUAAUAUUAUGAGAGAGAAAAUAAUAUAAUUUUAUCAUUGCCCCCCAUCUUGCUAUAUUAUUUAAUUAAUUUAAUAGCAACCCACACAUUAAAGAAAAAUACUAAAAUUUGCUGCUUUUCAUUAAAGAUCAAAUUGCAUAUGCCAUAAAACAUAGUAUAUCAUUCUAUAUGUUUCACUUAAUGUAAGAUCCCAAUUGUUCUUUUCAAUUACAAACCCAUUGUCAAACAUGAUCAAUAACAAAUAACCAAAAAAUUUGCAACCAAAAUAUUACAAAAAAAAACUUUAACAUCAUAAAUAUUCUUACCACCUCUAGUGCAUUCACCCUCAUAAAAUAAUUCAAGACCCUACUGUCAUAAAAUGACUGAUCAACUCCUGUAAACCUAAUUUGACAACAUUUAAAUGGAGAACUUUAGCUAAAAGAAUUAUGGUCAAGCUAAAGAAAAAACCAGUUAUUUUCCAACAUAUGCAAUCAUUGAUCAGGGAAAAAAAAAAGAAGCAAAAAGACAUCUUCAAUCAUUUAAUAGCUUACAGGGCAAAUUAACCCCUAAGCGAAAACUGGUUGCUCUAGAAUCAAAAUUUUACUUUAGUUACCCAGGCAACUUUUUUUGUUGCCUUUUCUUUUUCUUUUUUGGGUAUAUAUAUAGCUCCAGUUUUGCCCCCUCUGUCAAGCUUAUAUAAUUAUUAAGAUAAUAAAAGUGCCUUUAAUAGUAUUAAUAUAUCCAUUGACUUGAGCUGUCAUCGAUCGGUUUGGGCUACUUCGAUUCCAUGAGAACAAAUGGUAAUAAAAGUACUCAGAAAAUGGGGAGUCAUGAAACCCUUUUGUUCUAUUCAUUGCUAAGAUGCUUUUCUCUAUAAAGACACUUCCUAACGAAAAUACUUUGUAGAUUUCUUUACUCCAAGUGGUGCAUGGAAAAUUAAUAUUUUCAAUUAUCAAAUAAAAUUCCCUUUUUUCGGUGUAGAUUUCAUCCAUUCAGCUGUUAACACUCCGAAUUGACUAAUCUUUUCGUUUCCAUUUUCCAACUUGCGAAUACGGCAUCUUACAUAUUGUCUGCUGAAUAUGAAUACAUAUCCCUUUUCUGAGCAGGUGCAGAGUCAUUAUCAUUUUUAUUCCCACCUAACAAAUUAGUUAAUAAUCUUUUAAAGAACAUGUUAAAUUAAUUUAUUGGUAUGAAUAGUAGUCAAAGAAGUAUGUUAAAGUUAGUAAUCUUUAAAAUAAUAUGUUAAAAUUAUUCGUACAAAUUAGCCAGAGAAGUAGCAUAAACACCGCGAUGCAAUUAAUACUUUCAAUCUCAAGGUCUCUAUUAUGGAAAUUUGCAUCGGUCAACAUACACAAAGCAUUAUUGUAUGCACGUCUCUCUAUUAUGGAAAUUUGCAUAGGUCAAUAUACACUUGGCAUAGUUGCAUGCACGUCCAAUUUUUUUUUAUUUUUAUUUUUGGUAUUUUACUUCCUGCCUUAAGUUGCCUGCAGAUGUUUGUAUUACAAAUAUAUGGUAUACUAAAUAUAUAGUAUGCACAUUAAUUUCUUUGGGUUGCUUAAGGGUAUAUUGUUAAUAAUAGGGGGUUUAACCAUAAAUUAUAACAAUGAUGAAGUAAUAUAUAUUAGAAAAUUAACACAAUUAUGAUUUUUUUUUUUGUAAAAUUCAAAUUUUAUUAAUAAGAAAUGAAAUAGGCAGUAAGCAUUUACAAACCGAAAACAAAAUCCUACAACAACUCUAGGACUCUACACCUUAUUAAAAAAAAACAUUUUGAUAGCGUUUUUCCAAAAGCAGAAGAUGGAAAAUUGCCCAUUUGUACUGGGGAGUUCGUGAUCUUUUCCUCAUUCUAGUCUACUUACAAUUCUUGGAAAAAGGAAUACUCACAUCUCAAACAACAGCCUGUUCAUCUGCAGUGUCCUGCCGAAUUCUAGAAAGUUUGGUGGCAAUGUUAAUUACAUUUCAAAAUUGACUGCUGCGAUAACUAAUUCGAUGGCUUACUACAUGGUCAACGUUUGGAUCUCUUCCUGUCCUUUUUGGAUGCACAUUUUUUUUCUCUAGGUAAUAUAUAAUCUCCCAACUCAUUUCUUUACAAAUGCACCUUUAAUCACCACCAAAAGGUGUGGACAUGAUCUUUACCCUAGAAAACUAUUCACCGACAGGCAAAUUGACGUCAGAAAUACUAAGAGGAAUUCUAGUUUCCUUCGGGUUAAUGCCAUUUUGUACCCUUCAACUGUAACUCAAUUUCUAAGCUGUAAUUUGUGACAUUAUAGUCCUUAAACUAUGAAACCCUUUCUUAUUUAAUUACAAUGGUUAAUACAAUGCCCGUGACUAGACAAGUAUGAAGCAACCAUAACAAAAAAAAAAUCCAAAAUUAGAGAAAAGAAAGAAGUUGCGACCAAAGUAUGUAUCAAGGCAUAGUAUAGAAAUAAAAGUGUCAAAAUUAAGAGUUUAGGGAUAAAAAAGAAUCAAAAUAUAGUUUAGGAAUUGAUUUGUCUCAAUUAGAGUUUAGAUGUCAACUAAGAAGAGAGAUAUAGUUGAAGGGUAGAAUAUAGAUAUAACAGUUCAAUGAUUGAUAUCAACGAGACAAUGACAACUUUGGAUUAUUACCAACCUCUUCUUGAUGGAAAAGGAAAUAGAGAAGAAAGUCGGGCCUGGUCUAAGCCUGUUUCGGAGGCAAAACAACAUUAUGAAAUCACCGGCAUUCACACAAAUAUGUCAAAGUCACCGGCAUGCUAAGUUGCAAAAUUUAUACAAACACUGAAUAUUAUAUUCUUCUCAAAAUUUUUGUUUAAGAUUUAACAAUUAGAGCACGGUACACGAAUUAGCAAUAUUAAAUAAUGAAUGUUCACGAUUGAUAAAGUUAUCAAAGUACAGUUUGAGGACAACCCAUUCCAACGUGUACAAGAUGUUUAGCCUUUGAAAAGUUAAUUAGAGAAGGUGACGAGAUUUUACUAGGCUUACAACUUCUAGGCCUUGGGAGUAAAAAGUGAAGACACUGAGUGCUAUAAAAAGGGGGCUAGAUGUUGCCUAGAAGCAUAUCAGCCUCGGACCACAUUUUGUAGCAAUGGGGAGCAAAGCAAAAGCAAUGGGGUCUAGGCUGACUCCUCUUUUUACCACCGUUUUAGUGGUAUUUGUUGCACUUGGCUUGCCUUCAGAAACUGCAGCUGAUUACGACAAGUAUUCACCUCCUCCUCCUCCUUACCAUUAUUACUCACCACCACCUCUUGUGCAUUCACCUCCACCACCGCCAGUUUAUAAGUCACCCCCACCACCUUAUCACUACUUCUCACCACCACCUCCAGUGUAUCCAUCUCCACCACCAUCUGUUUACAAGUCACCUCCACCACCUUCGCCAGUAUACAAGUCCCCACCACCACCUUAUCAAUAUUCCUCACCACCACCUCCAGUGCAUUCACCUCCACCACCACCGAUUUAUAAGUCACCUCCACCACCUCCUCCAGUUUACAAGUCCCCGCCACCACCUUACCAUUAUUCCGCACCAUCACCUCCAGUGCAUUCACCUCCACCACCACCGAUUUACAAGUCACCUCCACCACCUCCUCCAGUUUACAAGUCUCCAUCACCACCUUACCAUUAUUCCUCACCACCACCUCCAGUGCAUUCACCCCUACCACCACCGGUUUACAAGUCUCUGCCACCACCUUACCAUUAUUCCUCACCACCACCUCCUAUGCAUGCACCUCCACCACCAAUAUACAAGUCACCUCCACCACCUCCUCCAGUUUACAAGUCUCCACCACCACCUUACCAUUAUUCCUCACCACCACCUCCAGUGCAUUCACCCCUACCACCACCAGUUUACAAGUCUCCGCCACCACCUUACCAUUAUUCCUCACCACCACCUCCUGUGCAUGCACUGCCACCACCAAUUUACAAGUCACCUCCACCACCUCCUCCAGUUUACAAGUCCCCACCACCACCUUACCAUUAUUCCUCACCACUACCUCCAGUGCAUUCACCUCCACCACCACCGAUUUACAAGUCACCUUCACCACCUCCUCCAGUUUACAAGUCUUCACCACCACCUUACCAUUAUUCCUCACCACCACCACUCUUCAAUUUGGAUGUAAUUCAAUUUUCCUUGUAAUCGGUGGCCCUCCUUCGGAAUCCAAAUAGUCAUUGAGUGCAGCCUUCUUUCUUUAUUUUUUACUCAUUUUCACCUCAUAAAUUGCUUUCAUCCCCUAAAACUUGUUCGCUGGAAUUUUGAAUUUACCCAUACAACUAAACUCAGAAAAUUCUUACACAAAGGGAUUAGUAGCAUGAAUAGCAAACACAGAAUAAGAGAUAACAGUAUGUUUUAUUGUAUUAAAAAUAUUAAAGUGGAUUAUUUCUCCAUCGAAUUCCAUUGUGAGAGUAUCGUUACUAACAUCAAUCUUAGUUUGAGCAGUACUCAAGAAUGACCUUCCUAAUAUAAUGGGUGAUGGAUUUGGGACACUUUCAUCAUCCAUAUAAAACACAUAAAAAUCAACAGAAAAAAUUAAUCCAUCUACUUGAACUAAAAACAUCCUCAACUACCCCAUUUAGAUAAGCAAAUAUACGAUCAGCCAAUUGAAUUAUUAUCCCUAUUUCUUUUAAAUGUUCUAAAUUUAGGGAAUCAUAAAUUGAUUUAGACAUCACAUUAAUAGAAAUCUUUAAAUCUAUCAUGGCAUUUUUUAUAUUAGAAUGUCCAAUCUUACAUGAGAUAGUAAACAUACCUAGAUUCUCGCAUUUAGGUGGUAGUUUCCUUUGUAAAAUUGCUGAAACGUUCUCAUCUACCACAAUAUGCUUGUCCUCCUCAAUUUCUUCUUGUUGACACACAAGUUUUUCAAGCAUUUAACGUAUUUUGGAACUUAUUUGAUUUGCGUCCAACAAAGGGAUAUUGAUUGCCACCUUGCGAAAAUCUCUAAAAUCUCCUUUUCUUUAUCUUGUUUCUUUGAUUUCUCUAACCUGCUUGGAAAAGGUGGUGAGUUAGUUCCAACUCUAAUUAUAGAAUCAACAAUUACCUUUGGAUUCACAUUUCUCAUUCCUUCCUCCUCAAGCUCUUUGUCGAUUCGAUCUUCAUUUUUAUCCUUUGGAAUCACAACUUCGGAUCCCUGAAUUUUCUUCUCGCUCCUUAAGGUCAUUACACUUACAUUCUUCAGGUUCAGUUCAGGUUGAGACGACAAUUUUUCAUAGAUUUGGGAUUCCAGGCGGUUGAUUGCUAUUACCAUCUGACUCAUCUGACUCUGCAGUGCUUGCACCUGUCCCAAUUGAUUCCUCAUACUUUGCAAGUCAAAAUCCAUCUUUUGUUGAUUAGCAAUUAAUUGCUUCAUUAUCUCUUCUAUAGAUGGACUUGAGUUUGAAAGAGGUGGUGGCGGGCGAGACUGAUACUGUUAUUGAUACCCUUGCUAUCUAUUUGGUGCAAAAUCUGGCUACCUAUUUCCUCCAUAGCUGAGGUUGGGAUGAUCUCUCCAACCAAUAUUGUACGUAUUCGUGUACGAGUCGUAUGGUUUUCUUGGCACGGCGCGUGACCAGCCAUGUUCACUUGCUCCGUACUUUUCUCUUGAAUCAUUGAGCACAUCUCUGUAGAAUGACCCAUAGCAGUGCAGAUCCCACACAUCUUGACUCGUGAUGCAUUUCCUAUAGCUAAUUGCCUAACAAAGGAUGUUAAUUCGGUCAACUGCUGUUGGAUAGAAUAUGUUUCUACCUCAUUUACUUUGCGUGUUGGGGCAUCCUCCCUCGUACCAAACUGUUGCGAAUUUUCCGCCAUUCCUUCAACUAGCUCCCACGCUUCUCGAGAAGUCUUGUUCACCAAUGCCCUUCUACUUGCAGCAUCAAUUAUACUCCUGUCUCUAAAACGCAGCCCCUCGCAAAAAUAUUGGAUGAGCAAUUGCUCACUUAUUUGGUGUUGAGGGAACUUGAUGCAUAACUUCUUGAAUCGCUCCCAAUAAUCAUAAAGCGACUCUCCUGGAUGCUACUUGAUACCGUAUAUCUCCUUCCUUAGACUUGCAGCUCGAGAUGCAAGAAAAUAUUUGUCCAAGAACUUUUUCUUCAGCUGAUCCCACGUGGUGAUGCUACCUGGUGGUAGAUAGCACAGCCAGUCUUUUGCGGAGUCCUUCAAGGAGAAGGGAAAUGCCCUCAUUUUUAUCUAUUUUUCUGUAAUUCUCGGAGGUUUUAUGCUGUUGCAAACGACAUCAAACUCUUGCAAGUGCUUAUACGGUUCCUCACCUGGUAAACCAUAGAAAGAUGGCAAGAGAUGAAUUAGACCAGAUUUUAACUCAAAUGAAGUGUUAUCAUUUAAAAAUAGAAAAGUAACUGAGAUGCAGCACUGGAAUGUUCUUCUCGAAAUUGUCUGGUCUCUUUCUUUGUUCUACGCGUAGUCUUCUCUACCUUAGGAUCAAAAAUUAAUUUACCUGUACGAGAAGAACGAGGCAUACACUAGAAAAACACUAGAAAAUUAGAACAAAAAUGAACAUAAAAAGAAACAAAUAAACCAACGUCAGUCCCCAGCAACGGCGCUAAAAAUUGACAAGUUGUCGAUGCCUGUGCAAUAAUAAAAAUAAACCUAGUUACCAAUUAAAAUAAUCAGAGCCUAAUUCUGAGUACUAGAGCAGGGACUAUAGGUGUGCAAUGGGUUACUUGAUUCACCCUAUUCCUGAAGUUUGCUUAACCCGAUAUACCAGAAUGAGAUUGCUUAUUCAAAAGGAAUUAUUGAUUUGUAAACAGGGCAAGUAGGGUCGUAUCAUCAGGGAUUGAAAAAAUUUGUUUCUUUUCAAAUCCACAGUAACAAGGGGAUGUUUUUGUAUAAAUGAUAACAAUCUAAGGAGUGCAAAUAGAAAUAAAUAGAUAACUAGAAAUUAAAUGACAAUUCACUAAAAUUAGAGUAAUAAUAAUUAAAGGUCUAGCUAAGAAAUAACUUCAGCAAUGGUUCACCUAAUUGAUCAUCGACGCAAAGGCAAUUCCAAUUAUUUACUAAUAAAUAGGUUAUAACUGCAAAACAAGCAAUGACAGUCAACCCCUCCUUACUGUCGGUCGGUGAUUAAGGUACGCCCAAUCACUGCUCUAGUUGAGAAAUAAUUUUAGGGACGCUCGUAAGAUUUAAUUUUCCAAUUGCCUUACGUAUUAGAGGAGCCAUAAUCUAACCAAAUAACGCUACCAGGAUUAUUUUAAAUUAACCCGUGUAUUCCCUUGAUACAAAUUCAAUCAUGUCAGUUGUCACUAUUUCAAGGUAAUGAAACAAUUACGGAUUUAAUAUCCUAAUUGACAAUAGGUUACUAAAUCAAUUCACUAUUUCGAUCCAAGAUAAUCAAUCAAUUUAACAACUAAUAGCACUGCAAUCGGAGAAUAUGUAAAUACCAAUAAAUAAGAGGAAAAGAUAAAAUUAAAUCGAUCUCACAAUUUUUAAACAAAUCAAAGUAUCCGUUGUUUCUUGACUAGAAAAGAAAAUUUAGUUCAUUCCUAAUGUGAAAGACCCACGUGAGAAUUCAAAAAUAAUAUUCACGGAUAUUGUCUUGAUUCAAUAGAUUCAAUUGCGUUGGAAUAAGGAUAAAAAGCCAAACUAUAGAGAGUGAUUCAAUGUUUUGUUUCGUUUGCAUUUUUUCUACACAUAUGGAAGAAGAAAAACAACUAAAGGACGAAAAAAAAAAGUCAAAGAAAGGCACCCAAAGUAGUGCUUGGUCUCUACCAUCCUAUUUCCUAUCUAAUUACUACUUCCCUUCUGCGGCUGCCUAGAGGAAGAAAGAGAAAGCAGACUUCAGGUCUUGUUCCAUCUCCUCCCUUUUCGGCAAUUCCCCAAAAGUAGAAAAGUUCCUCCGUUUACCAAAAUGCCCCUGGAAUGAGGACUGCUACUUGAACUCAUUUUCUUGAUAACUGUCAAAUUAGCACUUGUUAUGGUAUUUGCGUCUACUUCCUGUAAUAAAUGUAAAUUGCCAAAAGUGAGUAAACUGAUAAUUAAUUUACAUCAGGUCAGGUAAUAGGAAAAAUUAAUUAUAAAAUAAAUGAUAAAAUUGCAACCUAUCACUUAGAAUAACCAGAAAUAAAACAAAACAAGAAAUGAAAGAAAUAAGAGGGUAGCAUAGACAUUUUGGAUUUUUCUGUUAAUUUGGAUGAUUUCCACCUACGGUCUAAUUUAAUCCAAAACACAAAUGGAUUAUGUGGAGAUUUUUAAACAAUGAGGGAGUAUCGUGACCGAAUCCCAAACCACAAAGGGGAUUUACUAUAUUUUACUCUUAAAUUUUGGUUUCAUCUCAUAGCAUACAAGAGUACUAUUUCACUGUCUGUCGACCAGGGAGGAGGGUUGGGUUGGGUGGUACGGGGGAGGGAGUCUAAGUAAGAGGUCUCAGGUUCGAAUCCUCCUGUUUAUACUAAAAAAAAAAAUUUACUAUCUGUCGACAAAGAUUUUCUAUGGUUGAUGUACCAUAGGAAAAAUCUGCCUAUACAAUUAUUUGGAAAAAUUAUCCAUCCAAACAUAGUCACGAUAGCAUUUUUUCAAAAACACUAGAUGCAAAAUUGUCCCCUUAAACGUGGAAAUUCAUGAUCUUUCCUCGACUAGUCUACUUGUCAAUUUUUGAAAAAAGAAUACUCACGCCAAAAACACGGCCUCUUCAUCUGCAGAAUUCUAAAAAGUUACGUAAACUCUAUAAACAAGUUGAUAGGUACAAUCGUACCCAAGAUCAAGUACAGAUAGUUGUACAUUCACUGCUGCAAUAACUAAUCUGAUGACUUACAAACACAUCAUGGUCAAUCGUUGAAUGGUAAUGAGUCUUUUGUUAUGCAUUAGUAUUAGUGUGUACACUCUAAUAGAUUGAUACUUAUACUCUUUAAAUUAUCAUAAUAAUACCCUUAAUUAACUUUAACCCUUAAAAAGAAUACGUGUUAAUACACGAGAGUGUGUAACCUGAAUUGUUACUUAUACAUUAGUGUGUAAUAGAACGGCAAGCAUUAUGGUGGUCAUUGAGCAACUUAUAGGAGAAAUAGUCCUAUAAGCUGUUCAAUGACCAAUCACAACUUGCUAAUUGGAUGACUAAUAUAGCUCUAGCUGUAAUGUUUUAAUUAAAUUCCACACUAACGUUGGGAUGACUUUUUAAUCAAAAAAAAAAAAGCCUUAGUUCAAGCUUUUCCCCUUAUUGUGCAUUUUUUAAAACAUUUGAUAGGCACUGCAAAUCUGUCAUUUUGGACAUUUUAUUAUUAACUAACAAUGAAAGCCGUGGACAUCAACCCAUAUCCAACAAAAUAUUAAAUUAAUAUUAGAAAAAUUAUUAAGUAAUUGGAAAAAAAAAAGAAGAGGCUAAUUUUCAUUGAAACCCACCGACAAACUAUCCGUGUCCAUAGCUUUUGAAUAGUGCAUUCAACGUUUAAUUGUAUGGUCCAGUUCAUUGCCGAUUACAUGGAGUAAAGAUUGUGCUCUUUCCUUUUUCACCCCUUUUGGAAUCGAUACUGUGGAGAAUUGGGUUUUUCCCUCCUUUUUUUCUUUUCUUUCCUUCUGUGCUUUGCAAAACAUACGUAAAAAUAUGAAAUCCGAAGCAUUCUUUAAUUGGGAUUAAGUAUUGUUGUUGAAAUUAAAAAGAAGAAAGAAAGAACAACAAAAAUCCCAAUCUGGGUUGAUUGUUGAGCUCUAGAUUGGCUGCAUCGUGCUUCCAUAGAAGUUCUCUUAGUGUGAUACGCUGCUUUCAAUCAGUUUUAAUAUUUAAGUAGAGUGCAAAAUAACUUUACUAUUUAAUGGGUUAUAAUGCACCAUUUGGUACCUCUCACCCACCUAUGAUUUGAUUUACUACUGGCAUGGUAAUGGACAGAGUUGGGGGAGCAGGAGGAGGGAGAUGGCGGUACCAGUCCGUCAACCACAGCACACCCUCCCUCGGACUUUGCGUGGUAGCGAAGUGGAGGCAGAUCGAGCACACAUGCACUAACGCCUUAAGUAUGUACAAUAUAUGUAUGCCAAAAGCAUAGCCAAGCCUACCAGCGCAUUUCAAUAAUAUAACCCGGAAAUUAAGGGCAUUGAAUUAAGUACGAUGAAUCAUAUUGGUGCACAAUUACAGUUUGAAGCUACCGAUUCGAGUAAAUUUAAGCGUAAGCACAAUCAAUCGCCAGUCAAAUGCUGAAAUAUGCAUAUGCAUGGAUGAAUGUAUGGGUUUCUUAGUUCCAGACCAAAGGCCAACAAUAAGGGAAGGAAGGACAGUUCUCAUUUUUAGCACGGACAAGGAGAUGAAGAAAAGUGUAUGUAGCUUGAGACAGAACAAUGGCAUGUGACCGCUCCUGAGACCACAUAACGUGGGGUGGGGAUGGGACGGCCAAGAAUGAAGAUGCCUGUCGGUCUCUCCGUGCUGCUACCAUAUGAAUCCCCCGUUAACCAAUUCAAGAUAAGCCUGAAGUUCUUUUCAUCCCCAAACCCUGUCCCAUCUGUGUAAAUCCAACAUCAUCAUUUACGACCUGCAACUCAGGUUAAGCAUGUUCUAUUGAGAUUCAGACACCACCCUUCAAAAGAUAUACUACUGUGAAACCAGCAGCUUAAUAUCAUUGUAUAAAAAAAAAAAAAAAAGAAAGAAGAAAAGACAUGAAAAGCAAAUUUUGUGGGGAUAAUUUCAAAAUCUCUCCUAAAGUUUUUUACUAUUUUACUGGCCUCCUUUCAAAUUUUAAAAAUUACACCAGUCUUCCUUGAGAUUAUUUAUCUUGUAACAUUGAGGUCCAAUCAAUAAUUAAAAAAUGAUAUUAUGAGAGAGAAAAAAAAUAAACUUUAACAUCAUAAAUAUUCUUAUCAACAUAUUAAAGUUAGUUACUGAAAUUUUUAUGGUGUUAAACUUCACUCUUUGUAAUAUUUUAGUUACAGAUUUUUUGAUUACUUGUUGUUGAUUUUUUUUUUUUUAGUGUAAACAGGAGGACUCGAACCUAAGACCUCUCACUUACACUCCCUCCCCCCGUACCACCCCAACCCAACCCAACCCUCCCCUCGUUGUUGAUCAUGUUUGACAAUGGAUUUGUAAUUGAAAAGAACAAUUUGGAUCUUACAUUGAGUGAAAUAUAUAGAAUGAUAUACUAUUUUUUAUGGCAUAUGUGAUUCAAUCCUUGAUGAUAAAAGCAAAUUCAAGUGUUUUCUUUAAUGUUUGUGCUGAUAUUAGAUUAAUUAAAUAAUUUAGUAGAUGAAGGAAAAUGGUGAAAUCAUAUUAUCUUCUCUUUCCUAAUAUCACUAUUUAAUUAUUGAUUGAACUUAGAUAUUACAAAUAAUAAAUCUCAAGGGAGAUUAGUAUAAUUUUCAAAUUUUGGAGAGAAGCUAAUGAAAUAGUCAAAAACCUUAAGGGAGGUUUACAAAAUUAUCCCAAAUUUGUGGGAAUUAGAAUAAUUGUACUGGACGGCACUGCCGCAACAGAGGGAAAGAGGAGGAGGUGCAGUUAACUUUUUGUUGUUUGAAAUCCUUGGUGAAAUAUUACAGAAAGACAGAUAAAACAGUUAGUACAUAGAUGUAUAUGACAGGGAAAAUGGUACGUCUGUUAAUCACAUUUGAAACACUUUCAUUGGUGAAUGACGAAAACUAUCAGGCUUGCCCAAUAGUUGAUCAUUGACCAAGACAAAUCUUGCCAUGCUAGAGGUACCAUCUUUUCGUACCUCUUUAGUGCACAGGACAUUCCUUUGUUUCAUCUAGCUAAUAAUCUACCAACUCAUUUCUUUGCAAAUGCACCUUUUAUGGUCACGUCUACGAAAGCUUUACAGGAUCUUUACCCAAAAAAUCAAUUCACCGACUCGCAUUUGAUGUCAAAAUUUCUUUACUUUACUCCAAGAUUGACUGUUAAUAAUAAUGCCACUUUGAAUUAUCACACCAUCCUUCUUGAUAGGAUUUGUGCUAGAGGUAGGGAGGGAGUCGCUGCAGCCGGUCUUCUCUUCAUAGACAGUACAAUAUUGCGAAAUCGAUCGCAUUCACGCAAUAUUAUAUUUCCAAGUCGUUGCAUGGGUAAGCUGCCAAAAAGUACGAACACAUGUUAUUAUAUAGCUUAAGAUUCAAAACUUUCGAGCAUAACCCUCCACCUAACACAAUUGAAUAAUGGAUAUUCACGAUUGUCAAAUCUGUCAAAGUACAGUUUGAGGACAACCCAUUCCAACCUGCAAAAGGUUUUUUUACUUUUCUAAAGUUGUUGAGAGCUGUUAAAAGAUUUACCAUGCUUACAUCUUCCGAGCCUUGGGAGUUAAAAAUGAAGGCACUGAGUGCUAUAAAAAGGGAAUAGAGGCUGCCUAGAAGCAUACCAGCCUAAAACAAGGAUUUGUAGUUAUGAUGGGAAGCAAAGCAAAAGCAAUGGGGUCUGGGCUGACUCCUCUUCUUGCCACUGUUUUAGUGGUGUUUGUUGCUCUUGGCUUGCCCUCAGAAACUGCAGCUGAUGAUCACUACAAGUAUUCAUCUCCUCCUCCUCCUUACACUAUCCCUCACCACCACCUCCAGUGCAUAUACCUCCACCUCAUCCUGUUUACAAGUACAAAUCUCCACCACCCCCACCACCACACCCAGUUUACAAGUAUAAGUCACCACCACCACCUCCUCAUCCGGUACCACACCCAGUUCCUCAUCCGGUGCCACACCCAGUUCCUCAUCCGGUGCCACACCCAGUUUACAAGUAUAAGUCACCACCACCACCUCCUCAUCCGGUACCACACCCAGUUCCUCAUCCGGUACCCACACCCAGUUUACAAGUAUAAGUCACACCACCACCUCCUCAUCCGGUACCACACCCAGUUUACAAGUAUAAGUCACCACCACCACCUCCUCAUCCGGUAUACAAGUAUAAGUCUCUCCGCCACCAACACCCAGUUUACAAGUAUAAGUCACCACCACCACCUCCUCAUCCGGUGCCACACCCAGUUUACCACUACAAGUCACCACCACCACCUCCUCAUCCGGUACCACACCAGUUUACCAUACAAGUCACCACCAAUCCUCACCCAGUUUACAAAUACGAGUCUCCACCACCUCCAGUUUAUAAGUACAAGUCACCACCACCUCCUCCACCAGUUUACAAGUAUAAAUCUCCUCCACCACCACCACCAGUUUACCACUACAAGUCUCCACCACCUCCUCCCCCAGUUUACAAAUACAAGUCUCCACCACCUCCUCACCACUACUAAGCAAUUGCUUCUGAGGUAAUAACACUUGUUCAAUAUACCCACUUCUGCAUGAUAAAGCAUAUCUCUAUCAACACAAACUGUCAUGUCUAUCAUGCUAAGUGCCUUCACUUCAUCCACCAAAAUGACUGCUAGAAAAUUUUUUUUAUGUUACCAAAGAAAGGCAUCAUUUUUUCCCUCUGUUAUCAAGAACUUGUACAGUAUAUAGAUUAAAGAGUUUUUAUUUUAACUAGCUUAUCAACUUAGAAAUGCAUAUAGCUGAUAACCAGCUGAAUAUUUGCAGGCAAAGGAGAAGGAAACCAUGUUUGAGACCUUCUUGAAGAUGUAGAAGCAUAAGAAUAAAAGCCCAAUGUGAAGAUGAUGAUUUCAAGUUUUUCUACGUUACCAUUUCUUUAUCUAAAUUGGUUGUAGCGCCCAAGUUCCUUUGUUUAUGGGAUUUGUAUCGUUUUACGUACCAUGCAGUACAUGUCAUGUUUGUAAGGUUUUCUAUCCUGCCGGCAAACCGCAGGUUCCAUGUGAUAAAUGAAUACUAUUUAUGUUACGACACUUUUCUCUGUUUCUCUUAUAUUUUGUCUUUAAUAUUCUUAAUCAUAUUUUUAACAAAAAUAUUCAAACA
RNAcentral lists this long non-coding RNA (124747 nucleotides) under Coffea arabica (coffee). RNAcentral describes it as "long non-coding RNA (CARA_LNC007267)". The stretch from base 116934 to 117040 matches the Rfam family "Plant small nucleolar RNA R71". The record is from RNAcentral. Lineage: Eukaryota; Viridiplantae; Streptophyta; Magnoliopsida; Gentianales; Rubiaceae.